UGAGCAAACAGAAACUUAUAUGAAAAAUGAUAAUAGAAUUUUGUCCGGCACUCUGGCAAUGGCUAUCGAAAGUAGCACUGAUGGUGCAUCAAAAGUGUUGCUGGAUAAUUGUGGAGGAUAUAGCUGAGUAGAUUGGGUUACAUAGCAGGUCUUGAUAGUUUCUGCCCCCCUGAUAGUUUCUACCCCGUGUAGAGGGAAUUAUAUUUUUUUUUUUUCCUCCCAUCUGAUAUUCAAUAUACGCUUAAAGGAAAAACGAGAUGAAUUUUGACCUGAAUAUUCGUAUUUUGAUGCUUAAAGUAACCCAGGAAGAUAAAUGUUUGUCGUAAUCGAAAGAAUUGUAUUUGAACUCGAAUCCCUUAAUUGAUGAAGAGAAUUAAUUUGGUUCCUUUUUAUGUGCAAUGUGGUUGUUAUUUCUAUUCUUUUAAGAUUACAAGUUUAAUUUAUGAUUUAAGCCAUCUAUAUAGUUAUAAAAAGAGGCUUGAGUUGGUAUUUGAAGUUUGUUUAAUACGGGAGAAAGAAAUGGAUUGUGUUUGUAUUUAUUUUAUAAUUUCAACAUUCCAAAGGAUCCUCGGUAGAGAAAAUUUCAGUUUAUUUCUUUGUGAAGUGACAAUUUUUAAAUUGUCCUUAUUACUAUUGAAAAUAUAAAGUUAUCCCUCAAAAUUUGUUACUUUGUUAUUUUUAAUGGCUAAAAGGAUAAAGUAAUAUUUGCUCAUUUUUUUAACGUCAAUUAACCAAAAAAAGUGAAACUUAAGUAGAUCAAUUUUCAUGGGUCUAAAUUUUUUAGGUUUUUAAAAACACAUAAAUAUUUAUAAUAUUUAUAAUAUUCUCCUUAAUACUUUAAAAUAUUUUUAAUUUGUGCGUAUAUGACUAAUUUUUUUGAACGGAUUAAAUUUUACCUUUUCAUAUUUAAAAAUUUUAUUUUAAAAAAUAAAUAUAGAAAUUAAUUAAAAACUACUAAUAACUACAAAUAGAAAAAUAAUAAUAUUUUACCUUUUUAUUUUUUUAUUAUUAUCAUUAUUAUUCUUUUUUUCAUUUUGUAAAAGUACUUGAAGAAAAUAAAGAUAAAAAAAAAAUCAAAGAACAAAAGAAAAAUGCUAUUGGAGUUUCACCAAACAAAUGAAAGAAGUGAGGAUGAACCUAUUACUAAUUAGUAUAUCUACCCAUUAAUCAGCCUACUAAAUCAAUUUUUAUUAGGAAACUCAAGCUUCUAAGUUCUAUCUUACACCACCCCAACGCAAUGAUAUGCAGAGGUGGAAAAAUAAUAGGAGGCCCCUCUAGCAAACAUUUCAUCUCUUGGAAAAAUGAGGUUGUUAUGGCUGUUUGCCAUCCGCAGAAGACACACAAACAAAAAAGAAAAAGACAAAAGGGAUAACACAAGAAACGAUGUAAUGACCAAAGCCCACUGAUAAUAGAAAGGAAAUGUACUUCACAAGAAAAUUUAGUUACCAACACACGUUGUGCUUAUCUCAAUUCCUGACACAUCUGAAUAAAACUCCCGGAUGAUAGAUUUCCAUGGCAACAAUGUAAAAAUUACUGACAUACUAAAAAAUUAUAGUAAUCCAAUUAGGCAAAAUCCUAUCCUCAUCACUAUACAGUAGAGCUUCUUUCAGUAUGCUAAUAAUCUCUUUCAAACAUGGUGGGACACAUUGAAAGUUUUUCAUGAUAGUUUUCUAUAAUUCAAAAUUCCAUUAGGGAUUCUGUUGUGUGUGUGUGCAACGCUUUUUAUGAUUGGAUGAGCGGCCACCACAAACAAGGCAGUUAAUAUAUCUGAAUAACUUCCAAUGCAAAGUAUGUCAGCAAACCUUUUGGUGUUUUUGUUGGGUGGGGGGGGGGGGGAAGGGGGACAAGAAAAGGAAAGUACUUUAUCACAAAGAGCAGAGCCAAUGUUCUCUUCAAGAAGUAAUUAGCCUUUGGAUAAAUUACGCAUACUUUUUUUGAAUGAGUAUUUCAAUCUAAAAUGUCCUACAACAAAAUAAGCUUACACAAAUCCAAAUGGAACAUAACGAAAAAAGCACCAGUACGACUCCAAAUCACACAGUUUACCGAUGCACUAUAAUCCUUGAAAAAAGAGCCCUGUUACAUUAAUUGAAGAUUGAUUAUAAUUCCAGUAAUCCAAAAUAUUACAGUAUACAUAGUCCCACUAAUAUUCUGGCAAACAUGAGCCCUCACCAAUAAUUCAAAAGAAUGACCAGUUGGGUCCCAAAGCUCUAGUUCUCUAUCUAAAAGCCUCUUCUUGCCACAGAACUACCACAUUGUGAUGCCACCACAGCUUGUUACCACUAGAAUUGGAGGGAAAAAAAAUGAAGACAUCUCAGGUAAAACUUGAAUCACCAAAUAUCUAACCUUCAAGAACAGAAACCCCAAGAAACAGAAACAGAUGCUAUAAGCAGCAAGAGCUUACCAAAGAGCAGUGUUUGCUGAACUGGAUGAAAGUCCAUGCUCUUAACAGAAGAACACUGAUUUAGAUCUCCCAUUAUUUUCUUUGGCAAGUCAUUAUAAGAGGACAGCUGAUGAGCAUGACUGCAGCUUUUGCAUUCAACAGACAAAGUGUUAAGCAACUGAUUGUUAACCUGCAAUGAGAAAAAUGCAUGAUCUUCAACCAUGUAGCUACAGCAUCUGAUAUUAACAGGAAAAGGGGAAAAUAGUAUAAUUUGUAAUCAACGGAAGACACUAGAAAAAAGUCCAGUUCUAGUGUGCGGCCAUCACUUGUGCACAAGCAGUUUCUUCAGAGACAAUGAGACAUCACAUGCACAAUAACACUGAACAUUUCAGUAUUAACAAUUUGAGGUCCUAAUUUUUUUUUUCUUUUGAGAAAAAGAGGAUAAAUGAAUGACUAUAGCAUCAUCCAAAAGUCUAAAUCCCCAUGUAACAGAUAAAAGCAAUAUAGGAACUGGGUACUUACUAAAGUACCUCAUCCGAUAUUCCCAAAAGUCUUUCUCUCUUCUGCACAGUUUCAGAAUCUGCAGUUAAGGUGAUUGAUUGAUAGGUUUUUAGUAUCAUGCUGUAUGGGCUUAUAGGAAGAAAAACUUUCAACUAAAGAGUGUGAUCAGCACGUAAAAACAGAAGUAAGCAAAACAACCAAUGGCCUAAUGUUAUCCAACCACUUAUGCGCGAGUAAAACUAAACAGAGAACUUAACUUCAAUGUACAUCAGCAAAUUAAAGAAAGUGAACCUUGUCUCAUAAAGUUUCACCCAGAGAUAAGCAGCAAUAACAAUGGAAGCCAAGGGAGCUAGGUUAGUUUUUCUUGGCCCUUGUGACUUCUGUUCACUUUGUCAAUAUUUUUUUGCUUUAGUUCAAUUCAAUAUUCUACCUAAGACCAAUAAAAUUACAAAGGUAACCAAAUUCCUUUUAUUUACUAUAACCCUAUUAUCUCCACUAAAGAGUAUAUGUAGAAGAAAUCAGCCUUCUAGCAUUAAAAUGUAGACUCUAGAUUACUUCAGGCAGCUAACAUGUGCUUGUCUCCUUUUUAAUGAGCCAUGUGCAAGAGAAUUUUUUUUUUUUUUUGACAUUUUAGAAUCAUUGUUUGAGUUGUGGUGUAGAUUACUCGAAGCAGCUAAUCUUCCAAUUCUUGGCUUUCAGGGGAUUUCAUGCUUUUGUCAAAAACAAAAGCUGAAGUUCCAUGUAAACGUUCCAUAAUGGCUACUAUUUGGGAAAUUCGAAGGGGAAAAAAAAAACUAAAAGGAUCUUCAAAGAUUUUCGGGAGGAUAUCAUCUUUUCCUGGGAUAUGGUGUGAUUACUAGCCUAAUUAUCAGAAUUGGCCACUAUUUAGAAGUGUCAAUAAAAUAGAAUGUACAUGACACAUAAAGACAUAGAAAUGCAUAAAUCUGAUUCUAGGUUCUCUCCCUAUGCUUCUCUCCUUAUCAGUUAAGAGUGAGACAAAAAGGGGACAAAAACUAGAAGACAAAUAGACUGAGAAAUACAUAAUCUAAUUCUAACUUCUCAACUUAAUGCACUCAGACCAAACAAAAAAAUAUACAAAUCCUGCAAAAGAACCUAACUCUAAAAAGAGGGGGGUAUUAAUUGUUAUACAAAUCUGUAACGUUACAGAAAAUUUUAAAAAAAUCUAGCAGAGGUGCUAAAAACUUAACUUGAAAUAUCUAACAAAGAAAUCGAAGCUUGAAGUGUAUGGUAGCUAACCCUCAAAAAUAGAUGAGCUUCUUUGAGCAUCAACUAUGUCAGUUAAGGUUAACCAUAAUAAAUAGCUUUAGUGAAAAGUAUUCCCCUUAUUUCAUUAAUAAUGUUAUCACUUUUAAAGAAGGCUCAAAAGCCUAGGAUAUUCUAAGAACACUAAAGUAUCUCUUCCCAACCUAGAGAUGAUUUAAGUGCACUCCGUAAUUUUAGUUUUUUUUUUUUUCGGCUUUUUUUUGGGGGGGGGGGGGUGGGGUUUGGGGAUCAAAGAAGAGCAUCCCACAUUUCUUGUCCACUCCAGCUCUCUGUCAAGUAAAUAAGAUCAAAUGGGAGAUGUGUGAAAACACUGUUCUGUUCAAGGAUCAACGAUAAUCUUCUAGACUGUCAUGUGCUUCACUAAUUUUAAGGGGUCUUUAAAAUUUCCCCCGAUGUUAUUGGAAGUAGAGAAAACUCCACAAACUAUCAAGUUGGGAUGCAUACCCACUCACGUAUCAUUUUGAUAUAGAUGCAUGUUAGACAUCACUUUUUGUCAAAGAUAAUAACUUAAAAUGAGUUGUUCAUAAAUAUGUGAAUAACAACAAUAUCAUCUACAAAAAACAUUGAUGGCAAGUACAAAGGAAACAAUCAUUACCUGCUUUAGGGGAAGCAGCUAAAGCACUGGCAACGACUGGAGAAAAGAAACAAACAGCCAGUUUAAUUUCUCCGUAUAUAGAAAACAAAAUUCAAUUCUCUACAUAAGAGAGUACUAGUAUUUACUAAUACAGAAACAAACUCCCAAUACAAACUAUCCCAUCCAUAUUUCUUCCAUUCAAUUAAUCUCCGGUCAAAAGGUUGAUACGGGUAUCUUGUAUGAAGAACAUGCACAUAUAGUCAUAUAUUAUUUUUCUUACUGAUAUAGACUUACUCUGCCACAAGCACAAGCGGAGCAAAGAGAUCUGUUGUAUUAGGCUGGAGCCCAUUACAGGAUUAAAUACAAACGAAGAAUCAAGAGCACAAUUAGACAGCACAGCAACUAAGGGAUUCCUGCACAGUAGAAUUAAAAAAAAAAGACAAUUUGAUGUAAGGAUAAAUGAGUUCGGUAGGCAAUCCAACAUUCGAAAACAAAGAGAAGGCAAGUUAUUUCUUCCAAGCUGUACUGCUGUACGUUGAAAAACUAUAUCCAUAUUCAGAAUCAAAUAACAAAAUUCUAACUUUUUGGAUAAUUCAUCAACUAAACCUAGAAGAGUCACGUAGGGUUUGGUUGGUUGGGGAAAUUUUUCGCACUAAUCAAAAUAUUAAGCACGAAUUUCAAAUAAAAAUAAAUUAAGUUAGAACAACGAGUUUAACCCAAAAAAAAAAGUAAAUAAAAACCUUGGAGCGUUGGCGGGGGUUGCAGACUCUCCGGCGUAGGCAGCACAAAUUGGCGGGGCAUAGAAAUAAUUUUGAACCAAAAUUUGAACCAUGGAGUUUUUGUUUUAAAUGAGGGAAUUGGUUAUAUGUGAUGCAGAUCAUUUGAGAUACGAACACUUAAAAUGUAAUUUUAAAAAGUUAAAAAUUAAUUUUAGUAUUUAAUAAAUUUUUAAAAAAAUUAUUUUUAGAAAAAUCACUUUAUCUUAUGGUAUAUUUUGAAAAAGAGAGUAGGUGCAACUUUUAAAAAUCUAAUUUAAAAAAUUAAUUUUAUGUUUAAUAUAAUUCAUAUACAUCCUUAUACAUAUUACAAAUAUAAAAUUAUCUUUAUUAAUUAAGUAAUAAAAUCAUUAACUUAAAAUUCUUAUUAUCAAUUAUAAUGAGAUAAAAAAAAUUAAUAAUAUAAAAUAUUUUAUUUUAGUUGUCAAUUGUUAUAUGUACACAAUAAAAAAAUAUUUUAAAUAUAUGUUUAUAAAUGUUUAAAUAAAUUUUAUCAACAUUAUAUCCGAUUCAAUUAUUUACAUUCUUACCGAAAUUUAACAAUAAGAUUUAUUUAAUAAAUACAACUACUUUUAAAAAUAAAAUUUUAUCAAAUGUUUAACUGAUUUUCUUCACAACUGAUUAUAUUUAUAUCACAUAAUAAAAAUUAUUUUAAACGCUAAAGUAUUACCAAACUGGUCCUAAAUCUAUGAUUUGUCACUUAUUAUUAUUUACUUAAUAUUUUAUAUGUUUUAACUUUUUUAUUUUGAGUGGUAACUCAAGCAUUACUAUAUGUUAUAUAUAAUGUAAUGUAAUAUGACUUGAAUUGAUAAUACUCCUUCAAGAUUGAGCUUUUGAGAUUUUACAAGUCUAAAAAAAAUUGAUAUUUUCAAUAGAACAUAUAAUCUAUAUUUUUAACUUUAUAUUAAGAUAUUAUGACAAAUUGAAAAAAAAAACUAAAUUCGUUUUUGAGUGGUAACCAAAAUAAAAAAUUUGUUUAUUAUUAUAAGAUUCAUAUUUAAGUAAAAUUUCAAUAACAGUGUGCAUAAAAAAUUAAAUAAAAUUUUAAUUUCGUUUUAAUAUGCAUAAUUUAAAAAAUAUAUUAUAAAAAUUGAUUAAAAAGUUAUUUAAAUGAAUUAUGAUUUGAUGUGCGUCGUCGCGCAUCUUAUGGUGUGCGAUAGGACGUGAGUAAGAAUAUUAUUCGUGGAUGUAUUGUGCGCUCCAUAGUUUCACCAAUAAUAUCAUACUCAUCCCAUCUCGCAUGAUAAGAUAAGUGAUAACACGCAUAUCAUGAUCUUAUUUGUGGUUGUGUUAUGGGCUCCACAAUAUCACCAACGAGAUCAUGACAUGCAUCCCAUCACACAUCAUAAGCUGCACGAGGUGCACAUUAGAUCAGCCCUCUUUAUUUAAAUAUUUUUUAAAAAAAUUUCAUUAAAUCAGAAUCUAAAAAACUCAAGAUAACAACAUAGUUCCUGCAAAAAAUCUUCAAUUAAUACAAAAAAAAAAAACUAGUAAGACAAAGUGCAAACUUAACUAAAGCAUCCGCAACAAACCCAGAAACUUGAUGAGAAUUGGUUAAUUACAUAAAAAGGAUGCAGCAAAACUUACAAAAAUUGGCUAACAUAGAAAUUCAUGGGCUAAAUAUAUCAGCAAUAUUGUCAUAACUCAUAACCAAACCCAGAAACUUAAAUUGAAUUGCCAAACGAAUUGAUAUCGGUUGAUGAAAUAAUUACUGAAAAAGCUUGUAAAAAAUUGAGAAUAGUUACAAAGAUUACAAAUUCGAUUUGGAUUAGAAUUUUAAGCCGUAUCUUUUUUUAAAGUGGAGUUUCAGUUCGAGUCAAAUUAACUUUUCUAUAUAUAUAUAUUGAGUGUUUGUCUAAACUGAUUCAAAUUAGAAUAUAACUUGUUCUUUUCUGAAAUAAAAAUCAUUUUUCAUUUUGGAAUAAGAGUUCUAUUCUACUAAAGAUCCUACACUUUAAACUCAAGCACGAACACUCAAUCAGCCAGCAAUUGGAUUCAAAUCCAAUAAAUCAAAUCAGUUUCAUGUAUGUUUCACUUGCAUGCUUUUCUUAUAUAUGUACUAACUAUAACUUCUUUUCAUUUCAUAUUGGCAAUGCUGCUGAUGCACAAUCUUUUUCAUAUUCUUAAUUUUAAUUUCAUUCUAUCUAUGCUUUGUUAAUAUAUUCUCCAUAUAACUCACAAGCUUCUAUUUGAUUUGCGCAAGGUCCAUAAAGAUUCAAGACUACUAUAUACAUAUUUCAUUCAUUUAAUUUGAAAGAUCUAUAGCUUAGCCAUUUGUAUACACACAGCUCUAAGUUUGCAUCCCCAUUUUUUGUCUAUGUCUUCAUUCUCAUCAUCGUCGUCGUCAUCAUACGAUGUCUUCCUCAAUUUCAGAAGGGAGGAUACCGGCGAUAACUUUACCAGUCAUCUCCACCACGCGUUGCGCCGAAAUAAAAUCAAGAGCUUCACUUACGAUGAUCUUAACAAAGGACACGAUAUCAUGGCAUCACUGUUCGAAGCAAUCGAAGGAUCAAGGAUUUCGAUAGUAAUCUUUUCAAAGAAUUAUGCUUCUUCCGAAAGUUGUCUAGAUGAGCUUGUAAAGAUUAUUGAGUGCAAGAAAGUGAAGGGUCAAAUCGUUAUCCCGAUUUUCUACCACGUACGUCCGUCGGACGUACGGUGCCAGACGGGGAGUUUCGAGGAUGCUUUCGUUAAUCACGAACAGCAUUCCAAGCGUACGAAAGAAAAGUUGGAAAGAUGGAGGGGGGCUUUGAUGGAAGCAUCCGACCUAUGCGGAUGGGAUUCAUCCAUGAUUAGGUAAUUCAUACUAUUUCGCUUUAGUUAUUUUUCAUUCCGUAAAUACUCCGCCUAGUCUUAACAGCUUGAAACUCAAUUAGUUCUAUUUUUUCAAACAGUACAUAAGUAGACUUUAACCGAAACAGAUAUACGACACGACAGAGUCCAAAGGAGCAUUUUAAUCUUGUUAUAUUUGCUUUCACAUCUAACUCACUUUUGUUUUACUCUUCGCAAUUUGGAAAGGCCUGAAUCUAAACUUGUAGAAGAAAUUGUUGGUGACAUUUUAAACAAGUUGAAUGCUGCAUCACCCUCAAGCAAUUUCAGGGGCCGAAUUCAAACAAAUUCGAGCAUUGAUCAGCAGAUGGAUUCGACUGUUUCUAUCGGCAGGGGCAGAAGUAUUAGGAGACGGGGAGGUACCCUGUCACCCGUAAAACUUUUGAAAAAGGAAAAGAACGUAAAUGUUAGCAUAAUAUCUAGUUUCUGUUGGAUCAUAAACUUGAUCCAAUUUGAAAAAAUCCAAGCCCACUUCAUAGAAAUUUCUUGCGGUAGGUAAGGUAGGUGUGAUUGGUGUGGUUGGUGAAGUAGGUGAAAUGAAAUGAGUUAGGUUUAUAAUAGUAUGAUGGUUUAAAAUAAAAGAGUGGUUGUGAUUAAAUUUGUUUAGUUUAUAUGCAUAGUUAUAAUUAAGUUUUGGGUAUUAUAAAUACCCUUAUUAUUUGUGUUGUAUGUAUCAAGUGUAAGGAGAAGAAAGCAUAAGAAGCAAAAUAUCUUUUAAAAGUUAUUUGUGAGAGUGUGUGAAUUGUUCUUGUAAUAUUCUUGAGCUUUUUAUUAUAAAAUUAGUGUUUUGUUCUUCAAAUUCUCCAAAAGUUUCUUUCUUUAACUUUUCAACUAAUAUUUUAUCAUUAUUAUUAUUUUUAUGGUUUGAAUGGGGAUUUCAUCCUUUGAACACCAAUAGUUGUUCAUAUUAUAACUUAAACUCAAGUGAUAGGAGGUACAAUGUGAUGGUAAAUUGAUUGGGUGAAGCAAACUUACAAUUAAAGUAAAAUUGAGAAAUAAUAAUCACACAAGGACACUGAAAUUAAGUGGUUUGACUUUUAACCUACCUCCAGGGCGAACAUAAAAGUAUAAAACUUUACUAGUGAAAUGGAGAUUACAAAUAUUAAAAUAUUUUAACUCACUAUUCAAAACCUCAAUAUACCCAAUUUUUCACUCACUAAACCAAGAGGUUAAAACUCUCAAUACACUCUCAAUCUGCAGCUCUCAACUCUCUCAUUUCUCAAAUAAAUUGAGAAUUGAAGAAAAUUAGGAUAUUGAAGAGGCCCUCUUUCUCUAAUUUUUAUUAUCAUACAAAAGUUAAUAGACACCGAGAGUUAAAUUAGUGAUGUCCCCACGUGUCUCUCAUUAGCUCAUGUCUCCCACUUAGUCAACACAAUGCACUUCUAUAACCAGCUAAAUUACACCUAAAAGACAAAUAAAUAUCUUGUUUUAUUUUUUCAAAAGUCAAUAAUACAUCAUUUUUAUUCCUCCAUAAGAUUUUUCAGUAUGUAUCGAGGGCUUAUUCGAUUAGAUACUUUCAUAUAAUACGAAUAAACUUAUUGAAAAAUGAACAGAUUAACUUAUUUUCAUCUUUUGAAGUACGUGGCCCCUUCAACCAAAGUUUCUAGCUUCCGUCACUGUUUAUGGGUUUAUCAGAAUUUCAAGUUAGAAUUUGAUGUAAAGCUGAAGUUAUUUUUAACCAAUUAUCUUGAAGUUUUACACUUUGAAAGCAAAUGUUUCGGUGAAUGAGAAAAAUGAAAUUAGAUUUGUUCAUUGACAGUUCGAUGAACGGGAAGGCAAUGUACUUGGGCCCUAAAAGCUACUGUCCAAAGGCUAGAUAUGGGCCGUGUGGGUCUUCUUUUGCGGUUCAGCCCAACGUACAUCUUUAUUUGAGAGCAACUGUCCAAAGUCUAGACUAGGGCCGUGUGGGUCGUCUUUUGCUGUUCGGCCCAAGGGGCAUCGUUAUUUUAAGGGCAAAUUUCAGAUUAGCCCUUAUGAAUUAAUUAUCUUCUGUUAUUUUAAAAUUUUCAAAUUGCCUUAAAAAGUAAGAGAAAAAUGAGGAUCAGUUGAUGAAUUUCUUUUGGGUCUUCUAAAUAAAAAUAUGAAGUAAAUUGAGACUUUAAAAAAUAAGAGAGUAUUUGAAGAUAAUCAGUUCACAAAGAAAAUAAUUCGAAAUCAACCCUUAAAAUAAAUGUACGUGCUUGCAUAAUCCUCCAUUACUUUUAAAAUUAAUGGAAUAGCAUGAAGAGGCAUCGUAUCUUAAGUCAAGCUCAUUUAAUUCCAAUAAAAUUCUGAAUCAAUUUGUGUGCAUUUCACAUUAGCUUUGCAACCUUAGACCUUUUUUUUUUAUUAAAAAAAAAGGUAAAGAGGGUGGGCAAGCCCAAAUAUAUUUUUUUACCUCCUUUAUCACCCCCAAGAAUCAAACUCGGGUUUUGGUAGAGGCUACUGCUGCACUGCAAUCAACCCGACCACGCUCUUGGAGACUUGCAACAAUACUUGGUGGUGGGCACAAAAUAAUCUUUUGAUCGAAUAUAUACGGGUCACAAAUGUUAUAACUUGAUGAAUGGCGACACAAUUCUCAAUCCAUCAAUAUUUGCGAGAGGGUGGAGCCGUAAAUUUUUUGCCUUUAUAUAUAAAAAAAGUUAUAAUUAUCGUACUCUUAAUUGGCGGAUGCUACUCCUCGAUGUAGGAGAAUAGAUUAUAUUGACAUAAGUUACUAGUAUUGAAAUUAGAUUUGGGGGAAUAAUAACUUAUUUUAAGCAACUAUAUUAUUAAUAAAAGAAAUCAAAUUACAAUAGAUACGGAGAAGAAUUAUGAUUCUUUUUUUUUUUUUUUUUUUAACCUCUUCUAGAUCUUCUGAGAAACAAAGUGAGCACAUUUGCUUGCAAGCGCUAGGAAGAAACACAUGAGAAGGCAUAAAGUGAAUACAAACAAAAUAUGGACAGACAAGUCCUCUUUUUAUUUUAUUUUUAAAUUCAAACCAUUAAAUGACCAGGGCUCAUAAUACUUAGAUCGCUUUGUGAAAUUCAAUAACCCAAUAGCAAUAGGCAUGUCAUAUAACUUUAAUAUCUACAAAUCCAACUCUUGUUGCCAAGGCCUUGAAUUCUCUCCUUUGCUCCAGGAAAUAAGAUUGGAGAGAUGUACGUCAAGCCUUGAAAUGUUCUUGCUUAAAAUAUCACUCUCAUGGGAUUCUAGCACUAUACGUUCUACCAAAAUAACCUUUCCGAAUUUUGGUAUUGCAUGGUAGCAAUUCUUCAAUAACUAACCAUUGUAGAAAAUAUAAAGUAGUCAAUAAAAUGCAAAGUGUUGCCCCCAUAAAAUAUGCUCCCCAAGAAUGGGGAGCAGAGAUUCCACCUCCAGGAAUGGGUCCUAGAAAAUAUGCUCCCCUAGAAUGGGGAACGUGGAUUCUAUCCCAGGAAUGGGGCCCCAGCAAGUGUGCUCUCUCAUUCUUGAGAGUAGAGAUUCUACCCUCCGGAAUGAGGCCCCAUAAAAUAUGCUCCCCCAAGAAUGGGGAGUAGAGAUUCCACCUCUAGGAAUGGGCCCUAGAAAGUGUGCUCCCCCAAGAAUGAUGAGCAUGAAUUCUACCUUAAGGAUGGACAUCAGAAAAUAUGCUCCCUCAGAAUAGGAACAUGAAUUAUACCCUUAAGGAUGAGCCCCAGAAACCAUGUUCCCCAAGAAUAGGGAGCAGGAAUCAUGUUCCCCCAGGAACAUGGAGCAAGAAUUAGGCUCCUUAGGAAUGGGAAGCAGGAGUGGAGGAUGAUAGAAAUCAUGGUUUCAAACAGCCCUUGACCCAGUUCUAGAUUAUUGAUCUCACAAGAAAGGUCAAGUCCAAGUAGAGGAGCUAUCGUUGGAAGACAAUAGAAGGGCAUUGCUUGGCCUAAAAGCAAAUUAAGUAGAGUUUGACUCAGAUACAAUUUAUGAAAAGGUAGAAAUAUUUUGUAAUUAAAAUCCUAGAGGAUAGAGGAGAGUUAGAUAAAGUUCAAGUUAGAAAAGGACUUUAUCUAUAGAAGGCUAUAAAAGUAGAGGUCUCUCAUAGUAUAAGGGAUAAAAAAAAAUAGAAAAGAGAGAGAGGGAGUCAAGUUGUAAGUGCAAUCUUAAUAAAAUAUUUGUCUUUCUCUGCUCAUGGACGUAGACUAAAGGCCGAAUUACAUUAAUUCUCUUUGUCUUUCUGUUAUAUCGCCUUCGCAUAAAUUAAUUUUCUAAGUUGACCAGAAAUCUACGUCAACAAUUUGGCGCCGUCUGUGGGGACGAUGUAAAAUACUAUUAUUAAGAUUGAAACAAACCCUCGGUAAUCAUGAGUUAGUAUAGUCAUAGCCACAAUAGCAGGUUGUCCCUAGUUCCUAGUCCACCAAGAAGGCAACGUAGCAAUGCUGGGUCACAUCCACCACUUGCGCAGUUAGGGGUGGGCAAUUUCGAAUUCGGAUAAAUCCGAUCGGAUUUCGGAUAAUUUGGAUUAGAAAAAAAUCCAUCUGAUUCCAAUAUGAAUAUCAAAUCUGAUCCAUUCCGAUCCGAAAUAGUUCGGAUCGGAUGAAAUUUUGGAUAAAUUCAGAUUUGGAUCGAUUUGGAUUGAGUUCGGAUUUGAGUGAGUUUGACUAGUUUGGAUGAUGCUUUUGGAUCCUUCUUCUGAAACCCAUCGGCGCUGGCGGCUCCACCGUUACUUCCAUCAACAAAAGCAUGGCACAUCAACAAGAAAGUGCAACCACAACUCAUUCCAAGAAAAAGAUCAAAUUAAAGAGAAUACAAGUGAGUUUGAGAAUGACAGUGCCGUUAGGAAAGCAUCGUGACAGAGAUGGAGCUUUGGAAGAUGCCGGUGAGGAUAGUGGUGACCAUGUCAGUGGCGUAGUGCUUGUUGGAGGAGAUAUAACGACUGAGAGGGAGGGAACAACGAUGAGGAUGGAGAGGACGUGGAGGAGAAUGAGAGAGAAGCAUACGAGGGAGGGAAAGAGGCUAAGGGAGAGGGUGAGGAAGAUGAGGCUUGACGGUGAUGGUUGAUGUUGAAGGAGACGGCCAUUGUGGCUAUUAUUAUUGAGAGGUGUUAGAUCUUGAAAUUGUUGAUGAUUUGAAGAAAUAUUGAUGAUGAAGAUGAGUAGAAAUAUCUAAAGAAAUAUUGGAUUCUGCUUUUAUAUUUAAUUAUUUAAUUUAUUUUUUUAAUAAGUAUAAUCCAAUCGGAUUGUUCGGAUCGAUCCGAAUCCGAUCUGAUCCGAAUCAAAUUCGAUCGGAUUAUAUUCGAUCGGAUUAUAUUCGAUCGGAUUAUUAGCUAAAUCUGAAUCCGAUCCGAUGCCCACCCCUACGCGCAACAAGUAGCUGAUCUAACGUAGAAUAUGGCCAGGGUUCUCCAGUAUAUAGAGAACUAGGAACAUAGAACAAACCUAAAUAUGCCUCCAUGGAAGGAAGAAGGGCUGUAGAAUGCAUGCAAGAUACUCUACAAGAUAACACUAAUGGCUUACAACGGGUUCGUCAGAAAAGCAACCUUACUAGAUUAACCAGAAGAGCUGAGACUCAUGCAAGUCAUAUUGAUCACCUAAGGGACCUCCGACAUGUGCUGGAGAUCAAGCAGGAUUUGCGCCACAAGUUGAAUUCAGAACGUCCAUAUAAGAAACGUGAGUCAGAGGGCUCUAAUGCUAGUACUGGGUCGGCAAGUCUUGAAGUAGAAUUAAAAAAACUUAAGAAACAUGUGGAUGGGAUGGAGAAAAGUCCUGCAAAACUGACACAACUUAAAAGUAAUUUUUUAACUCCUAAGUAUAAGAGUGUCUUAUUGUAUUAUAACUCGGUGAGGCCGAGGUCGAUCCACAUAGAAAAGAUUUAAUUUGUUUAUUUUAUUUUAACUAAACAUUGAAAUUAAAACUUAAAUAUAAACAACUUAAUUUAAAUGAAACUAUGAAAUUGAGCUAGUUAGAGUUAUGGAUCCACUCUUAGAAGUAAAUAAAAUUUAAUAAAUUCUUUUUACCCUUUUUUUUAGAUUUAUUGCCCAAAAUAUUAAUUAUAUAAAUUAUUAUUAUUUUCCCUUUAAUUUUAUGAUGGAUUAAGUAUUUAUUGUGCCAAAAUUUAAUUUGUCUACAAUAAGUCAAAAUACCAUUUCACCAUACCUUAUAUUAAGAUCUUAAGAAUUUAUUGUGCCAAAUUCAUUUGUUUGUCUACAAUAAAUCAAAAUUUCAAAUUAUAAAAUAUGUAUAAAAUUAAAUAGAAAAUAAUUUAAUUUAUAAAAUUAAAAAUAGAAUUUGCUUAAAUCAUAUUUAUUUCUUAAGAGUUUCACCUUCCCCUAACUAAUAUUAUUUAGUUAAGCAUAAUUGAAAUAAAAAGUAGUAAAAUUGAAUUACUUAUAAUUAAAGUAAUAAAAACAACUAAAAUUGGAAAUAAAACUAAUUUUAUUUAUAAAAAUAAUUAUACAAAAUAUUAAAAACACACCUGGAAAUCAAGAUUACAAGGAGAUUGAGAGAAUUUGAGAAGAAGAGAGUUGUAAAGAGAUGAUUAAAAACAUAAAAUGAGGCUCUAUUUAUAGAAAAUAAAUUCAUAAUCCAGUGUGUUGCGGUCCAUCAUAAGCUUCAUGCAUGUGCUCCUCACAACUUUGAGAUCAAGAUCCAAUGGCUGGUCAAACUUCAAAAGUUAACAUCACACGUGAUAUCGUUUGACUCAUCCGAUUUGCCCGAAGAAGGUUGAGAUUUAGUGGGUUAAUGGGUGGAUCAGGUCGACCCGAAAACAAAGAUUCAGAUCCUACAACUUGCUUCACCAACCAUUGCCACGUGGCACAAUCAUGGCCAUAGAAUCAUGAACGGUUGAGAUUUAGUCAAAAUUGCCAGCUAUCUCAUGCACUCAUAUCUAUUGUAAGCUCAUUUCAUCAUCUAAUCAGUGUUCGGUCAACAGGAAAAGUCAACUCUUUUUACACAAGACCAAUUUUAAGCCGAUCUUGACUGAUCUUAAGGUUUUUCGGACCUUCAGAAUCUAAAUUUGACCUCCGUUUAUCUGUUUGGAGCCUUGAAUUACGUGAAAUUAAUAUUUUACUCAAUAAACACACAAAAAUACACAAAAUUAGAUAUAUUUAAAACAUAAUUAAUAAUUCUUAAUAUAUUGCAUAAACACAAAUAUAAAUUAUAAUAUAAGCACAAAAUAAUAUUAUUAUUGCUUGUUAAUUAGAUAAUUUUUAAUAUUAAUCAAGAACCACUCUUAGAGGAGGUAGAACCACCAUUCACCAAAGAUAUACUAGAGGCCCCAUUGCUAGCAAAAUUUAAAAUGCCUCAAAUCAAGUUAUAUGGAGGUGAAGGAGAUCCAACUGAGUAACUAGAGACAUUCAGGUUGUGGAUGAAGUUGCGAGGGGCGAUAUGAGCAGCCAUGUGCAGGGCUUCUCCUUGACGCUUACAAGAGCAGCACGUAAGUGGUACAGAAAGUUGAAGCCUGGGUCUAUCUCUUCAUUUACCCAGCUUAGUCAGAUAUUUAUUGGUCAGUUUGUAGGAGCAAAAGACUAUCAGGUUCCCCCAACUCACUUGUUAUCAGUGAAGUAAGGGAAUGAUGAGUCAUUGAAGGACCAUAUUGUUUGUUUUAACAAAGAGGCAGUAAGAGUAGAAAAUUGUAUAGAUGCAAUGGCAUUAAUAGCAAUAAUGGUAGGCAUGCGAUCAGAAAGAUUCCAUUACUUGAUGGCUAAGAAUGCAUUAAGGACCUUUACUGAGUUACUAUCAAGAGCUCAGAAAUACUCUAAUGCCGACAAGCUGACCAAUGCAAAGAGAGGAGUAGAUCCGGAUCCUCAGAGGACUAAAAAAAAGAAAAAGGAAUAAUGAACAGGUUAAAAAUCGAGACAAAAGAAAUAGACCAGGAGACAACAGGGGACCAAGAGUCCCACAAAGCAGGUACUUUGGGUACACGCCACUUAGCGUACCAAGAGAACAGCUGCUUAUGCAGAUACGAGACUUAGAUUUGUUGCAGAAGCCCAAAGAAAUAAGGAUCGCACCAAAUCGAAGAGAUAGAAGCAAAUACUGUAGGUAUCGAAAAGAUCAUGGUCAUAAUACUAACGGUUGCUUUGAUCUUAAAGAGGAAAUAAAGUCUUUAAUACAGCGAGGGUAUUUGAAAGACUUUGUAAAAAGAAAAGAGCACAUAGAUAUUCAAAAUGAAGCCUUGGCUGAUGUACCGCAAAAAUAUUGCUAAGAUAUUCAAAAUAAAGCCUUGGUUGAUGUGCCGCAAAAUAUUGCUACAGUAGCAUCCAAACAUAUAGAAAACCAAGAGGUUGCAGGUGGAGCUCCUAUAAGAACUAUAUUUGGUGGACUUACAGGAGGAGGGGACUCCAACAGGGCAUGAAAAGCUCAUGCACGGGUGAUUAGAGCAGCACCAGGGGCUUUACUGGUAAACUUAGUGGGUAAACCCCAAAAGAGGCUAGGAUGAAACAUAACACCAUCACUUUCACAUAAGAAGAAGCUAGAGGUUUACAUCAAUCGCACGAUGAUGCUCUGGUUUUUUCUAUAACUAUAGCAAACACAAAAGUCUUCAGAGUUUUAAUGGACAACGAGAGUUCAGCAGAUAUCUUAUAUGCAGCAGUAUUUGAUAAGAUGAAUAUAGGAAGGGAAAAAUUGAAGCAAAUUUAUACUCCAUUGAUCGGUUUUAGUGGAGAAUGCUUAAUUCCUUUGGGCAGUAUAGAUCUACUAGUUACUAUUGAAGAACCACCUCACCAAUCUACUAAGAUGGUAGGCUUCUUAGUAAUGGGAGCACCCUUCGGUCUACAAUGUUAUCUUAGGUAGACCUGCCUUAAAAUCUUUUUCCGGUAAUAACCUCAACUUACCACUUAAUGAUAAAAUUUUCUAUAGAACUGGGGCUGGAAUCUUAAAGGCAGAUCAAGAAGAAUCCAGCCACAGCCUUGAAAGACAAAAUGGACAAACGAGAAUGUUUUCAAGUCACGCUUGAUCUUAGAGAGGAGAGAAACAAAUAAAGAGGAUCACCAGUAGAAGAGCUAGACACCAUCCAAGUACGGCACAAUAAUCAAAGCAAGACAAUUCGUAUUGGGUCAUUAUUAACCCCAAAAAUAUGAAAACAACUGGAAGAUUUUCUCAGAUCACAGUCUAAUGUAUUUGCAUGGUCCCAUGAAGACAUGCCUGAUAUAGACCCAUAAGUGAUAGUCCAUUGAUUAAAUGUAGAUCCUAAUCAUAAGCCAAUACGACAAAAGAAGAGAUCCUUCAAUCCAGAAAGAUACAAAGCAAUAGAAGAAGAGGUCGAAAAACUCCUAAAAGCAGGCUUCAUUAGAGAGGUCUACUAUCCAAAUUGGUUGGCCAAUGUAGUGAUGGUUAAAAAGCCAAAUGGAAAGUGAAGGAUCUGUAUAGACUUCACUGAUUUAAAUAAAGCAUGUCCCAAAGAUAGUUUUCCUUUACCUAGAAUUGAUUAGUUGGUUGAUGCUACUGCAAGGCAUGAGCUGUUUAUUUUUAUGGAUGCAUAUUCUGGGUAUAACCAAAUUCAAAUGUACCCACCAGAUAGGAAAAGACAUCUUUCAUUACGAAUACGGGCCUGUAUUACUAUAACGUUAUGCCCUUUGGGUUAAAAAAUACAAGAGCAACCUAUCAGAGUUGGUCAAUAAAAUGUUUCAUAGCCAGAUUAGAAGAAAUAUGGAGGUUUACGUAGAUGAUAUGCUUAUGAAAAGCAAGAGAAUGGAAGAUCAUAUCACAGACUUAGAUGAGCGUUCAAGAUUUUGAAGCAGUACAACAUGAAGUUAAACCCAAGCAAAUGCGCAUUUGGAGUCUUUUCAAGAAAGUUUUUAGGGUUCAUGGUAAGCCAGCGAGGAACAGAAGCUAACCCAGAAAAAAUUCAAGCCCUUCUAAAUAUGGAGUCUCCAAAAUCAAUUAGAGAAGUUCAAGGUUAACAGGAAGAGUUGUGGCCUUGAAUCCGUUUAUUUUACGAGCGACAGAUAAAUGUUUACCAUUCUUGAAGACCCCAGAGGGAGGAAAGAGAUAGUAUGCGCAGAGGAAUGCGAGAAAGCCUUCCAGGAGUUGAAAAGGUAUCUGGAAGUCCUCCAAUCUCUAAGCUAAUAUUGGGAGAAGAUCUUUACUUAUACCUGGCCGUUUUAGACUCAGCAAUCAGUUCAGUAUUGAUAAAAGAGGAUAAUAAAAUACAAAAGCCAGUUUAUUAUGUGAGUCAUACUCUGUUAGAUGCGGAGACAAGGUAUCCAGCUAUAGAAAAUAUGGCUUUAGCACUAGCAGUAUCCGCUAGGAAAACUAAGGCCUUACUUUCAGGCUCACACCAUAGUGACGCUGACAAAACCAACCCUUGACGUAGAUAAGCAACGACCAUAAGUAUCAGGAAGGUUGUAUAGUGGGCCGUAGAGCUAGAAGAGUAUGAUAUUAGGUAUAGACCUAGAACAACAAUUAAAGGACAGGCAGCCGCAGACUUUAUAGUUGAGUUACUGGUAACUAGUUCAAUGAGUUCAGGAUUAGUGAAACAAUAAUAUCAACCUGGAGAUUGUAUGUGGAUGGAUUGUCAAACCAACAGGAGAGUGGAGCAGGAUUGAUUUUAGUCUCCCCAGAGCAUACAAAAAUAAGCUUUGCCCUCAGGUUUGGGUUGAAGGCCUCCAACAAUGAAGCUGAGUACGAGGUCUUACUUCCUGGUCUCAGUUAGCAAAAGAAAUGAGGGCAGAAAAGCUAGAAAUUUUUAGUGAUUCAUAAUUGAUUGGAAUCAAGUUAUAUCCGAGUACUAAGCAAAGGGAAGUAUGAUGUUAGCAUAUUUACAAAAGGUCAGGGAAUUAUUAAUGAAUUUUAUAGAAUACACUAUCACUUAAGUUUCAAGAGAGGAAGCCAACAAAGCUGUUGCCCUUGCAAGGCUAGCAUCAACCACAACUGCAGGAUUAAACAGAUUAAUCGCUGUUGAGUUCUUGCAAAAUCCGAGUAUUAAUCACGAGGAGAAAAAAGAGAUUAAUCUUAUGAAUACAAUUGGAGCUAGAUGGAUAGCAUAAUAUCACUAAAUACUAUAGUCACAUAAAUCACUAACAGUAAUUUGUAUAAUUAAAUACUAACAUUAUAGUGUCAUUAUUUUGUUGAUACNAUCUACGUCAACAAUUUGGCGCCGUCUGUGGGGACGAUGUAAAAUACUUAUUAAGAUUGAAACAAACCCUCGGUAAUCAUGAGUUAGUAUAGUCAUAGCCACAAUAGCAGGUUGUCCCUAGUUCCUAGUCCACCAAGAAGGCAACGUAGCAAUGCUGGGUCACAUCCACCACUUGCGCAGUUAGGGGUGGGCAAUUUCGAAUUCGGAUAAAUCCGAUCGGAUUUCGGAUAAUUUGGAUUAAAAAAAAUCCAUCUGAUUCCAAUAUGAAUAUCAAAUCUGAUCCAUUCCGAUCCGAAAUAGUUCGGAUCGGAUGAAAUUUUGGAUAAAUUCAGAUUUGGAUCGAUUUGGAUUGAGUUCGGAUUUGAGUGAGUUUGACUAGUUUGGAUGAUGCUUUUGGAUCCUUCUUCUGAAACCCAUCGGCGCUGGCGGCUCCACCGUUACUUCCAUCAACAAAAGCAUGGCACAUCAACAAGAAAGUGCAACCACAACUCAUUCCAAGAAAAAGAUCAAAUUAAAGAGAAUACAAGUGAGUUUGAGAAUGACAGUGCCGUUAGGAAAGCAUCGUGACAGAGAUGGAGCUUUGGAAGAUGCCGGUGAGGAUAGUGGUGACCAUGUCAGUGGCGUAGUGCUUGUUGGAGGAGAUAUAACGACUGAGAGGAGGGAACAACGAUGAGGAUGGAGAGGACGUGGAGGAGAAUGAGAGAGAAGCAUACGAGGGAGGGAAAGAGGCUAAGGGAGAGGGUGAGGAAGAUGAGGCUUGACGGUGAUGGUUGAUGUUGAAGGAGACGGCCAUUGUGGCUAUUAUUAUUGAGAGGUGUUAGAUCUUGAAAUUGUUGAUGAUUUGAAGAAAUAUUGAUGAUGAAGAUGAGUAGAAAUAUCUAAAGAAAUAUUGGAUUCUGCUUUUAUAUUUAAUUAUUUAAUUUAUUUUUUUAAUAAGUAUAAUCCAAUCGGAUUGUUCGGAUCGAUCCGAAUCCGAUCUGAUCCGAAUCAAAUUCGAUCGGAUUACGGAUUAUAUUCGAUCGGAUUAUUAGCUAAAUCUGAAUCCGAUCCGAUGCCCACCCCUACGCGCAACAAGUAGCUGAUCUAACGUAGAAUAUGGCCAGGGUUCUCCAGUAUAUAGAGAACUAGGAACAUAGAACAAACCUAAAUAUGCCUCCAUGGAAGGAAGAAGGGCUGUAGAAUGCAUGCAAGAUACUCUACAAGAUAACACUAAUGGCUUACAACGGGUUCGUCAGAAAAGCAACCUUACUAGAUUAACCAGAAGAGCUGAGACUCAUGCAAGUCAUAUUGAUCACCUAAGGGACCUCCGACAUGUGCUGGAGAUCAAGCAGGAUUUGCGCCACAAGUUGAAUUCAGAACGUCCAUAUAAGAAACGUGAGUCAGAGGGCUCUAAUGCUAGUACUGGGUCGGCAAGUCUUGAAGUAGAAUUAAAAAAACUUAAGAAACAUGUGGAUGGGAUGGAGAAAAGUCCUGCAAAACUGACACAACUUAAAAGUAAUUUUUUAACUCCUAAGUAUAAGAGUGUCUUAUUGUAUUAUAACUCGGUGAGGCCGAGGUCGAUCCACAUAGAAAAGAUUUAAUUUGUUUAUUUUAUUUUAACUAAACAUUGAAAUUAAAACUUAAAUAUAAACAACUUAAUUAAAUGAAACUAUGAAAUUGAGCUAGUUAGAGUUAUGGAUCCACUCUUAGAAGUAAAUAAAAUUUAAUAAAUUCUUUUUACCCUUUUUUUUAGAUUUAUUGCCCAAAAUAUUAAUUAUAUAAAUUAUUAUUAUUUUCCCUUUAAUUUUAUGAUGGAUUAAGUAUUUAUUGUGCCAAAAUUUAAUUUGUCUACAAUAAGUCAAAAUACCAUUUCACCAUUACUUAUAUUAAGAUCUUAAGAAUUUAUUUGUGCCAAAUUCAUUUGUUUUGUCUACAAUAAAUCAAAAUUUCAAAUUAUAAAAUAUGUAUAAAAAUUAAAUAGAAAAUAAUUUAAUUUAUAAAAUUAAAAAUAUGAAUUUGCUUAAAUCAUAUUUAUUUCUUAAGAGUUUCCACCUUCCCCUAACUAAUAUUAUUUAGUUAAGCAUAAUUGAAAUAAAAAAGUAGUAAAAUUGAAUUACUUAUAAUUAAAGUAAUAAAAACAACUAAAAUUGGAAAUAAAACUAAUUUUAUUUAUAAAAAUAAUUAUACAAAAUAUUAAAAACACACCUGGAAAUCAGAUUACAAGGAGAUUGAGAGAAUUUGAGAAGAAGAGAGUUGUAAAGAGAUGAUUAAAAACAUAAAAUGAGGCUCUAUUUAUAGAAAAUAAAUUCAUAAUCCAGUGUGUUGCGGUCCAUCAUAAGCUUCAUGCAUGUGCUCCUCACAACUUUGAGAUCAAGAUCCAAUGGCUGGUCAAACUUCAAAAGUUAACAUCACACGUGAUAUCGUUUGACUCAUCCGAUUUGCCCGAAGAAGGUUGAGAUUUAGUGGGUUAAUGGGUGGAUCAGGUCGACCCCGAAAACAAAGAUUCAGAUCCUACAACUUGCUUCACCAACCAUUGCCACGUGGCACAAUCAUGGCCAUAGAAUCAUGAACGGUUGAGAUUUAGUCAAAAUUGCCAGCUAUCUCAUGCACUCAUAUCUAUUGUAAGCUCAUUUCAUCAUCUAAUCAGUGUUCGGUCAACAGGAAAAGUCAACUCUUUUUACACCAAGACCAAUUUUAAGCCGAUCUUGACUGAUCUUAAGGUUUUUCGGACCUUCAGAAUCUAAAUUUGACCUCCGUUUAUCUGUUUGGAGCCUUGAAUUACGUGAAAUUAAUAUUUUACUCAAUAAACACACAAAAAUACACAAAAUUAGAUAUAUUUAAAACAUAAUUAAUAAUUCUUAAUAUAUUGCAUAAACACAAAUAUAAAUUAUAAUAUAAGCACAAAAUAAUAUUAUUAUUGCUUGUUAAUUAGAUAAUUUUUAAUAUUAAUCAAGAACCACUCUUAGAGGAGGUAGAACCACCAUUCACCAAAGAUAUACUAGAGGCCCCAUUGCUAGCAAAAUUUAAAAUGCCUCAAAUCAAGUUAUAUGGAGGUGAAGGAGAUCCAACUGAGUAACUAGAGACAUUCAGGUUGUGGAUGAAGUUGCGAGGGCGAUAUGAGCAGCCAUGUGCAGGGCUUCUCCUUGGACGCUUACAAGAGCAGCACGUAAGUGGUACAGAAAGUUGAAGCCUGGGUCUAUCUCUUCAUUUACCCAGCUUAGUCAGAUAUUUAUUGGUCAGUUUGUAGGAGCAAAAGACUAUCAGGUUCCCCCAACUCACUUGUUAUCAGUGAAGUAAGGGAAUGAUGAGUCAUUGAAGGACCAUAUUGUUUGUUUUAACAAAGAGGCAGUAAGAGUAGAAAAAUUGUAUAGAUGCAAUGGCAUUAAUAGCAAUAAUGGUAGGCAUGCGAUCAGAAAGAUUCCAUUACUUGAUGGCUAAGAAUGCAUUAAGGACCUUUACUGAGUUACUAUCAAGAGCUCAGAAAUACUCUAAUGCCGACAAGCUGACCAAUGCAAAGAGAGGAGUAGAUCCGGAUCCUCAGAGGACUAAAAAAAAGAAAAAGGAAUAAUGAACAGGUUAAAAAUCGAGACAAAAGAAAUAGACCAGGAGACAACAGGGACCAAGAGUCCCACAAAGCAGGUACUUUGGGUACACGCCACUUAGCGUACCAAGAGAACAGCUGCUUAUGCAGAUACGAGACUUAGAUUUGUUGCAGAAGCCCAAAGAAAUAAGGAUCGCACCAAAUCGAAGAGAUAGAAGCAAAUACUGUAGGUAUCGAAAAGAUCAUGGUCAUAAUACUAACGGUUGCUUUGAUCUUAAAGAGGAAAUAAAGUCUUUAAUACAGCGAGGGUAUUUGAAAGACUUUGUAAAAAGAAAAGAGCACAUAGAUAUUCAAAAUGAAGCCUUGGCUGAUGUACCGCAAAAUAUUGCUAAGAUAUUCAAAAUAAAGCCUUGGUUGAUGUGCCGCAAAAUAUUGCUACAGUAGCAUCCAAACAUAUAGAAAACCAAGAGGUUGCAGGUGGAGCUCCUAUAAGAACUAUAUUUGGUGGACUUACAGGAGGAGGGGACUCCAACAGGGCAUGAAAAGCUCAUGCACGGGUGAUUAGAGCAGCACCAGGGGCUUUACUGGUAAACUUAGUGGGUAAACCCCCAAAAGAGGCUAGGAUGAAACAUAACACCAUCACUUUCACAUAAGAAGAAGCUAGAGGUUUACAUCAAUCGCACGAUGAUGCUCUGGUUUUUUCUAUAACUAUAGCAAACACAAAAGUCUUCAGAGUUUUAAUGGACAACGAGAGUUCAGCAGAUAUCUUAUAUGCAGCAGUAUUUGAUAAGAUGAAUAUAGGAAGGGAAAAAUUGAAGCAAAUUUAUACUCCAUUGAUCGGUUUUAGUGGAGAAUGCUUAAUUCCUUUGGGCAGUAUAGAUCUACUAGUUACUAUUGAAGAACCACCUCACCAAUCUACUAAGAUGGUAGGCUUCUUAGUAAUGGAGCACCCUUCGGUCUACAAUGUUAUCUUAGGUAGACCUGCCUUAAAUCUUUUUCCGGUAAUAACCUCAACUUACCACUUAAUGAUAAAAUUUUCUAUAGAAACUGGGGCUGGAAUCUUAAAGGCAGAUCAAGAAGAAUCCAGCCACAGCCUUGAAAGACAAAAUGGACAAACGAGAAUGUUUUCAAGUCACGCUUGAUCUUAGAGAGGAGAGAAACAAAUAAAGAGGAUCACCAGUAGAAGAGCUAGACACCAUCCAAGUACGGCACAAUAAUCAAAGCAAGACAAUUCGUAUUGGGUCAUUAUUAACCCCAAAAAUAUGAAAACAACUGGAAGAUUUUCUCAGAUCACAGUCUAAUGUAUUUGCAUGGUCCCAUGAAGACAUGCCUGAUAUAGACCCAUAAGUGAUAGUCCAUUGAUUAAAUGUAGAUCCUAAUCAUAAGCCAAUACGACAAAAGAAGAGAUCCUUCAAUCCAGAAAGAUACAAAGCAAUAGAAGAAGAGGUCGAAAAACUCCUAAAAGCAGGCUUCAUUAGAGAGGUCUACUAUCCAAAUUGGUUGGCCAAUGUAGUGAUGGUUAAAAAGCCAAAUGGAAAGUGAAGGAUCUGUAUAGACUUCACUGAUUUAAAUAAAGCAUGUCCCAAAGAUAGUUUUCCUUUACCUAGAAUUGAUUAGUUGGUUGAUGCUACUGCAAGGCAUGAGCUGUUUAUUUUUAUGGAUGCAUAUUCUGGGUAUAACCAAAUUCAAAUGUACCCACCAGAUAGGGAAAAGACAUCUUUCAUUACGAAUACGGGCCUGUAUUACUAUAACGUUAUGCCCUUUGGGUUAAAAAAUACAAGAGCAACCUAUCAGAGGUUGGUCAAUAAAAUGUUUCAUAGCCAGAUUAGAAGAAAUAUGGAGGUUUACGUAGAUGAUAUGCUUAUGAAAAGCAAGAGAAUGGAAGAUCAUAUCACAGACUUAGAUGAAGCGUUCAAGAUUUUGAAGCAGUACAACAUGAAGUUAAACCCAAGCAAAUGCGCAUUUGGAGUCUUUUCAGGAAAGUUUUUAGGGUUCAUGGUAAGCCAGCGAGGAACAGAAGCUAACCCAGAAAAAAUUCAAGCCCUUCUAAAUAUGGAGUCUCCAAAAUCAAUUAGAGAAGUUCAAAGGUUAACAGGAAGAGUUGUGGCCUUGAAUCCGUUUAUUUUACGAGCGACAGAUAAAUGUUUACCAUUCUUGAAGACCCCAGAGGGAGGAAAGAGAUAGUAUGCGCAGAGGAAUGCGAGAAAGCCUUCCAGGAGUUGAAAAGGUAUCUGGGAAGUCCUCCAAUCUCUAAGCUAAUAUUGGGAGAAGAUCUUUACUUAUACCUGGCCGUUUUAGACUCAGCAAUCAGUUCAGUAUUGAUAAAAGAGGAUAAUAAAAUACAAAAGCCAGUUUAUUAUGUGAGUCAUACUCUGUUAGAUGCGGAGACAAGGUAUCCAGCUAUAGAAAAUAUGGCUUUAGCACUAGCAGUAUCCGCUAGGAAACUAAGGCCUUACUUUCAGGCUCACACCAUAGUGACGCUGACAAACCAACCCUUGACGUAGAUAAUGCAACGACCAUAAGUAUCAGGAAGGUUGGUAUAGUGGGCCGUAGAGCUAGGAGAGUAUGAUAUUAGGUAUAGACCUAGAACAACAAUUAAAGGACAGGCAGCCGCAGACUUUAUAGUUGAGUUACUGGUAACUAGUUCAAUGAGUUCAGGAUUAGUGAAACAAUAAUAUCAACCUGGAGAUUGUAUGUGGAUGGAUUGUCAAACCAACAGGAGAGUGGAGCAGGAUUGAUUUUAGUCUCCCCAGAGCAUACAAAAAUAAGCUUUGCCCUCAGGUUUGGGUUGAAGGCCUCCAACAAUGAAGCUGAGUACGAGGUCUUACUUCCUGGUCUCAGGUUAGCAAAAGAAAUGAGGGCAGAAAAGCUAGAAAUUUUUAGUGAUUCAUAAUUGAUUGGGAAUCAAGUUAUAUCCGAGUACUAAGCAAAGGGAAGUAUGAUGUUAGCAUAUUUACAAAAGGUCAGGGAAUUAUUAAUGAAUUUUAUAGAAUACACUAUCACUUAAGUUUCAAGAGAGGAAGCCAACAAAGCUGUUGCCCUUGCAAGGCUAGCAUCAACCACAACUGCAGGAUUAAACAGAUUAAUCGCUGUUGAGUUCUUGCAAAAUCCGAGUAUUAAUCACGAGGAGAAAAAAGAGAUUAAUCUUAUGAAUACAAUUGGGAGCUAGAUGGAUAGCAUAAUAUCACUAAAUACUAUAGUCACAUAAAUCACUAACAGUAAUUUGUAUAAUUAAAUACUAACAUUAUAGUGUCAUUAUUUUGUUGAUACUAUGUGAUACGAAUUACUGACAUUAUAUAUUAUCAUGAAAUACUAACACCAUAGUGUCAUUAUUUUGGUGAUACUAUAGUGACAUGAAUUAUUAAAACAAAAACCACUGAUACAAUUAAUAAGUGUUAGCAAAAGUAAUUACUGACACUAAAUUGGUGUCAACAAAACUCAUUUUUCUAGUAGUGCCAAUUUGUAUAACUUUGAUCAAUUCCAAAGAUAAUCAAGUGAGUUUCUAUCUCUAAAGGAGUCUGGUACUUCACAUUCCCACACUUUGAGCAAGGGCAACGUAAAUGAUCUAGAUUUGCAGUGUGAUGGACAACAUAAUUAAAAAAGCUCUUAACACUAUCUCUAUAUUCUUCUAAUCUUCUAUCCAAUGAAAUCUAAGACUUAUCCAUUGUAGAUUCGACAAUAAUAAAUUGAGGCCUGAAGUUUCAAUUACUACCUCGUAGCUAAAUGUGCUUGGACGUUCUAGUGCAAAAACUAAACCUUUUUAUUACCAAGAAAAAAUAAAAGGGAAUUAGUUUGGACAUAAGAGCAAAUAAGAAAACAAAUAAACAAAAAAGAAAAAGACAGCACUUGGAAUUUUCUAGGUGUUGUCUACCUACUUAAUUAUGUUAAAACAAAACCUAAAACUCUCAAACAGCAAACAACAGCAUGGCAACACCUAAAAAUUUUUUUGGGUGUUGUCUAACUAUUGUAAUUAUGUUAAAACAACAUGUAAUUGUGUUAAGAUAGCAUCUAAAAGUUUCAUGUGUUGUUUUUAACAUCAAACAGUAGCAUGAUAGAAACAAAAAAAAUUCUUUGGGUGUUGUCUAGCUAUUAAAAAAGCAUGGGAACUUCUAGGUGCUAUUUUUAACAGCAAACAGUACUCAAAUUUUUUUUGGGUGCUGUCUAGCUAUUAAAAACAGUACCUAGUACUUCUAGGUGUUGUUUCUAAUAGCAUGACAGUACUAAGAAAAAUUUUUGGGUGCUGUCUAGCAACUGUAAUUGUGUUGUUUUUAACAUCAAACAGCAGCAUGGUAGCAUCUAAAAAUUUUUUUGAGUGCUAUCUAACUAUUAAAAACAACACUUGAAAGUCCCAGGUACUGUUUUUAGUAGCAAACAACAACAUGACAACAAUCAUGAAAUCUUUUUAGGUGCUGUCAAGGUGUUAAAAACAACACUUCAAACUUCCAAGUGCUGUUUUUUUAUAGCAAACAGCAGUAUGACAACAAUCAACAGUAGAUUUUUUGCACCCAAUGAUAGAAUUUGGUAGGGAUAUCAAAAUUCAUAAUCACCUACCUACUCCGUUUAACGUUCCCCUAAGGCACAACUAGCUAGCUAGACCAUCUUCAUCAAUAUAAUCUAAAGUAAUGUUGCCAAACUACCAAAAACGAAGUAUUGGAUCCAUCCAUGUUUUAUUUCUCAAACACACAUUAAAUGGGAAAAUAUGAAUAAUGGGUCAUUGAUUUUAACUUUAAUCUAGGGGAUACAAUCAAAUGAAACUAUAAAAAUUGCAAAAUCACAAGUCUAAGGCCUUCAGAUAUACAUAAUUAGCAAAUAUAUGAACUUAAUAUGUUUUCUAUUUACCAAAUUACUUAACUUAAAGAACAAAAUACAUGCACUUAUUCACAAUUUAGAAUAGAGAUGACCAUAUCUAUUAUGGUAUAACAUUCAAAGAUAUUAACAAUUUUCCCCACUUACCUUUACUACUUCUGUACCACCAUUCUAGAUAUGAUUUGUCAAAGUAGUCAAUUUAUUUAAGGGUGAAAGAGCAUGAUUGUUUAACCCAUAAUUUGGGAAACAAAUUAUCAAUACCCAACGUAAAUAAAAGUUGGUUAGAAUAUAAAUUCAAAAAAGGAUAAAUGCAUGAAUAAAAACACUUUGAAUGUAUGGAAACACUUUCUCUUUCUCAAAACUGAGAUAGAAGUUUUAAAAUUGUAGCCCCUGCAUGCUAAAAAGCACAACUGGAGCGUCAGUUUCUCUGGGGUGAAGACCCAAGACCUUUGUCUGCAACGAAGCCAACAAAAAACGAACAUAGAGGCAUCUCUACCAAGACGACAGCAGCUGACAGUGAACGAACAAGGUGGCAGCGUGGGCUUUUGCUUAGGCAAGGUUAUGAAGAAAAAGAGAACGAGAUUGUGCAAAGAGGAGAAAGAAAGUGCGUGAAGAUUGAAGAAGAAGAGAAAGAGUGUUGUGUGCUUAGGGAUAUUGCAAGUAUUUCCUUUUUCUUUGAAUCGUUUUUUUUUUUUUUAAGGCAAAUGAUACACAAUGACUUAUUAAAAACAAUCAUAAAAUGUAUCAAUUACAGCCAUUUUUACUAUUUAUAUUCAACGACUGUCAUUAAAUUAAAAGUUCUAAAGGAUUAAACAUACAAUGACCAUUAUAUUAAAUAACCAUCAUCAAAUACUUUUAAUAAUGGUUCAAUUACAUAAUUGUCAUUAAAUGUACAAUCAAAAUUUAACGACAGUUAUAUAAUAGAACUAUCAUUAAUAUUGAACUUUCAAUGACCCUUUUUUAUGGAUGGAGUAGCUUUUCAAAUAUGAUUUUAAGAAUCACUUUUAUACUUAUUAAAAUUCCUUAUAUAUUCCCAUAUAUAUUAUAAAAAUUCAAAAUUAUCCUUAUUAAUUAGGAAAUAAAAUUAUCAACUUCAAAGAGAUGAUGAUGAUGAUGAUGAUGAUGAUUAUUAUUAUUAUUAUUAUUAUUAUUAUUAUUAUUAUUAUUACCAAUUAUAUUGAGCUAACAAAAUAAAAAAAUUCAUAAUUAUAAAAUAUUUAUGUUAGUUAUUAAUUAUCAUAUAAACACAAUUAAAAAUAUUUUAUAUACAUAUUUAUAAAUGUGUUAAUAAAUUUUGUCCACCAUUAUGUCUAAUUCAGUCAUUUAUAUUCUUAACGCAGUUUAACAAUAAUAUUUACUAAAUAUAUACGACUGCUUUUAAAACUCAUAUCACUUUUAAGAACAAAUUUUACCAAAUAUUUAACUAAUUCUCUUUACAGUUGAUUAUUUUACAGUAUAACUAACAACAAUUAUUUUAAAAGUUACAGUAGUACUAAACUAGCCCUUACAAGCUAUUACAAUAAUAAGAAUAAUUAGAACACAUAUUGUAAAUGUAAUAUUAUUGUACCUAAUUUAUUAUUUAAUGACAACAUAGUUUUACACCCAAUGUUAUGGAUUCUAGACAAGUUGUUGGACCCAUUGAUUGUAUUUCAACACUUGGGAUUUUGGAUUUAUUUUUUAAUUUCGACCUUGAUAUGUAUGAAUGUUUCUAUUUUCUUUAAAUGCUGCUAUGUGUAUAUAUAUAUUACAAUUAGAAAUUUAUAUAUAUAAAGAAAUUUAUUGGAACCACUUUAGAUCAAGUCUAUUAUAGCAGAAUUAUGAUUCCUACUCUCACAAAGAUUAGAAGGAUACCUACUCCAUUCAUAUUAGUAGGGAAUAUAUACACCUCUAUCAAAUUUUUAAUUGAAAAAUUACUUUAUAAAAUGGUUGAAUUUGAAAGGAUGAUGCAUAUCAUAUAUUCUAAUUUCAUAAUUGAUAUAUAUUUUUUAAUUUUUUCCCCUUUAAAGACGUAUUUGGUAUUGCACAAAUUGCAUUGCUAUUAAAACAAAUUUAAAGUUGACGAUAUUUAUAAUUACAACUAUCAAAAUUUAUCAAAUAAUUUGAUAUUUGUAAAAUGUUUAUUUAAAUAAAUUAAAUUUAUUAAAAAGAAAGUUGGGCGAACUUUCAAAACCUAGGGCCAAGUAGUCUAGAAGACGGGUAAGUUAAAAAUUUAGAGUGGUGACAUUUGACUCCUCAAUAUAUCUCACUAGCCUCACUUCUCAAAUAACCCCACUAAAAAAUUGAAAAUAGUUUUCCUCUCUCAAUAUGCCCUAUCUAAUCCCUAGUUUAUCUUAUUACAAUUUUUAUACUUUUUUGGCAUGCUACCCUAUAAAACUUAAAAAUAUGCACAUACUAAAGCUUUUUCAUUUUUCUUUUCUUUUUUUUUUACUGAUAAAUUAUUAAAAAAUAAACUCAUUUAAUAUUCGGACUUCCUGUGAUCAACUAAACUACAUUUUAUUGAUUGCUGAAGUAAUGUUAAUCUGUAAUAAAUUAAAUUGAGUUUAUGAAGAAUUUUUUUUAAAACUAACUAAAGGGGCCAUAAUGGUGACGUUUGAUUAAAAUGCAGAGUUUGUUUUUGUUUGUCGAAAUUAAAAUCCAUUUUUAUUCCCUCUUAAACAGGUUGAAAUGCAAGUAAAACGGCGCCCGAUUACUUUUUUGUAAGAAUUUUCUGUAACUAUUUUAUAUUAAAGUAGCAUUGUUGAUUAGUAAGGGUUAUAUAUGCAAAUAGGUGUAUUUAAAAGGUAUUUAUCUUUUUUAGUAACUUCAUAUAAGAACAAAAUGGUCAUUAGCAUAAAAGUGAUUAUUGGAGAUUAGUAAAAUAUAUUGAGAGGAUCUAAUAUCACUACCCAAAAUUUAAUAACAUAAUUUACACAAAUGAACUCAUUCUCAAACCCUUGUUUUCGUAUUUAGUUUUUGAAAUAAUACUAUAGCACAACUUCUCUUUAUUGGUUGACCCUCUGUUGUUGUCCUCUUAAUUACAAUGCAAGACACAUAACCUAACGAGGUUACAUAUGAAAUAACUAUUUAUGUCCUUCAUCAAAAUGCGGCAAAUUAGAGCCAGAGAGUAGCGGAAGAGAGAAAUAAAAAAGUAAAUGGAUUAGCAGUUCUAGUAAAAAUCACUGAAGUUCGUAUAGUAUAAAGAAGUUGAUAAAUGACUAAUGAAGUUUGUUUAGCAUUUAUCCAAGCAUAUAUUUAAGAGGGCAAAAGUUCGUUUAGCAUAAAGAAGAGAGGCUGGUUGAUAGAAAUCUCUAUAUUGUAAAGAUUACUGAAGAAGUUUUAUUAAGCAUACUGAUAUGAGAUAAGGAGCCCUUAUUAGGAGCCCUUAUUUGCCACGGACACUCGGAUAUUUUUUCGUACAGAUUUGCUAAAACAUGUAGCAUCCUUGAAAUUGAAUGAGGUUUUAGGUUUGGUUUUAAACUCUUUCCUUUUAGAGAAACUAUGUUUCUUAUAAGGCCUCGAAGGUUUCUUAUAAGGAAGUUUUCUAAAAUCAUGAAAGGAAAAAGAUGUUCAAAACAUUGCAUCCAAACAGAUUUUUGCACGAUGGCAAGCUAUUUUGAACUCGUAAAGCAUAUUUCUGAUCCAAAUCUUCUUUUGUUUGGAAUAAUGAAAUUUUUGAACUAGAGAGGGCUAACCCAGCCUUUCUAGUAGCAAGAGAUCUGGUCUCUUUGCCUCAGAGGAAUGUACAAUUUAUAUGGCAGAUCUGAUAGAGAUCAGUCUGCAAGCAUGCUUUUAGUUUUGAAUUAUUUGCAGCAGAAAGUCUUUCAUUUGUCUUUUCAUGAAAUCUUUUUGGAACAAUGUCUUCACGAAUGCAAUUUACACUUUGUGACGUAUGCAUAUUUAUUCUAAUUAACUAUUACACCAUUGGUUUGAAAUUUUAACAUUCUGUUGUUGUUGUUGUUAUUUUAAUUACCAAAGAGAACAAAAAGAGCAAGCACAUUGAUUAAUGACAUAUCAAAAUAUUGGAACUUCCUAUGGUGUGAUUUAAUUAAUAAAUUACACUCCUAAUUUAGAUUCAUUAAAAAAAAAAAAAGUUGGUCCAAGUGAUCAAUACUCGGUAUAAUAUGCUUAGUCAAUAAAAGAGUUUAAAUAUGUAAGUGCUUUUCUAAUAAGGACUCCUGCACUUUGAUUCGUUACCUAAUAAUUUCCACUUGGUAUAAUAUAUGAAUCAAUCAAAUAAAAGAGUUUAAAUAGAUACUUGGGUGAAAUAUAUUAAAAGACUAAGUUUAAUUGACUAAUACUUGAAUUAUGUCUUUUAAGCUAACUUUCUUCUCAUGUUUGUGAACAAAAUCCAAGUGGGUUACUGCUUGACAAUUUGUUUAUUACCCAAAAAAAAAAAGGCUGAGUAUUCCCUUUUAUUUCUCCUCGCUAGCCCUCCCACAAUACAAGAUAUAUAGCCUCAUGAGCUAGCUUGCAGUGAAAAAAAACUAUAAUCCGAAACCACGUAUAACGGCAACCUUGGACGAAUCUCCAGUUGAUGAUAGGGUCAGUCUCCAGUUGUCAAAGUCAGAAAAACGUAACAAUCUUUCAAAGACUCAACAGGAAUGAAAUUCUCUUAUAAUCUGAAUUAGUCCUAAGUAAAAAUUUAAAUAGUGAUUAAUGGUAACAAAUAAAAAAAUAAAAAAAUUAAAUUUUAUCCAUACACUAUCAUUAAAAUACACAUGAUAUAAGAUUAUUAAAAAUUUAUCAGUGCUGAUAUGAGUGGAAGUCCUAAUCCGACUCAACAACCCCACAACUUACCUUUGUCUACCACGCUUGAGGAGAUCCAUAAUUCUGCUGUAGUCGUAUGGCUCACAACCAAGAAAAGAAGAUACUGUGCAAAGAAGUAGAGACAAGACAAUAACCAUAACAGAAAUCAACAAUCACACUCACCUUUGUCAAGCCAUGAAGAUAAGAAGCAAAGAACUUGUCGCGAUCAGAUUAUUCUUCACCAUUCUCCAAGACGCCAUGCACGUGAAUAAUUUCUCUUUUGUCCAUCAAAGUGCAUUAAAUAUCAAUUACAGUUUAGUCGUGGAUUUAACACAGUUUUCACCUCUUCAAAGGAGGAACUCUCCAGUGCAUCAGAAAUUCUACGUUACAAUCAAGUGUUGGCUUAUUGAGCUGUUUUCUUGUCUUUUUAUUUCAAUAAAGUUUCCCCUCUCGUUCCAUCAAAGUCAAUUUAAAAAAAAAAAAAAAAACUAAAAUUCGCUUAAGAAUACGCUUAUAUACACGAAACUUAUGAAGCCAUCUACUGUGCAAAGCCGUGCAAUGCUUAAGAACUAUGGCACGUAACUUUUGUUCCAAUAUUUGAUCGUACACGAAAGUUUUAAAACUAUUGAUCAUCAGUCAUCCCAUAGCGCCUCAGGGGUCUGGAAUGGUCCCUGAGGAGAUACCCAGAAAUCACUAGGUAUCAAUCUACGCUGCGGGAUCUGAUUAAUCUUUUUAUAAUCGUCAUCAACUAAUUCCCAGUCAAAAGUCCCCAUGUUCUGCUUCAUUCUCUCCUUAUUGAGGCUUCUAACAACAACAGUGGCUCCUUGCUCAACUAUCCAUCGUAGAGAAACCUGAGCCACGGUCUUGCCAUGAGCUUUUGCAAUCUGCUUUAACAUUUCAUUCUCCAGGACUUGAUUGCUGCCCCACAUUCUCCCUAAUGCUCCCAAAGGAGAGUAGGCAUUGACAAUUAUACCCUUGGCCUUGCAAAAUUCUCUGAGCUUCUUCUGCUGCCACAGAGGAUGCAUCUCUAUUUGAUUGAUUGACGGAGGGAUGAUAGCGAAGGUGAGUAUGGUCUCAAUCUUCUUGCAGGAGAAGAGACCAAUGGACUUAGUGAGGCCAAGCGUUUGAGAAUCUUCCAUGGCUUCCCACACACCCUUGCAGUCCAUAGGUAAAAGGUCCUCUUUAGGUACAGGUGCAAAUCCCAUCUCUACCGGCUUAGAACUGAUGGGCCAGUGAAUGAGAUAGAGGUCUAAAUAUUCUAUUUGAAGAGCACUAAGAGACUUCUUUAGAGCUGGGAUAACGUGGUCACGAUGGGCGUCCUGGCACCAGAGCUUGGAAGUAAUGAAGAGUUGUUCCCGAGAACUGACAAGACCAAGUCGAAGUGCUUCAGCUAUUGCUUCUCCUAGAGCCUUUUCUGUUCCGUAAAUUGCAGCCGUGUCAAAAUGUCUGUAACCCAGCUCGAUGGCUUCCAGGACCACCAGCUUCAAUGCGUCUAUGUCUGAUUUUUCAACUGAACAGCCCAGGCCGAUCACUGGCAUACUCGGAUGGCCGGAGGAGGAGCUCAAUUUGAGUUCGGAGAUAUUGAACAACGUCGACUGUGUAGAGUUCUCCAUUCUUUUCAAAACCUUAUUAGGAAAGUACUGUCGAUUUUUUGUGCCACAAUCCAGCACUCCAAACACAAAUUGAGGCUAUAAUAUCUUGUUUUGCAAAUAUUUUAUAAUACAUAAAAGCGAACAUGCAUAUAACAAAUAAAUAAUGUUAUGAUGCGUGUGUAUUUAUCUUGAAAAGUCAUGAUAUAAAUUGUAAUUAUAUCAAAUUUAAUUAUAUAUAUAUAUAUAUAUAUAUAUAUAUAUAUAUAUAUAUAUAUAUAUAUAUAUUAAUUGAUUGUAUUACCAACUUAAUCCGAAACAAUAAUAAAUUCAAAAUUUAAUAAUCAUGCCAUCUAGAAAUUUAAUACAAAUUGUCAACAUCUUACCUACCUUGAACAAAUUUUUAACACGAAUUUUCAACAUUUUACCAAGCAACCAAACAAGACCCCAAUGGUUACUGCUUGACAAGAUUAUUAUUAGUUGAAAAAAUUGAUACUUGAGAAACGUCUUUUAAGCUAUCUUUCUUAUCACGUUUGCAAAGAAAAACCUAGUGGUUAAUUACUGCUUGACGAGUUGGUUUUACAAUAAAAAGGCACAAUAUUUUUAUUCUAUUUCUCCUCACAAGCCCUCUUUGUUUUCCUCCUACAAUUCAAGAUACAUAGCCUCAUUAGCUAACAGUGAAAAGACUACAAUACAAAAAAUUGUUGGUCACAUACUAAAGAAGUUGAUUAGUCUCAUGCAAUAUCGAAGGUCGAGUUGAAAUAAAUUAUGGUAUUGAGAAAAAGAAUUAAACACUACUUAUUGGAUUGUCAGAUUUUCUAAUUAUAGGAAUUUUGUGCAUGAACGGUAUUGGUAAAAUAACUACUACGGAAGCUAUUUUUAACCAAUGAAUUUAAGGUUAAAUUUCACUUAAUUAACCUAUGUACUAAAUAAUAUUAUGAUAGAAAUAAAAUAAAAUAAAAUAAAUUAUGAAUAUCGUGGAAUAAAUAUAGAAUUUAUGGUUAAACAUCAAUUCAAUAAAACUAUUCUAAUUGUUUUUAAUAAAUUUUUUUAUUUCAACUGAUAAGUGAUUUUUUCUUUAUUUAAUUAAAUUAAAUGAAUAAAGUAUUUUUUGUUCAAUGAAAGUUGAACAAUAUUGAUUUACAAGUUUUAUACUAUUUUAACAAGUGUUUCUUUUGUUGCAAUUUUAAAACACCAAUUUAGAGCCAAUUUGGUAAUUCUGUAGCUUUUAAAAUAAUUAUUGUUAGUUGUGCUAUUGAACAAUUAGUUGUGAAGAGAAUCAGUUAAAUAUUUGAUAAAAUUUGGUUUUGAAAGUGUGUCAUGAGUUUUAAAAGCAAUCGUAUGUGUUUGGAAAAUCUUACUGUUAAACUGCUGUAAAAAUAUAAAAGAUUGAGUUUCACAUAAUGUUGAAUAAAAUUUAUUAACGUAUUUAUAAAUAUGAGUAUAAAAUAUUUUUCAUUAUAUGUAUAAAAUAUUUUUCAUUAUAUGUAUAAUAAUUGAUAACUAAAAUAAAUAUAUUGUGCUAUUAAUUUUUUUUUAUCUCAAUAUAAUUGGUAACUGUAGCAAUUUCUUUGAAGUUAAUAAUUUUAUUUCCUAUUUAAUAAGGAUAAUUUUGAAUUUUUAUAAUAUAUAUGAGGGGUAUAGGGCCUCUAUAAAUUAAUACUCGAUACAUGAAUAAUUUCUAUUAUAUAAUAAAUUUUCACAGUCCCAGAUUGGGCCAAUGGACUUAAUUAAUAAUUUCUAUAAAAUAAUGAGAUAAUACUUUUCUUAAAAAAUCUUAUAUAAUUCUAUGGUCCCCUUCAAAUCAUAAAUUAAUAAUAUGCUGAAAUUAUAAAUUUAGUUGACUGUGAUAUUAUAAUUGUAUAAAAUAUGGCUCUAAUGUUGUUUGUUAGUUAGAUCUUAUUAGGGAUGACAAAAUCCUCCACGGAUUUAGAGCCUCACGGAGCCUCAUUCCAAAUUCGGUGAAUUUUAAAUAAUUUUUGGGGAGUGGAGUGAGGAAUGGGGAAAAAAUAAUCCUCAAAUUUUUAAUGAGGUGGAGUUUGGUUUUGUCCUACCCACCCCAAUCCCCAUUAUAAAUAAUUUUUUUAAUUUUUAUUCAAUAAUUUUUGUUUUAUCAACUACAAUGUUAGUUGAUAAUUUUUUUAUUCUUAUCUAAUAUAAAUAGGCAAUGACUAAAUGAAAAUCCUACAUUGUAAUUCUUAUUCAACCCUAAAGUAUUGUUAUGUUUUCUUUUCCAUCUCAAGGUACUACUCUCUUUAAGUAUUUUUUAGAUUUGAUAUUAUUUCAAGAUAUUAUUUCAAACUUUUGGAGAUUUUUUAAAAUAAUUUAAAUAUUUUAUAUAUGGUGACAAUUUUAUUUGAAUCUCUAAUUUUUAAUUUACUGAAUUCGUUUAUCUAUAUCCAUUAUAAAAUAAAUAAAUGGGGAAGAGGGUGGGGAUAGGGAAUUCAUUCCCCAUAUAAGGAUUCCCCAUCCUCACCCCACAAAAUUUAUUGAGGGAUGGGAUGGGGAAUCGAGGCGAAAUUUUUAUGGGGUGAAGAAUGAGGUAGACCCCCUCCCCCAACCCCACCCCACCCCACCCCAUUGCUAUCCAUGGAUCUUAUGUCUUAUUUUUCUUAUUGUAUCUAGAAGUUUUGAGGUUGACUUCUCGAAUUGUAAUAAGAAAUCGAGAAGUAUUGUUGAUACUUUUAGUGCUUCCUUGCAUGUAACAGGUUUCAAAGCCAUUGUAUUAUCCUCAGCUUCUUCUUCAACGAGAUUUUACAUAAAUAUUAUUUUUAAUCAAAUUCAUUGAACACAUUUAAUUAAGUUAAUUAAUAUGAAUACUAUUUAAUUAAGCACAUAAAUAAGUAAAAUAUAUUUAUUUUCUUGACUAAAUGAUUAGUUAAAUACAUUGAGUAUAACAUGAAUUAAAUAAUUUUUAAUCUAAUUCAUUUACUACGUUUAAUUAAGUUAACGUAACAUGAAUGUUAUCUAAUUAAGUAGACAUGUACAAUGUAUGUAUUUAUUAUUUUGGUUAAUUGAAUGUAUAGUUUAAUUCAUAUUCAAUAUUGGUAAAAUACAUUCAAUGUUCACUUGUUAGAUGUAUGUUAACUAAAUUGUUAUAAAUUAAUAAAUUUAUCGAUUAUUUAAUAUAUUUUUCAAUUAAUAGAUUUUAUAUGGUCCCAGGUCUAUUAAUUUAUAGAUGUUCUACUUAUAUAAUUAUAUUAAGUAUAAAAGUAAUUCUCAAAAUUUACUAUAAGAUGAGGUGGUUUUACCAAAAGUGAUUUUUAAAAAAAUUUAUCAAAUAUGAAAAUUAACUUUUAAUUUUUUAAAAUUACUUGUCUUAUUUUGUAUUUACUAAUUAUAUGUAUAAUUUAUAAAAUUUAUAUUAAUUAUGGCGUAAUAGAAUUUUUCUUCAUUUAAUAAUAAGAAUAAUUGGAGCAUAAUUAGAGCAUUGGACGUUUUAAUAUUCAUUGUACUUAAUUUACGAUUUAACGAUAACCGAGUUUUACUUUUACCAUUUUACCCAAUGAUAUGGAUCCUAGAUAGGGGUGGGUAUCUAGUUGGUUUGGAUCGGUUUCGGUAUGAACCGAAGCUUGUGGAUUGGUUCAGCGCCAAUUUUUUUUUAAAAAACCAAAAAAACCAAAUAAAAGAUAGGGAAAUUAUCAUUGCACCACCUCGUUUUUUCCAUAUGUUCAUCCAACUACCAAAACAUUCUAACAUAUUUUCUGCACCACUUUUUUUUUUUUUUAAUUUGUAUCAACUAGCCACUUUUUAACUAACAUCAUUAAAUAAUUUAAAUGAUAUGACAAUUUUACCCCUAAAUAAAUUAAAAGACUAUUUUAUUUUACAAAAAAAUUGAAAAAUAAAAAAAUUAUAAUUAUAAAAAUACUCAUAAAUUUAAUAAAAAAUAAAUCCCAAACAAAGGUGCUCAGCUGAUUUUUAUUUAAUUUAGAUUUUACAAAAUUUUAAUAAUUAUUUUUAUUAAAAAUUAUAAAAUUGCAAAAUUUUAAUAAAAUGACUGAAUUUAUUUAUUAAAAAUUAUAAUUUUGAAAAAUUUUAUUAAAAUAACUGAAUUUAUUUAUUAAAAAAUAAAAUCCCAAAAUUUUAAUAAUUUAGGGGAUUUUUAUUAAAUCCCAAAAUUUUGUAAUUAUUUUUAUAAUUAUAAUUUUAUUUAGAUUUUUAUUAAAAAUAAAAAUUCUAAUUUUUGGGAUUUUUUUUAUUAAACUUAGGGGUAUUUUUAUAAUUAUAAUUUUCUUAUUUUUCAAAGUUUUUAUAAAAUAAAAUGGUCUUUUAAUUUAUUUAGGGGUAAAAUUAUCAUUUCAUUUAAAUUAUUUAACGAUGUUAGUUAAAAAGUGGUUAUUUGAUACAAAUUUAAAAAAAAAGUGGUGCAGAAAACAUGUUAGAAUUUUUUGGUGGUUGGAUGAAUAUGAAGGAAAAAAAGAGGUGGUGAAGUGAUAAUUUUCUUAAAAGAUAAUACCGAAUCAAAAUCUACGGAUUCGGUUCUUAUUCGAUCUUUGGUUCUGAACCUUAUUAGAAAUAAAAUAAAAUAAAAUAAUCACUACAAUAAUCUUAUCAAUAAUCACUACAAUAAUCUUAUCUCUUUCAGAUUUUUUUUUUUUAAUUGAACUGGGGCUCUAAAAAGAGCUAAAGAAAAACAGAACGGGGGUAAGAAACCCCGUAAAAGUCAUGAAGCAAAAGAGACCGAACACCCAAAAGGGGGGGUAGGGUACACAAGAAAGCCAAGAGGAAGAGAAAAAGCGAGGUUCGCCAUAUAAUCUGCAGCGAAAUUGGCUUCUCUGUAAAUAUGGGAGAUGGAAACAUGUCAAUCCAAUUUAAGAUAGUCCUUAAUAGCCUGGACCAAGGGAGCAUACUCAUUAGUCAUCACCGAUGGUCUAGCCACCAAUUGUGUAACGCAUAGGCUAUCCGUUUCAACUUUCAAUCUACGGAUGCCUGAGUUCCAAGCAAGCUGAAGCCCCUGAUACAAGCCCCAAAGUUCCGCCACCGUAAUAGAGCAAGAGCCAAUCAUCAUCCCAAAGCCAGAUAUCCAACGCCUUAAAUGAUCCCGAAUUAGGCCCCCUGUAGUAGAAAUCCCAUCAGACUUGUGAGCACCAUCCGUAUUCAAGGUACACCAUGGCCACUCAGGAGGAUGCCAAGAAAUCCACUUGUUCGCUCUAAUAUUCCUUGUGACCAACGGGCUGUUAUGAAGCUUAUGCGUCUCCUCAGCUCUUGAAUGAACAUCCACUAACGAAGCUGCAUAGUCCAUCAUCGUUUGGUUAAAUAGAAACUGGUUCCUCCAAUACCCAAUCCUCCAUAAGGCAAAACCAAAGAAAACAGCCCAAUUUGAAACAUCUCCCAUCCUACUAUCAUCAACCUAAUUCGAGCGCAACCAAUGGUGGAACCGAGCAUUAAAAAAUCCUUAUCGUUUACUUAUGGGGAUGAUGUUGAGCCAAAAUUGCUUAACCAAAGGACAAUCACGUAGAGCAUGCAUGGCAUCUUCACACAAAGCCCCACACCGGUCGCAACAAGUCGAGAUGAGUAGAUGUCGUUUAGCCAGCUCAGCUUUAGUCUUCAACCCCGCAUGAAAAGCCUGCCAUAAGAAAACCCGCACGCUCUGAGGGCCUUUCCACGUCCAGAUCAACCUCUAAAUUCGAUCUUCAGCAGCUGAGUUAUAACCAGAGAGAGCCAAAUAAGCAGAGCUUGUAGUAAACUCACCAUGUUUCGAAUGAGCCCAAAAAAUGGUAUCCAUGCCCUUCGCAUGAGAAGGGGGAUGAAGAGCUGCUAUUUGAAGGACAAUAUUGUUAGGAAGAUGCUGCUCAAAAUUGGACCAACACUAACUCCCAUUCACAUCAACGAAGUCAGCCACCUUGCAUUCCAAAAUUUCCACGGGGAUAGUAUCAGUUGCGUAGGCUAUUAAGGGAACAUUAUAAGUGACCCAAAGAUCCCACCAAAAGAGAAUAGAUAAACCAUCGCCCAAACACCAAUGCCUGCUCGCAAGAAUCUCGCUCCAAACGUGCCCAAGAGACUUCCACAAGUGAGAGCCAUAGUGGGUAGGAAGCUCAUGAGGUAAAUUGAGAGGAUCAAUUCUGUAUUUGGUAGUGAGGACCCUGACCCAUAAACUAUUUGGAGAAGAAAUUAUACCCCAUACGAGCUUCAUGUGUAAAGCUCGAUUCAUCAAUGUCAAAGACUUAAAGCUAAGACCGCCAAUAGCUUUAGGCUUACACACAUUAUGCAAACUAACCAUGCUAAGCUUCUGCUGAGAAGAAGCACCGCUCCAAAUAAACCUCCUGCAAGCCCUAUCAAUUCUCUCACGAACAAUACUAGGAAAGGAAACGGUUUGCAUAAUAUAAACUGGAAUUGCCUGGAGAACUGACUGAGCUAGAGUGAUCUAACUAGCCAAGGACAAGUGUGAAGCAUUCCAGCCCGAUAGCCGCUUUUCCACCUUAUCUAUGAUCUCAUGAAACAUGUUAGUAGAGACUCUAGAAUGAUGCAGAAGGACCCUGAGGUAUUUACCAAGAUUGGAUGUAACCGAGAAGCUAAGAAGAUUCGAAAUGGAGGACAUAUCUCUAACACCCAUAUUCUUGGAAAAAUAAAGUAAAGUUUUGCUUGUAUUCACUUUAGCAUUAGAGCAAAAAUAAAAAUCUGCUAACACUGCCGAAAUAACUCUAGCUUGCUCAACAAUAGCCUCUGUAAGCAAAAGAAGGUCAUCAGCGAAAAAGAGAUGGGAUAAAGGAGUACCAAUACGAGAUAGCAUGAUCGGACGCCACUUCCCAACAUUAACGGCAUUGUGAAUCCCAUGACUAAGGCAUUUGAUGCAGAGAACAAAGAGGUAAGGAGAUAGAGGGCAACCCUGAUGAAUUCCUCUAGAAGGAACAAAUUCAUCAGUAGCUUCCCCAUUCCACAAAAUCCUCAUAGUAACCGAAGUAAUGCACGCCAUAAUAACUUGGAUAAGAUCGGGAGGAAUUCGAGCUUCUCGCAAAGUAUCACUAAUGAAUUCCCAACUGAAACGAUCAUAGGCCUUCUCUAAAUCAACCUUAAUAGCCAUGAAACCUGUAGCACCCGUCUUCUUGUGCAUAGAGUGCACAAAUUCUUGAGCAAUUACAAUAUUUUUUAUGAUGUGGCGACCAGGGACAAAACUGGUUUGAUGAGGGCCAACCAAGUGAGGUAAAAUAGAAUGAAGCCGGUUUGCAAUCAUCUUGGUGAUAGUCUUGUAAGCUAUAUUACAAAGGGAGAUAAGACGGUACAUCUUCAAAGAGGAAUGGUUUUCUGUCUUGGGAAUAAGAGCAAGAGCGUAGAGUUGAGCCCCUCAGGGAGAAUUUUAUACUGAAAAACAUCUUUCACCAAUCGACAAAGAGAUGAACCAAUAAUAUAUCCAUUGCGUCUGAUAAAAAAUGGCAUGGAGUCCAUCUGGACCCGGGGCUUUCAGAGGGUGCAUUCCGAAAAUGGUCUUUUGAACCUCCUCAUUUUCCACGCCCAUAAUUAAGGAUUAAAGCAAGUCGUCCUCAAUUAGAGAAAAGCAAUGAGGAUGGGGGUACUGUCGAAAGUCGGAAGACUCACAAGAGUACAAGGUUGAAUAAAACUGAAUAGCAUGGGCUUUUAUCUCAUCCUUAUCAUAAAGCCAGACGCCUACCUUAUUUUGGAUAGCAGCUAUAUUAUUUCGUCUCCUUUUAGAAAGGGUUUUAUGAUGGUAAUAAGAAGUAUUAUGGUCCCCGAGAAGAAGCCAAUCUCGACGAGCCUUCUAAUGCCAGAUAAUUUCUUCUUGAGUAAGCACCUUUUCAAGGUUAGCUUUUAAUUGUUUUUCCAAAUUCAAAAGCCCCGAGAAUAAUAGCUCUCCAAAGCCUUAUGAAUCCCUCCUAAUCGGGCCAAUAAACGUUUCUUCCGCCAAAAAAUAUUCCCAAAACACUGUUUGUUCUAUUCGAUAACCUUGAGACGAAAUUGGUUAGCUGUAUCUAAAUAAUGGAGAUUUCGAUUCCAAGAUUCAGCCACAAAAUCCUUAAACCCCUCAUUAGUGAGCCAAGCUACUUGAAACCGAAACGGACGAGAGUUUGAAACCCUUGAAAACAAACCAUUACUUCUCACCAAGAGAGGCCUAUGAUCAGAGCUCAAUUUUGGAAGAUGAAGUACAGUGGAGUUAGAAAAGAUACGAGCCCAUUCACUAUUGCAAAUGACUCAGUCAAUGCGUUUGAAAAGGCUUCCACGGGACCAAGUAAAACGAGGCCCGUGGAAUUGAAGAUCAUGCAUGCAAUGAAGAUGGAACCAAGAGUGGAAAAGAUUGCAAGUGCCCAUGCCUGUAGGGGAACCUCCUUUUUUUUUCGAAUCAUAUAGAAUAGUGUUAAAGUCCCCACCCAUAAUCCAAGGACCAUACACUGUUUGAGCUAAUUUAUCUAGCUCACCCCAAAGAUGUUUUCUAAUAUUCGGGUGAGGGCUAGCAUAAAUGGCUGUCAACCAAGAGAGAAAGCUAUGAUUAUUAAAAAUUUGAAGAUGAACAUACUGAGAGUGACUAGCAACAGUCUUGAUCUGAAGAAAAUCUUUCCAGAGGACCCAUAUACCACUAGAAAAACCCUCUGCUUCUACCCGAUAAGAUUUGUCAAAACCAAUUCUCUUAAUAAAAUUGUCAACCUUGUAACCACUAAUGUGGUGCUCCAAUAACACAACCAGCGAAGGCUUAUAAUUCUGAACCAUCGUAAAAAAAGAACGUCAAAAAGAUGGUGACGCUGCACCUUGAGUAUUCUAGAACAUGGUCGUAAUAAACAUAAGGAAAAUAGCCAAAAAAAACAAGGGAAGCUACUUAGCCAUUGUUGAACGUUUCUGAUUGGGACCUAUCAUUGGUAUCAGAACAUAGGAUCAACAAUGACAAUGAACAAGGAGCGAAUUGAACGUGUUGAAGCAGAGCUAGGAAGUAUGCAAGAUAGCAUGCAGUGGAUGGAGAUGGGCAUUAACGAUAAAUUGUAUCACUUGGAAGAAGUGAUCAGCAAAUUGGCCGACUCAAUUAGUGCAUCUAAGGAAGUAUCGAGUCAUCAUGAGCAUGCAGCAUCAUCACGGCCUAGAAGAGAAGAGAGUGGCAGGGAACGACAACAGUUCCCAUCAAGAUUAGCCAAGCUUGAAUUUCCAUGUUACUCAGGUGAUGAUCCCACUGAGUGGUUUAAUCGUGUAACCCAAUUUUUUGAUUACCAGGAAACAAUCGAUGAUCAAAGAGUGGUGUUAGCAUCCUUUCACCUCGAGGGUGAAGCCAACCAGUGGUGGCAGUGGUUGCGUAGGGCAUACUAGGAAGACGGACAAUUAGUAACUUGGAAAGCCUUUGUUGAAGAACUAUGGGCUCGCUUUGGACCGACGGAAUGUGAAGAUUUUGAUGAGGCGCUCUCACGAGUUAAACAGACCAGUUCACUCUGAGACUAUCAAAAGGAAUUUGAAAGAUUGGGCAACCGGGUGCAUGGAUGGACACAGAGAGCGUUGGUGGGGACUUUUAUGGGUGGACUCAAGCCUGAAAUCUCAGAAGCAAUACGCAUGUUUAGGCCAAAGACAUUGAAGGAAGCAAUCAGCCUAGCUCGGAUGAAAGAUGAACAACUCACACGCCAAAAGAAACUGAUACGACCAACCUUCAACAGCCGUGCACCAAUAACACCGCCGGUCACCAACCGAAACUCACCAGCCGUACCUUACAAGAGAUUGUCAUGGGAGGAAAUGCAGCGUCGGCGUGCACAGGGCCUUUGUUUUAACUGCAAUGAUAACUUUACAGCAGGCCAUAAGUGUACAAGGGCUCAACUCUUGAUCUUGGAAAGUGAAGCUACACCAGGAGAAACUACUGAGGAGAUUAGUGAAAUCAUUCGAGGCACUAAACAAGAAGAAACCGAUGAUCCCGAAAUUACCUUUUAUGCCUUAACAGGAUGGACAACACCACAAACGAUGCGAGUGAUGGCAAGGAUCGGGCCCUAUGAGAUUGUGGUGUUAAUUGACAGUGGCUCUACACAUAAUUUCAUUAGUACACGCCUAGCCAACUUUCUUCAAUUACCGAUUGAACCCACGGCAACGUUUUCAGUCCGCGUUGCAAAUGGGGAAAAAUUAACGUGUCAAGGGAAGUUUGAAAAGGUACAAAUUCUAAUCCAAGAAAUUCCUUUCUCGCUAACUAUCUACACAUUGCCAAUAACAGGAUUAGACAUGGUGUUGGGAAUACAAUAGCUUGAACAAUUGGGAACUGUGGAGUGCAACUGGAAGUCCCUUACUAUGGCUUUCAAUCGGGAGAAUAAACAAUGACAUUUACAAGGGAUCAAUCCUCAGUCAUUACAAAUAGCUUCUGUGACAGAGAUCAGUAAAGAGAUUCGGCAGGGACAUGAGAUCUUUGCAAUAUGUUUGCACAUGGAAUCAGAAGAACCUACAGCACCCGCAAGUAUGCAAACGUUAUUGACAGAUUAUGCUGAGUUAUUCCAAGAACCAACAUAGCUACCUCCUAAACGAGACAUCGACCACUGUAUCACACUUAAGGAAGGAACCGAACCCGUCAAUGUCAGGCCAUACCGCUACGCUUACUUCCAAAAGGCGGAAAUUGAGAAACAGGUACAAGAGAUGUUAGAUUCGGGAUUAAUAAGGCCAAGCACUAGCCCUUUUUCCUCACCGGUAUUAUUGGUUAAAAAGAAAGAUGGAAGCUGGAGGUUUUGCACGGACUAUCGAGCCCUCAACGAAGUCACCAUUAAAGAUCGGUUUCCCAUCCCCAUCGUGGAUGACAUGCUCGACGAAUUAUAUGGGGCUGCCUAUUUUACCAAGCUGGAUCUACGGGCCGGUUACCACCAGGUUCGAGUCAAUCCUCCAGACAUUCACAAGACGACAUUUCGCACUCACAACGGACACUACGAGUAUUUGGUGAUGCCGUUUGGGUUAUGCAACGCGCCGUCGACUUUCCAAGCCAUAAUGAAUUCCAUAUUCCGGCCUUAUCUCAGGAAGUUCAUUCUUGUUUUUUUUAUGACAUAUUAAUUUACAGCCCUUCUUGGAGUUGUCAUCUGGAACAUGUCAAACAGGCUAUGGAGAUUCUAAAGCAACAGAAGUUCUUUGUCAAAGUCAGCAAAUGCAUAUUCGGUCAACAGGAGUUAGAGUACCUUAGGCAUAUCAUAACUUGUCAUGGAGUCAAGGUAGAUGAAAAGAAGAUCGCUGCCAUGAUGUCUUGGCCUAAACCACAAACCAUAACGGAGUUGCGAGGGUUCUUUGGCCUAACCGGGUACUACCGCAAGUUCGUACAAGGCUAUGGCGUGAUAGCUCGACCCCUUACCAAUUUACUCAAGAAGGGACAGUUUGGUUGGAAUGAGGAGGCAGAGGAAGCAUUCAACAAAUUGAAACAAGCCAUGACUAGCACACCAACGUUAACGAUGCCGGAUUUUAGUGACACAUUUAUUAUCGAAACAGAUGCCUCUGGGGAAGGAAUCGGUGCCGUCCUGCAACAAAAGGGGAAACCCAUUGCUUUUAUGAGUCGAGCCCUUGGAGUAACAAAAAAAUCAUGGUCUACUUACGCCAAGGAGAUGCUUGCAAUUAUUGAAGCAAUUCGGAUGUGGAGGCCAUACUGAAAUACUAACUAGGCAAUCCAAGAGGGGGGGUGAAUUGGGAUUUUAAAAAUUAUCCUAGGCAAACCACACAACAAUUUAAUCUAAUGCCUUAAUAAAUUCGAAAACAAUAAAUUCAAUAAAAGCACAAUAAUAAAUGAGUAAGGGAAGAGAAAGCAAACUCAAGGAUUUUUACGUGGUUCGGCAAUCCCCACCUACGUCCACGCCUCCAAGCACACCGGGCUUGAGGAUUUCACUAUCCAAGCCUUUCCAAGGCAUCAAACGUUUACAAUUGACUUCAAGGUGUCAAUGAACCUUUACAACAAGAGAUUAUCUCUCCAAUCUCUUCACUCCAAGUGUUUCUCACACUUGUACUCUCACAAUUUGAUGAGAAAUAAAAAUUACAACAAAAACUCCCUUUAAGAGUGGAUAUACAAAUGAUAGCUCAAUGAAGAUUUAAUCUAUGAUGAUUUUUGAAUUUGAAGCUCAAUAUAAGUUGUGUGCACUUGUUUAUGCUUGCUUGGAUUUCCAAAAAUGAAUUGGUUUUGAGUUUAUAUAGUAUGAACUCAAAAACUAGCCGUUAUGCACAUUCUGGGCGUAUCCGGUUUGCCGUUUAUGGAAUCCGGUAAGCCGAAUUUAUGUUACCGUUAAGGCAAAAAUUUGAAUUUUGCCUAACCGGCUUGCCGGUUACGAAAUUCGGUAAGCCGUUUGCGUUCCGGAUGCUUACUGCCCCGUAUCCAGUUUUCUGGUUUUUAUAUCCGGUAAGCCGGAUUCUACAGUAACCUGCACAGUGCACUAUUUUUAGAAAUUACAGUUUGACCCCAAAACUUUAUAAAACUUUAUUACGGCCCAAAACGUUAUGAAACUUUACAAAUAGGUCCAAUUUUAGAAUUUCUAAGUAAUGCUUUGUUAAUCCCAAAACUUUUUGAAAUUAUGAUAUAGCCAAAAAUGCUAUGACACUUUUCAAAUAAGUCCUUCACCAAAAUUUCAAGCAAUACUUGUUUAUUUCAAAGUUUUCAAAAUUCUUUCAAUUAAACCAUAAACUUUGAAAAACAAUCAAUUUCAUAAAAUCAUUUUUCAUUAAAUAUGAAACAUUUAUAAUGUGAAAAUAAUGAUUUAUUUAAAAAGAAUAUUAAAUAAUUUGAGCUUAAAAGAUUAAUCAUUCGUAAUCUUGUUUGUUAUCAUCAAAAUCAAUAUUAUGGAAACAUAUAUGUUAACAAUCUCCCCCUUUUUGAUGAUGACAAACAUUUCAUAUAUUUAAACAACCAUUUUUCAUAAAAUCAUUUUUCCAUUAAAUAUAAAACAUUUAUAAUGUGAAAAUAAUGAUUCAUUUAAAACAUAUAAAAAAUAAUUUGAGCUUAAAAGAUUAAUCAUUCUUAAUCUUGUUUGUUAUCAUCAAAAUCAAUAUUAUGGAAACAUAUAUGUUAACACAUACAUACUGGGACAGAAAUUCAUAAUCAAAACUGAUCAGCGAAGUUUGAAAUAUUUUUUGGAACAAAAAGUAGCUACACCUGAGCAACAGAAAUGGCUGGCAAAAUUGAUGGGGUACGAGUAUGAGAUUCAAUACCGUCUAGGCUCUGACAACGCCGCUGCAGAUGCUUUUUCACGACGUCCAGAUAGUCCUACACUUAACUACUUGUUUGUGCCGCAGGUGACUCUUUGGGAAGAAAUUAAAACGGCUGCCAAGGAAGAUGAGUACAUGAGAAGGAUUGCUAAGCUUGCCCAAAAUCAAACAGCAGGACCAUAUUCCUCACGGAACGGUUUAAUGUUUUUUAAAGGAAAAGUGGUGAUUCCAUGUAAGUUACGUGAAGCACUAUUAUUUAAGGCACACAACACAAGAGUAAGAAGUCAUUCGGGAGUCUUACGAACAUAUAAACGAUUGGCACAACAGUUUUAUUGGCCUUCGAUGUUUCACUCGGUUCAGGAAUAUGUCACUAAGUGUGAGACUUGCCAACGCACCAAAUCCACAACUCUCAAGCCAGCAGGACUCCUUCAGCCGCUACACAUUCCUUGUUAAGUAUAGGAUGACAUCACAUUAGACUUUAUUUAGGGCUUGCCGUGUUCACAGGGCAAAAAUACAAUCUUGGUGGUGGUCGAUAUUAAGCUUGCAUGGUACUUGACGUCGUAUUGCUAUAGUGUCACAAUAUAUACACGUUACAGCUAGCGAAAAUAACGAAGGAGAUAAUAAGUAAUACACUCCUUAACAUGAUGAACUACUGCACUUCUAAACAUAAUGAAAUACAACCAACUAAGAACGUGAAGAUCACGUUCAACUAUUACGCCCCCGCAAGAGAGGUGUACCGUCGAGAACACCGAGCUUGGACCGUGCAUGCUCAAGGGGAAGCCGGGGAAGCGGCUUGGUUAAGAUAUCAGCGAGCUGAUGCUCCGAAGGAACAUGAGCAAUAGACAGCAAACCUUGCGCAAUCUUAUCACGAACAAAGUAAAAGUCAAUUUCCACAUGCUUCAUACGAGAGUGAUAUCUAGGAUUUGUGCAAACAUGAGUGGCACCAAGAUUGUCACAGAGCAGCUUGGGCAUAGGGGUCCGAAUACCAAGUUCGGAGAACAAGUGUCGAAGCCAACAAAGCUCAGAAACGGUAGCAGCAAUGGCGCGAAACUCGGCUUCAGUAGAGGAACGUGCCACAGACUUUUGCUUCUUCGAAGACCAGGAAAUGAGAUUGCCACCAAGGAAGAUAGCGUAAGCACUCGUAGAGCUGCGAUCAUCAAGAUUGCCCCCCCAGUCAGAAUCACUGUAAGCAGCAAGUAUAGAGGAUGAAGACUGACGAAGAAAAAGGCCAUGAAAAAUUGUAGCUUUCAAGUAGCGGAGAAUGCGCUUGGCAGCCUGCCAAUGCAACUGAGAGGGACUUUGCAUGAACUGAGAUAGUUUGUUGACCGCAAAGCAGAUGUCAGGACGAGUGAGAGUGAGAUAUUGCAAGGCACCAAGAAGCUGACGAUAAGACGUACCAUCAGCAGAGACAGAACCAUCGGUUUGUUGAAGACCAACGGUGGCAGACAGAGGAGUGGCAGUAGGUUUAGCAUCAGUCAUGCCAAACCGGUCCAAGAGAGAACAAACAUAGUGAUGCUGAGAGAGAAACACACCAGAAGGAGUGCGAAGCAACUCAAGCCCGAGAAAAUGAUGCAGAGAGCCAAGGUCCUUGAGAGCAAAAGUGGAAGCAAGACGAUGAAUGAAGUGCUGAAUAUCCCGGCCAUGAGAACCAGUAAUAAUUAAGUCAUCCACAUAGACAAGGAAAUAAAUACGAUGACCAUCACGGUGAUAAAGAAAAAGAGAAGCAUCAGUCCUGCUUUGGUGGAAUCCAUAGGACAGCAAAAAUUUGUACAGAGUAAUAAACCAUGCCCGAGGCGCCUGCUUAAGGCCAUACAGGGACUUACGUAGCCUGCAGACAAAGGAAGGCUGGUUAGAGUCAAUAAAACCAGGCGGCUGCUUCAUGUAAACCUCCUCAUCAAGAGAACCAUUGAGGAAGGCGUUAUUGAUAUCCAACUGACGAAUCGGCCAACCAAAUUGCAAGGCUAAACAAAGAAUAACACGAACAGUAGUGGUCUUGACAACAGGGCUGAAAGUAUCGUGGUAGUCGAGACCAGGACGCUGAGUAAAGCCCUUAGCAACCAGCCGCGCUUUAUACCUGUCAACAGAACCAUUGGGGUGGCGUUUGACACGAAACACCCACUUACAACCAACCAAAUUUUGAGAAGGUACAGGAGGAACAAGAUCCCAAGUAUGAUUAGACAUAAGAGCAUUAUAUUCAAUACGCAUGGCCUGAAGCCAUUGCGGGUCGGCAAGGGCAGCCUUAAUACUAGUUGGUUCAACAGUAGAGGGCAGCGGAUGUGUGGAAAUAAUAGGAGCGAGGGUAGUGUGGUCAAGCUGUUUUGGUUUAUAAAUGUUAUUGCGUGACCGGGUUAUCAUUGGAUGGGUUCGGGUCGGCAGUGGAGGUGGAGGUGUUGGUGGUGAUGGUGAUGGGGCUGUUGGUGACAACGGGAAAGUAGAUGGGGCCGGUGAUGAAAGAUUAGAAAUGGGAGAUGAGGGAGUUAGUACUGGUGCAUGGACAUGGGGAGGUAAAGAGUCAUAAGUAUGAGGGUUAUGAAUAAUACCCGAAGUAGAGGUGGAAGAGGCCGGUGAAGAAUCGGAGCUAGCAGGAAGCGAAUCCGAAGUUGCAAGACGGGAACCACCAGGAGAAGAGGAGUGAGCCGACAGAACCGGGACCGAAAAAAUGGAUGGAAACCAGGAGGUGAGUGAAACAGAGGAGGGAGAGGCAGUGGAUGUGAGAGAUUGAUAGGGAAAUUGAGACUCAAUAAAUUGAACAUCACGGGAAACAUAAAUCUUACCAGACUGAACAUCUAAACACUUGUAUGCACUUUGUUGUAGGCAAUAACCGAGAAACACACAAGGCUUGGACUUGGGCUCUAGUUUGUUGCGCGUAUAUGGGCGUAACCAUGGGAAACAGAGACACCCAAAUACACGUAGUUUGUCAUAAUUAGGAUGGGCAUCAAAUAAGAGCUGGAAAGGACAGGUCAUGGAUGUAGUUUUGGAUGGUAGACGAUUAAUUAAGUAGGUGGCGGUUUGAAACGCAAACGUCCAAAAGCUAGGAGGUAGUGAGGCUUGAUGCAGUAACGCCAACCCCGUCUCAACAAUAUGUCGAUGACGACGUUCGGCGACUCCAUUAUGUUGUGGUGUGUAGGGUGGUGUAAGCAAGUGAUUAAUGCCCGUCUGUUGAAAAAAUGAAGUGAGUUUGAGGAACUCACCACCACCGUCGGUGUAAAUAUUACGAAUAGUAGUACGAAAAUAAUUUUCAACAAGUGUUUUAAAACGAACAAAUGUAGAGAAAACAUCAGAUUUUAGUCGUAACGGAAAAAACCAGACAUACUUAGUAAAAUGAUCAACGAAAAUCACGUAGUACUUAUAAUUAUCAAAGGAAGUAACAGGGGCAGGACCCCAAACAUCAGAAUAUAUUAAAUCCAAGGGACGAGUACUACAUAAAGAAGAUUUGCCAAAAGGGAGCCGAUGGCUCUUAUUGCAUAAACAAGACUCACAAGACUCAAAAUCCAAGUGCGAAGACAAAUUGAAAGUACGAAGAACAAAUUUCAAAAUAUCCCUAGACGGAUGGCCUAGACGUUGAUGCCAAUGAGCGGCAUUAGUUUUUAUUGUAGCAUUUGAAGUGGGCAAGGCUGGUACGGGGAAAGAAGAAGCUGCCGGCCACUCAUAAACACCCUGAUUAUUCCGGCCUUGCAAGAGGACCGCCCCCGUGGUCAAAUCCUUCACCUGAAAAUGAUCAUGAAAGAAUUCAAUGGAGGCUUUAUUAACAUUGCAAAAUUGAGACACAGAGAUUAAAUUUCUGUUGAUAGUCGGAACAUAAAGAAUAUUUUGCAAAUAAAAUUUUGAGCUAGAGGUACAUAAGGAAGUUGAGCCAGUGUGAGAUAUACCAAGACCCAUGCCAUUACCAACAAUGACGGAAUCAGAACCAUGGUAAGGACUAUGAGUGCUCAAAUUUCGGAGAUCUCCUGUAACAUGAUGUGAGGCGGCACUGUCGACUAACCAAUUGGGGUUGGAUGUGCCUGUGGUUGCUGUGUGGUUCAUAGUCGGACUGUUUUUGUGGGAGGUAAAUCUGGACAAUCUCGUGCUGUAUGGCCCUUGGUACCGCAAAGUUGACAGUAGCCCUGGUACCCGGUGGGCUGCUUCUUUUGAUAUCCUCCAUUGUUGCGAUACUGGCCUUGUGGGUUGCGAUUCUGAGACUGGUAAUUUCUGUUGGUGUUGCCAUUUUGAUUUGGAUACCCACGGUUAGAACCAUUAUUAAAUCCCGGAUUGCUGUCUCUUCUCUGGUUCUGAUAAGGGCCACGGUUUGUUGUUUGCUGUUUGACUGCGGCAUUGACAGUGAUAGCCGUGUCUAUGGAUUUUUCCUCUCGCUUCAACAUAUCUUCGUAAUCUACAAGCUUUUCAUACAGCUCAUCAAAGGAAAGUGGUGUCUCACGGAUCCGAACACCAGCAAUAAUUUCUUUGAAAUCUUUUCCUACGCCAUUAAUAAUUUGUAUAACGAGAUCAUCAUCUGUAACAGGAACAUCAAUCAAAGUAAUUUCAUCAGAAAUAGAACGUAAAUUAUUUAAAUAUUCGGCAACAGGUUGUCCAUCACGACGAGGUCGUGCAAGUCGUUCUCUAAGAGAGAUGACGCGACUACGGCUACGAUUGGAGUAUAGCCGUGCAAGCUUAUCCCACGCUUGUUUGGAUGUUGUGGAACUAGCUAUGAGUGGGGCAACUCUUUCGGUGCAGGAGGCUAGGAUGGAAUGAAAGAUCAACUGAUCUUGGCGUUUCCAUAAGGUAUAGGCUGUGUUGAUGGUAGGCGGACCAUUACUGCUGCCAGUUUCAUACGGAGAAGGGCACUCAGAUGUGCCAUCAAUGUAACAUGUCAGAUUGUAGCCAAAAGCUAAAGAGAGGAAUUGCGCUCUCCAUGUAAAAUAAUUUUCAGGUGUAAGCCGUAUAGGCAAUUGGGCAGCGGCGUUGAUUGAAACACAAUCAUUAGCUUGGUUAUUUGAUGAGUGGGGACUUUGGUUGGCUGGUGAGGUAGAGGAGAUGGCUGACGGUUCGGCAGCCAUGGUGAAAGAAAAGAAAAAAGAAGGAUCGAUUUACUCUUGUUAGAGAGAGAAAGAGGGCUCUGAUACCAUAUUAAGCUUGCAUGGUACUUGACGUCGUAUUGCUAUAGUGUCACAAUAUAUACACGUUACAGCUAGCGAAAAUAACGAAGGAGAUAAUAAGUAAUACACUCCUUAACAUGAUGAACUACUGCACUUCUAAACAUAAUGAAAUACAACCAACUAAGAACGUGAAGAUCACGUUCAGCUAUUAGUCGAUAGGCUCAACAAAUUAGCCCACUUUAUGUCUUUAUCCCAUCCAUUCUCAGCAAAAACUGUAGCGGAAAAAUUCAUUAAUGGAGUUGUGAAAUUGCAUGGUAUGCCUAAGUCUAUAAUUAGUGAUCGGGAUCCAAUCUUCAUAAGCAAGUUUUGGCAGGAAUUUUUUAAGAUGUCAGGCACACAACUGAAGAUGAGUUCAGCCUAUCAUCCCCAAACCGACUGUCAAACAGAAGUGAUCAACCGCUGCCUCGAGCAAUAUUUACGGUGUUUUGUUCAUCAAUGGCCACGUAAGUGGCAUGAGUAUCUUCCAUGGGCCGAAUUCUGGUAUAACACCACCUAUCACGUGUCCACAGGCAUGACGCCCUUUCAAGCAUUAUAUGGCAGAGAACCACCAACCGUGCCGAUAUACCAUGUGGGCACUUCACCUGUGCAUGAGGUUGAUAAAGCCUUAUUAGCAAGAGAUGAAUUGCUAGCAAAACUUAAAAAGAAUUUGGCAGUGGCAGCAAAUCGAAUGAAACAAGUAGCGGACAAGCACCGGCGAGAUGUUGAAUUCCAAAGAAAUGAUUUGGUAUUCUUGAAACUUCAGCCAUACCGCCAAAACUCUGUCUUUAAACAGGCACACCGGAAGUUGGCCAGCAAAUCUUUUGGACCUUAUCGGGUACUUGAGAAAAUCGGUUCCGUCGCUUAUAAGUUACAGUUACCAGAGGGAGCACGAAUUCAUCCUGUAUUCCAUGUCUCUUUGCUCAAGAAGGUGGUCGGUGAAUUCCCUCAUAACAGCGACGAGCUGCCUCCGAUUGAUGAUGAUGGUGUGAUUAUCCUUGAACCUGACUCUAUAGUUGACACACGAUGGCUUAAGAGAGAGGGUAAAUUCAUUGAGCAAAGUCUAGUUCGAUGGAAGAGGUUACCAUCUGAGGAGGCUACUUGGGAAGAUACGGCGUUAAUUAAACAUCAAUUCCCGUCUCUAACCCUUGAGGACAAGGGUCAUCUUCCAGAAGGGGGUAUUGAUAGAGAACUAAGGAGGUCAGCAAGGGUCCAUAAGCCUAACUCCAGAUAUGAGGGGUUUGUUUGAACAUUCGUAAGAGUCUCAUGCAGCCAUGCAUGUGGUCAUGCAUGUUGCAUGCAAUACCAUGCAAGACUUAUUUACGUAUGGAAUAAAGAGUAGUUGUUUGUUGGAGCAAGGCAAGGAAAUUACCACGUCAAGCCACGUUGCGGAUCGUGUGGAGAAUCAAAUCAAGUGGGAUUCUAUUUAUGUUUAUAGUUUGUUAUUUAAGAUUGUUUAAAUUGAUUUUAACUGUGAGUUGUGGCUACAAAUCAUUAGUAGUGUUUGUAUUAACUACUAUAAAUAAGUUCCAGCAAUUAAUAAAAGGAUUAUCCAGAAAAUUAUCUCAACUUACUAUUCGUGGUCGUUCUCACCAUAAGAAGAACAACGUAUACUUAGCCAUUGUUGAACGUUUCUGAUUGGGACCUAUCAUUAAUCUUCAUACCCUGCGGCAUUUUUCAAUCAAAUUUGUAAAGAAGAUUGGCUAGUGCAAGCUGCACACUAGGCACUGCCAUGUGUAUCCCUGGACAAAUUCUUCUGCCGGAACCAAAUGGUAUAAAUUCAAAGUUUUGUCCUCCCAUAUCAAUGUUAGAGCCCACAAAUCUCUCAGGAAUAAAUUUGUCCGGCUUAUCCCAAACUUGAGGUCCCUUCCUAUUGCCCACACGUUAACUAAAACCAUUGUCUUGGCUGGUAUGUGAUAACCAUCGAUAACGCAGCUUUCUAUUGUUGCCUUUGGGAUGAAUUGAGCCGCUGGUUGAAUCCUCAUUGUCUCUUUGAUUACAGCAUUAAGUACUCUAAUCUUGGAAUAUCAUCUUCAUCUACAAACCCUUUAUCUUUAACCACACUUCGAACUUCUUCUUGAGCCUUCUUCAUUGCUUCAGGAUUCUUCAUUAGGAGGGUCAUAGCCAUUGCAAUAGUGACUUUACUCGUGUCCGUGGUACCUAUAAAUAUUUCCUGCAUAAAUGCAAAUUAAAGCACAUACAUUUAAGCAAGUGCAUUAUAGGAGAGAUGGCAAACCAAAAUUGAUGAAUCGAAUUGGGUGGCCAGGUAUUCUUGAAAAGCAAACCACUAGGCCAUGUACGUCAAUGGGAACAGCAGGCUGAGAAAUAAAAUUAAUUUUUAGUGAAAGGAAUAGAUUAUGUACGUACCAUGAUCGUUGCUUUGACAUCAUCCAAUGUUAGAUAACCGGCUUUAGUAAGACUAAGUAAAUCGUCGAUUAAGUCCCCUUGCUGACCAGCAUCUUUCGGUCGCUUUGGAUCCAAAUGGUCAUCGGUGAGUUGUUAAUAAUAUUGAUCACAAUCUUUGAAAUGCUUUUGGAGACGAUGAUGCAUUCCUGUGAGUCCAUCGAGGCAAUUACCGAUGAAAGAGUAAGAGCAAUCCGAGAAAAAAAUGGUCCCAGACAAGAGCUGAGUUUCCGCAAGAAGAAAAUCCAAUCUAUUGACAGCUGCUGUGCCGUCAACUUCAAACCUCUUCCUAAAAGUGACUCUAAAAAUAAUGUUAUGUACACAAGUCAUUGCUAUCUCGCUUACGUUGAUAAGCGCUUUGGAUGAAGCAUCUUCAUCGGCAACAUCUCCUAAUUUUGAUAUUUUUUCAACCAUGCGGAAAAUCUCCACUCAUUGUAAUGAGGGGCAAAAGUGACAGCUAAGUUGUUUAGGGAAUGAAAUAGGGUGACCAACAUAAAGGUGUUUGCUCAUACAUUAUCGUGCUCUCCUCAAAGUAAAAGUGAGCAAAUGGUUGAGCAGAUCACCUCGACCAGGAUGUUGUUUGGUGACCUUAAGCACAUCACCUCGACCAGGAUGUUAUUGUUCACCUUGACCAGAAUAAUAUGUGGUGACCUCGAGCACAUCACCUCGACGAGGAUAUCAUUGGUCACCUCGACCAGAGUAAUAUGCGGUGACCUCGAGCACAUCACCUCGACCAGGAGGUUAUUGGUCACCUCAAACAGAUCAUCUCGACCAGGAUGUUAUUGGUCACCUCGACCAGAAUAAUAUGUGGUGACCUCGAGCACAUCACCUUGACCAGGAGGUUAUUGGUCACCUCGAGCAGGUCAUCUCGACCAGGAUGUUAUUGGUCACCUCGAGCAUAUCACCUCGACCAGGAGGUUACCAGGAAGCACGACUCAGUCAAAAUAUUUUCUCCGAAAUAUUAGGGACCAUAUUCUUAGUGGCCUGAAAAUUAGUAGUUUUCUUGAGAAUUCUUGGGGAGAGGAUAAAAACCGCUAUAAUUUCUUAUAAAAACCUGGGAAGAGGAAGGAAAGGGGGUUCGAUUCUUUUCUCUCUCUCUCUCUGUGGGUGACUGAACCCAUUGGAUCUUUUUCUCUCUCUACCACUGAGAAAUUUCUCUUUCGCUUAUGAUUUCUUUAAGAUUAAUUAUUCUCAAUUAUUUUCCUUUAAAUUUACUUAAAAGCUUUUUGUUUAAAGCAAUCAUAAUUAAGCCACAUGAACUAUGGUAUUGGUUUUUUCAAGUAAGACCCAAAUCGCUGACUUGAGCGUCGAAGGGUUCUCGCCGGAAAAACUUCCGGCGCCUCCUGACUAUUGGCUGUGCUCACAGGCUCACAGGUUAUCUGCUCAUGGAUCGUCUGCUCAUGGAUUGUCUGCUCAUAGAAAAUCUGCUCAUGGUGCUAACUAAUCAGCGGCUUUCCACCAAACAAAUUUAAUGUUGAUGCAGGGAUCUGAGAUUUAACCAACUCAUCCGGAUUUUGGCAUCAACACAAGUAAUUGUAGGAUACGUUUGCGAGCCAAGCAGAACUGGCCUCCUGGCAAAUUGAAGAUCGUGAGUUUUGAAGGCCUCUUUAGCCAAUUUUGCUGAGGAAAUUACUAUGGCCGGUCUAAAACCAAGACGCAAGGAAAAGACUGGACCAUAUUGUGUAGAAAUUUUCCAUAAAUAAAAUGCAAGCUUUUGGUAUCGAACUGGUGCAGGUUGCCAAUUAUGGGGAGACGAGGAGGGCCAGGUGGAAAUUUGGCACUUGUACAACAGAAAGAUGGGAAGACAAAAAAGGAUCGCAAGAACAAGUAGAUCCAUUCUUUUUUCCUUUUUUUCUUCUUUUCCUCUCUCUCUCUCUUAAUUUUUGAGCUCUUAAUUUUUGAGCAACAAUAUUAACUAGCUAGUUCAGUGCUGUACAAGAACACACCUCUGCCUAUUUAUAAGACGUUGAUACCUGCGCGAACUAAAGCCAUUAUAGGAUGAAACGGGCAGGUGCCUCAUUUUGGGUUUUCAAAUUUUUUUAUUCUUCAUAACAGUCCAGUGACGAUUAGACUUCUUUUUAUUUAUAUUUUUUAAGCAAACCUCGUGACAACCAGUGAGCCUACCUGGGCUAGGGAUGGCAAAAUUCUCCAUGGAUUUGGAGUCUUAUGGGGCUCCAUCUCAAAUGGGGUGAAUUUUGAAUAAUUUUUGAGAAUUAGGUAGGGAAUGGACGAAAAAUAAUCCUCAAAUUCUUAAUGGGGUGGGGUUUUGUUUUGUAUUUCUCACCCCACCCCCACCCCAAUCCCCAUUAUAUAUAAAUAUUUUUUAAUUUUUUAUUUAAUAAUUUUUAUUUCAUCAAUUACAAUGUUAAUUAUAAAUUUUCUUUUUAUUUUUACUUGACAUAAAUAGGUUAUAACUAAAAAAAAACCCUACAAUAUAAUUUUUAUUCAGCCUAAAACAUUGUUAUAUUUUCUUCUCUAUUAAAAUACUAUUCUCUUCAAAUAUUUUUUAAUUUUGAUAUCAUUUAAAGAUAUUAUUUCAAACAUUUGGAGAUUUUUUUAAAAUAAUUUAAAUACUUUAUAAUAUGAUAAUGAUUUUAUGUAAGUCUUUAAUUUUUAAUUUAUUGAAAUCAAGUAUUUAUCUUUACUAUAAAAUAAAUAAAUGGGGAUUGUGGUGGGGAUGGAAAAAUCAUUCCCCACAUGAGGAUUCCCCAUCCUCACCCCACUAAAUUUAUUGGGAAAUAGGGUGGGAAAUGGAGGCCAAAAUUCCUCAUCCCCACCCUAUUGCCAUCCCUGACUGCCCCUUAAUAAUAAUAAAAAAAUUGCAUCAUCACGUGAAAAGCACCAUCUUUAUAUACAUACGAACAUUGAUAAAAGUAGCAUGAUAUUAAUUAGUUAAUAUUCUAUAUAGUUACGUUUCUCGUGCGCACCAAUAUCUGGAAGGGUCAAAAUGGGAGAGCAAUAAUUUCUCACGUUUAAUUUAUUGAUCCCGCGAAUGAUGCGGUUACAAAGAAAAAUAAUGUAUGUGACAUAUACACAUUAUACACCCAAUCAGACAUCUGCAGUCAAGUUAUAACUUCCGGAAUGUACCCAACUCACCUUACACAACCAUCUUACAUCAAUGUUGUUAAUUCCAUAGAGUGAUAACUUAUUUAAUUGGAACAUUAUUGAAGAUUUGUUAUCUUACCUUAUUUUGCUAGCACUGAUGCCUUUCAAGCAUGUAACCUACAUAAUUUGAACAUGUGUUGAUUUUUGUUUGAUAGGGUUGGUGAUGCUCGAUCGAAAUUUCUUUAAUAGCUGAGAUAGCCCUCCCACAUUAACCCUUUGAGAUAUGCUUGGACAUAUGUCAAAAAAAUGGAAUAUUAAUUAAUAAUAGGCUAUUAACAAAAUAUGUAGGUGAUAUCCUCAAGAAAGCAAAGAUGAUUGAGAGCAAAGGUUGUUCAACUCCCAUGAGUUUUACAGAGAAGCUAGUCAAAGAUAAGGGUGCUGCUUUUGAAAAUCCCUCUCUCUAUAGAAGUAUAGUUGGCUCAUUACAGUAUCUUACUCUUACUAGACCUGAGAUUGCCUUCACAGUGAAAGGGUUCUGAGAUAUUUACAAUGCACAGCUGAUCUUGGUUUACAGUUUUAUGGCUCUGGUUCACUCACAAUUCCAGCCUUCUCAGAUGCUGAUUGGGGCCCAGAUUUGGAUGAUAGAAAGUCGGUUGGGGGAUAUUGCAUAUAUCUGGGGAAUAAUCUGAUCUCAUGGUCAUCUAAGAAACAACCUAUAGUUUCAAGAAGCACAACUGAGUCAGAAUAUAGAGCAUUAGCAUUGGCAGCCUCUGAAACUUUGUGGAUCACUUACUUGCUGAUAGAGUUGAAAGUAACUCUAUUACAAACUCCAGUUAUCUAUUGUGAUAACAAGAGUGUAGAAGCUUUAGCAAGUAAUCCCAAGUAUCACUCCAGAACCAAACAUAUUGAGUUAGAUUUACACUUAUUCGGGAUCAUAUAGCUCAGAAAGAACUACAGAUCAGUCAUGUUCCCAGUUAUGAUCAAGUGGCAGAUAUCUUUACAAAACCUUUAGCUUUUGAUCAAUUUAAUUAUCUAAGGUCCAAGCUCAAUGUGCUUUCACGACCUUGAGCUUGAGGGAGGCUGUUAAGAUAAUUAAAUUGAUUAAUCACAUGUUGAUUAAUAUUGUUAGUUAAACAGAAUCUGGUAUACAUGCUGACGUGGCUGCUUAUGUGGCAAAUUAGUUUAGUUACAAGCUCAGCUGAUUUUGCAUGUGUAAACAGAAUGAAGAAGAUUCCAGAUCAUAGUAUAUAAACGUGUGUAACUAAUCAAAUCACAUGAUGAAUAAAAUACAAGCUUUCUCUUCUCUGUUUCUUUGAUUUUUCCUUUUCAUUUUCUUAGUAAACAAACAAACUCAUCAUUGUUAAUUACUAUCAUUAAAAUACACAUGAUAUAAGAUUAUUAAAAAUUCAUCAGUGCUGAUAUGAGUAGAAGUCCUAAUCCGACUCAACAACCCCACAACUCACCUUUGUCUACCACGCUUGAGGAGAUCCAUAAUUCUCCUGUAGUCGUAUGGCUCACAAGCAAGAAAAGAAGAUAUUGUGCAAAGAAGUAGAGACAAGACAAUAACCUUAUCAGAAAUCAACAAUCACACUCACCUUUGUCAAGCCAUGAAGAUAAGAAGCAAAGAACUUGUCGGGAUCAGAUUAUUCUUCACCAUUCUCCAAGACGCCAUGCACGUGAAUAAUUUCUCUUUUGUCCAUCAAAGUGCAUUAAAUAUCAAUUACAGUUUAGUCGUGGAUUUAACACAGUUUCCACCUCUUCAAAGGAGGAACUCUCCAGUGCAUCAGAAAUUCUACGUUACAAUCUAGUGUUUGCUUAUUGAGCUGUUUUCUUGUCUUUUUAUUUCAAUAAAGUUUCCCCUCUCGUUCCAUCAAAGUCAAUUUAAAAAAAAAAAACUAAAAUUCGCUUAAGAAUACGUUUAUAUACACGAAACUUAUGAAGCCAUCUACUGUGCAAAGCCGUGCAAUGCUUAAGAACUAUGGUGCCUAACUUUUGUUCCAAUAUUUGAUCGUACACGAAAGUUUUAAAACUAUUGAUCAUCAGUCAUCCCAUAGCUCCUCAGGGGUCUGGAAUGGUCCCUGAGGAGAUACCCAGAAAUCACUAGGUAUCAAUCUACGCUGCGGGAUCUGAUUAAUCUUUUUAUAAUCGUCAUCAACUAAUUCCCAGUCAAAAAUCCCCAUGUUCUGCUUCAUUCUCUCCUUAUUGAAGCUUCUAACAACAGCAGUGGCUCCUUGCUCAACUAUCCAUCGUAGAGAAACCUGAGCCACGGUCUUGCCAUGAGCUUUUGCAAUCUGCUUUAACAUUUCAUUCUCCAGGACUUGAUUGCUGCCCCACAUUCUCCCUAAUGCUCCCAAAGGAGAGUAGGCAUUGACAAUUAUACCCUUGGCCUUGCAAAAUUCUCUGAGCUUCUUCUGCUGCCACAGAGGAUGCAUCUCUAUUUGAUUGAUUGACGGAGGGAUGAUAGCGAAGGUGAGUAUGGUCUUAAUCUUCUUGCAGGAGAAGUUACUGAGACCAAUGGACUUAGUGAGGCCAAGCGUUUGAGAAUCCAUGGCUUCCCACACACCCUUGUAGUCCAUAGGUAAAAGGUCCUCUUUAGGUACAGGUGCAAAUCCCAUCUCUACCGGCUUAGAACUGAUGGGCCAGUGAAUGAGAUAGAGGUCUAAAUAUUCUAUUUGAAGAGCACUAAGAGACUUCUUUAGAGCUGGGAUAACGUGGUCACGAUGGGCGUCCUGGCACCAGAGCUUGGAAGUAAUGAAGAGUUGUUCCCGAGAACUGACAAGACCAAGUCGAAGUGCUUCAGCUAUUGCUUCUCCUAGAGCCUUUUCUGUUCCGUAAAUUGCAGCCGUGUCAAAAUGUCUGUAACCCAGCUCGAUGGCUUCCAGGACCACCAGCUUCAAUGCGUCUAUGUCUGAUUUUUCAACUGAACAGCCCAGGCCGAUCACUGGCAUACUCGGAUGGCCGGAGGAGGAGCUCAAUUUGAGUUCGGAGAUAUUGAACAACGUCGACUGUGUAGAGUUCUCCAUUCUUCUCAAAACCUUAUUAGGAAAGUACUGUCGAUUUUUUGUGCCACAAUCCAGCACUCCAAACACAAAUUGAGGCUAUAAUAUCUUGUUUUGCAAAUAUUUUAUAAUACAUAAAAGGUAACAUGCACAUAACAAAUAAAUAAUGUUAUGAUGCGUGUGUAUUUAUCUUGAAAAGUAAUGAUAUAAAUUGUAAUUAUAUCAAAUUUAAUUAUAUAUAUAUAUUAAUUGAUUGUAUUACCAACUUAAUCCAAAACAAUAAUAAGUUCAAAAUUUAAUAAUCAUGUCAUCUAGAAAUUUAAUACAAAUUAUCAACAUCUUACCUACCUUGAACAAAUUUUUAAGACGAAUUUUCAACAUUUUACCAACUAAGCAACCAAACAAGACCCCAAUGGUUACUGCUUGACAAGAUUAUUAUUAGUUGAAAGAAUUGGUACUUGAGAAACCUCUUUUAAGCUAUCUUUCUUAUCACGUUUGCAAAGAAAAACCUAGUGGUUAAUUAUUGCUUGACGAGUUGGUUAUUAGAAUAAAAAGGCACAAUAUUUUUAUUCUAUUUCUCCUCGCAAGCCCUCUUUUGUUUUCCUCCUACAAUUCAAGAUACAUAGCCUCAUUAGCUUACAGUGAAAAGACUACAAUACAAGAAAUUGUUGGUCACAUACUAAAGAAGUUGAAUGCUACAUUAGUCUCAUGCAAUAUCGAAGGUCGAGUUGAAAUAAAUUAUGGUAUUGAGAAAAAGAAUUAAACACUGCUUAUUGGUUUGUCAGAUUUUCUAAUUAUAGGAAUUUAGUGCAUGAACGGUAUUGGUAAAAUAACUACUACGGAAGCUAUUUUUAACCAAUGAAUUUAAGGUUAAAUUUCACUUAAUUAACCUAUGUACUAAAUAAUAUUAUGAUAGAAAUAAAAUAAAAGAAAAUAAAUUAUGAAUAUCCUGGAAUAAAUAUAGAAUUUAUGGCUAAACAUCAAUUCAAUAAAACUAUUCUAAUUGUUUUUAAUAGAUUUUUUUUUAUUUCAAUUGAUAAGUGAUUUUUUCUUUAUUUAACUAAAUUAAAUGAAUAAAGUAUUUUUUGUUCCAUGAAAGUUGAACAAUAUUGAUUUACAAGUUUUAUACUAUUUUAACAAGUGUUUCUUUUGUUGCAAUUUUAAAACACCAAUUUAGAGCCAAUUUGGUAAUUCUGUAGCUUUUAAAAUAAUUAUUGUUAGCUGUGCUAUUGAAACAAUUAGCUGUGAAGAGAAUCAGUUAAACAUUUGAUAAAAUUUGGUUUUAAAAGUGUGUCAUGAGUUUUAAAAGCAAUCGUAUGUGUUUGGAAAAUCUUACUGUUAAACUGCUGUAAAAAUAUAAAAGAUUGAGUUUCACAUAAUGUUGAAUAAAAUUUAUUGAUAUAUUUAUAAAUAUGUGUAUAAAAUAUUUUUCAUUAUAUGUAUAAUAAUUAAUAACUAAAAUAAAUAUAUUGUGCUAUUAAAUUUUUUUUAUCUCAAUAUAAUUGGUAACAAUAAUAAUUUCUUUGAAGUUAAUAAUUUUAUUUCCUAAUUAAUAAGGAUAAUUUUGAAUUUUUAUAAUAUAUAUGAGGGGUAUAGGGCCUCUAUAAAUUAAUACUCGAUAAAUGAAUAAUUUCUAUUAUAUAAUAAAUUUUCACAGUCCCAACUUGGGCCAAUGGACUUAAUUAAUAAUUUCUAUAAAAUAAUGAGAUAAUACUUUUCUUAAAAAAUCUUAUAUAAUUCUAUGGUCCCAUUCAAAUCAUAAAUUAAUAAUAUGCUGAAAUUAUAAAUAUAGUUGACUGUGAUAUUAUAAUUAUAUAAAAUAUGACUCUAAUGUUGUUUGUUAGUUAGAUCUUAUUAGGGAUGACAAAAUCCUCCAUGGAUUUAGAGUCUCACGGAGCCUCAUUCCAAAUUCGGUGAAUUUUAAAUAAUUUUUGGGGAAUGAAGUGAGGAAUGGGGAAAAAAUAAUCCACAAAUUCUUAAUGAGGUGGAGUUUGGUUUUGUACUCCCCACCACAAUCCCCAUUAUAAAUAAUUUUUUUAAUUUUUGUUCAAUAAUUUUUGUUUUAUCAACUACAAUGUUAGUUAAUAAUUUUUUUUAUUCUUAUCUAAUAUAAAUAGGCUAUGACUCAAAGAAAAUCCUACAUUGUAAUUCUUAUUCAACCCUAAAGUAUUGUUAUGUUUUCUUUUCCAUCUCAAGGUACUACUUUCUUUAAGUAUUUUUUAGAUUUGAUAUUAUUUCAAGAUAUUAUUUCAAACUUUUGGAGAUUUUUUAAAAUAAUUUAAAUAUUUUAUAUAUGAUAACGAUUUUAUUUGAAUCUCUAAUUUUUAAUUUGCUGAAAUCGUUUAUCUAUAUCCAUUAUAAAAUAAAUAAAUUGGGAAGAAGGUGGAGAUGGGGAAAUCAUUCCUCAUAUAAGGAUUCCCCAUCCUCACCCCAAAAAAUUUAUCAGGGGAUGGGAUGGAGAAUCGAGGCGAAAUUUUUAUGGGAUGAAGAAUGAGAUAGAAACCCCACCCCCCCCCCCCCAACCGCACCCCACCCCACCCCACCCCAUUGCUAUCCAUGGAUCUUAUGUCUUAUUUUUCUUAUUGUAUCUAAAAGUUCUGAGGUUGACUUCUCGAAUUGUAAUAAGAAAUUGAGAAGUAUUGUUGAUACUUUUAGUGCUUCCUUGCAUGUAACAGGUUUCAAAGCUAUUGUAUUAUCCUCAGCUUCUUCUUCAACUGGAUUUUACAUAAAGAUUAUUUUUAAUCAAAUUCAUUGAACACAUUUAAUUAAGUUAAUUAAUAUAAAUACUAUUUAAUUAAGCACAUAAAUAAGUAAAAUAUAUUUAAUUUAGAAUUAAUGGUAUAGAUUUUUUAUUCAAAUCUAACGGCCCACGUCCAUUAUGGCAUCAAUGCCGUAAACUUAAUUACGGCAUUAUAGAAUGACCCAUUUAAAAAACUAUCUAUUAUUAUUUAAUAUGAGAAACAACUCAACUUAAAUUACAAAAUCAAUGGAAUAUCAAAGGAAAUUGGCUUGCAUGAUGAUAUUUUGACCUCCGUUUUCGAUGAUGAAUCUGAAAAUCAUGAUCUUCCUCAGCAAGAUGCUACCAAAGGCUGCGGUGACUCACAUCUGAAACCACAUAUCACGGCAACCAGGAUGAAUCUCAAGUUGAUGAUAGGAUCAAUUUCCAGUUGUCAAAAUCCGAAAAUUAUAUACUUAUGUUAUCUAAUUUAAAAAUUCUUUAAUAUGCAUCCCACCAUAGAAAUUUGGAAGAUCUACAUUAAUCUUGUAAUCUAAAUUUCGUCCGCACCUUGUUUUCUAAUUGAUCAACCCAAUGCAUUCCUUGUUUUCUAAGCUCUAACACCGAAAUUUCUUGAAAAGAUUUUCGGAUUAGUGUCUUGCAAGUAAGAAAUUCUUGAGAGACGUGCUGCUUCAAGGUCGAAGCUUUGGUUGGGAACUCAAGCAUGCAAAUGCAAUUGUUGAAACAUGCACAUUAUCCUAACAAUCUUUCGGUCAGCUGGAGGCGAAAGACGUUGGUCUAAAACGUCAAUUAACAUCCUUUUUGAAUUAAAUGAUGGUGAUGACGACGAUGAAAGAUCUCCUAAACGCCUUCCCAAUAAUACUUCUAGUGCCACCACUCUGAAGCUGUAAAUGUCACAUUUCUCUGUAAAAAUCAUGGUGUAGUCGAUUUCUACAAGAAAAAGAAUAAGGGUAUGAUAGAUGUCAUAUGAUCAUAUAAAAACUUUUCAAUCUGAGAACUCCGAAUUGCGUUAAAGUUCAGGACAUAUUUAUACCGUUAUAAAACGGUGAAAAAUACAGUUUAUAACGAUGUAAAUGUUGGGAUUAUAUGCUCUUUUAAAGCAUAUUAAUUUAUUUUCUGAUUAAUAAAAUAUUUAAGAUAUUUUCAAUUGCAUAAAUAUAUAUUGAAUAAGGUCCGUUUAAUCAUAUUAUAUGUAUUUAUGUGAUCAUCAUAUGGAUUCACAGAAGACAUAAAUACAAGUUAUCUUAUGAUUAAAUAAAUUUAGUUCGCAGUUGAUAAAUAGAGUUGGGCGCUCUAUUUAUGUUUAGACUGUAGUAAAUUCAUUGAAUGAUUUGUCUUAAUCAUAUAUGAAUUUUCUGAUGUAGUUUGACUACAUUAAGCUGAAUCACAUAUGAGAUUUAAUUAACCUUGAAAUGACUAUCAGACUUAUUAAAUCUCAUAGGCAUUGAUUUUACUGUAAUCUUAAUCUUGAGUUAGUUAUGAUUUCAUGAUUGUAAUUGUUAUUCCAUUUGAGUUACCAAUUGGCACAACACACAAUUGUGAUCAAAAUUACCCGGUAUCUUGGUGGGAGCAAUUAUGAGUAUUUGAGUUAUAGACUAACAAUAUAGAAUUUGUACGAAGCAUCUCUUGAUGGGUUUUCGGAACUUGAUCAUAGAAUUCUCUGGCCAUAGUGUGUCAACAUAUUUAGUAUGUUGAAAAUGAUCAUUAGAGAAAACCAGUAAGUAUCAAGGAACAAGAUGUAAUUAAAUUGAUUAGACAGUUGAGAUAUCGAUUUAAUUAACGAUGUGGUACAAAGGAUUGAGCAGUAAAGAAAUCAGUGUGGCUUGAGAUGAAUUAUUAUUUGAACAUACAAUUAUGGAGGUAAGUUCCAAUCUUAUAGUGGAGUAGAGUUGGAAUUAAAUUAUUAGGCUUGUUUAAUUACAAGCUUAAUUGUUGUAGCCAAUAUUGUAUGUUCCCAAAUGAUCCCCGAAUUAGCUCAUUUAAUUGACUGCGCCACUACUGAAUUAAUAAGUAUGAUAACUAGCCAUUUGAGUUAAAAGCCUAAAUACAUUAUUUAGUGGGAGGCUCCAUGUAAUGUACUUGUAUCUAAGGGGCCUUGUGUUAUUUUACAAGGUGGGUCCCUAAAACACAAGAACAAGUAACGUGACUUUUGUUUUAAUUAUUUUUUUUAAUUUAAAUCAAAAGGGAUUUAAUAGAAUUAAUAAAUAAAUAAAUAUGGAGCCUAGGGUUUCCACUAAAUAAAAAUAUAAAAGGGCUUAUUUUCUCCCAAAAGAAAGAGGCAGCCACUUUAUACAGAUCAGAAAAAGAUUUUUCUCUCUGUUGUUAAGAGAAAAAUUUUCUUGUGCUAGUUGCUUUGGCAGUGAUAAAGGUGUCCACACGUCAAGUGCAGAUCAAACUUGAGUCAUAACCUAGAAAAUCAUUGGUGACAGUUCAUGAUCUAACAAGCGUGGUGAUGACGGAUCGUGAUCUCGGAGCCUAAAUCACUUCAGCGAAAAAAGCCAAAUCGAAUUUUCAAGUUACGAUUUCUAGAUUACGUAUUCAUAUAUAUUAUAUGAGAUCUGUCCUAAAAAGUUUUAUAAAAAUUUUAAAAAAAAAUGUUUCUCCAACAAUUGGUAUCAGAGUCAUCUCAUAUAAAUAUAUAAGAAUUUCGUAUGAAAUCAAUCUUGAAAUUUAUAUAUUAGAGUGUCACAAUUUAUUCAGAUAUAUAUUAUUUGUUUAAUAUAUGAAUAAAGCAAGUUUUGAUUUUUCUUAAUUCAUGCUUAGAUUCUCUGCCGAAUUUUUCCUUUAGAUCUGUAACAAAAGGGGUGGUUUAUUAUCACCAUGUUUCCCUCUUGAUUUAUUUUAUUGUUAUAGAAAUUUUGUAAGCCAAAAUUGGCCUAGGAAAUUUGUAAAUCGCUAGAGAUUAAUCACGCGUCGACAGAUCAAAGGGACAUGAAAGAAACGAAGGCUGGAUUUUUCAGCGGCAGCCACCAACCAGCAACACAAGCACGCACGCAGUAACAACGCGAAAUAGCCAGCGCGCGUGGGAAGCGUGGCCUGUGCGCGCAGCUCGAGCUGGCACACUUUGCUCGCGCAGCAAACAGCGCGCGCUACACGCGCGACCAACGUGGCCAGCAGCAAGUUGCGCGCGCGAGUUUGGUGCAUUUCCGGCGACGCAGCGGCGGGUGGCUCGGCAUCAGAGGUCGGUUGGCGUCUGAACAAUGGCAAAGGUUUUUGGAGAUGGCGGAUAGGGAAGAAGGAAAAGAAAAAUAUGGAUUUUAGGGUUUCAUGAUUUUUAUCAUUGAGGUCCCUAUAGUUCCAUAAUUGUUUCCUUUGGGUAGUCAAGUUUUAAUUUUUUACAUUUAAGUCUAAAAAUAGUUUUGGGCUUAAAGAAUCCUAGUUUUAGGUUCAAUUUCAAUUGGGCUUAAUGGAUUAAAAUAUAUAGAUAAAAUUGAGCACAUUAAAUUUAUUUUUGGUCCAAAAGUUUUAUUUUAAUAAAAAAUUAUUAUUUAUUUCCUUUCAAAAUUAAAAUUGGACCAAUUAUAAAUUUAAAAGCCCAAUUUCCCCUAGUCUAUUAACAAAGACAAGCUUAUGGAAGAUGGACAUUCACAAGAAGCCCAAUAAAGAUUAAGCUUAGGGUUAAUGUAUUUUUCAUUUUAGGAAAGCUAUGAAUUAAGAUUAUUUAAUUGUUUUUCGAUAUGUUAUGUUUUGGAUGAUAACAUGACAUGAUAACAUGUCAUAUAGAAUAGGUAGUACCACUCUAUGCAUAAUGAUACAUGUCAUUCAUUAAUAAUUAAUCUCAUUAUAUUGUUUGAAAUUUGCACAUGCUUAAUAAUAUUUGAUAUCAUCUAAAUAAUAUUAUAGGAAGCAUGCAAUUAACAAUAUGUAUAUGUUUUAAAAAAGGAAAAACUAAUUUUAAAAUAUUGAGUGGGAGAGGGAAAAUUCAAGAUAAUUUUUCCCACGGGCUCUAUUGUUAGUUCAAUAAUAAAAUUAUAUAUAUACCUCGACUUCAUGAUAUGGUGAUGUUCCCUACUGAGGGUAUAUAUAUUAGAUAUUUUAUUUGAUGAACUUCUUCAAAGAUAAAAUUGAAAUAUUUUUCAAUCAAUUGUUCACCCCAACGGUGACUAUUGAUAUGAAAAAUACGUAGAUUGAAAUAAUAGUUAUACACUCAACUAAAAUUUGUUAUUAACCUUCCCAACAAAGCUCUGUUAACAAAUUUAGGCCCAAAUGGAUAACGAUAAUUAUUUAUCAUGUCUCUACAUGAAAGUAAAUAAUCCAAUGGAUAAUUGCGUUUAGUAAGUGUAGACAUGACUUUCCCAACGGAUAGCUUGUCAAAGCGGUACUAGAUUAUCGUUACAAUAAAUUAAAAUGCAUUUAUGUUUUUUGCAUUUUUGUCAUUUAUUGUGAAUAUUGUUUCAAAGUAUUUAUGCAUGUCUACUUUGUUUUUUCAGAAAAUGUCUUCCAUCAACCCAUUAUUAAUUAUCCUUGUUAAAAAUGAAUUCACUGGCAAAAAUUAUUUAGAUUGGAAACCCAAUCUAUUUAAUAUUCUUACUGCUAAAGGCUGCAAAUAUGUGUUGACCCAGCCAUGCCCUCCAGAACCAAUGUUAUACGAUUAUAGAAAUCAGAAGGAGCCGUAUGAGAAAUGGUGCGAAGCUAACAAAAUGGCUAAGCGCUAUAUAUUGGCUUCGAUUUCUGUGGAACUGCAUAAGAAACAUCGGAGCAUGGAAACAGCCACUGAAAUAAUGGCUAGUCUUCAUCAGAUGUUUGGGCAAAAUACUCAUUUUGCCAGAGAAACAACAUUAAAACAUAUUAUGGAUACUAAGAUGGAAGAGGGCACAAGAGUUUGUGAUCAUGUCCUCAAAAUGAUGGACUAUUUGAAUGAGGUAGAGAUUCAUGGUGUUCAAAUCAAUGAUAAAUCAAAGAUUAACAUGGUGAUUGAAUCUUUACCUGAUAUAUUCAAAGAGUUUAAGGUCAGCUAUAUCUUAAAUAAUAAAUAUAUGCUUAAUUGAAUUAAUGCACGAACUACAUGCUAUAGAAGAAUUUUAUCAUAGCAGAAAACUUCCUGAAAAAUGAUUCUCUUCAAGGCUUAAGUCGAAAGAUAAGAAUGAGCAAUAAAGAGUUGGGAUCGGCAAACUGUCCACUUAAAGAAGUGGCAAGCCAAAAGGCAAGUGCUACAAAUGUGGACAGAAGGGUCACUGGAAGAAAGAUUGUCCUAAAAUUAUUAAAAUCGGGUAUAGGAAAUCUUUAAGCUUCCUAAUUAGUUCAGAUAUCUAUUGAUUCAUGCAAUAGUGAAUUCAUAGAUAACUAAUCUUAUUUGUAAUUCAUUUAUUUAGUUUUUAGGAAACCAAGAGAUUAAGUGAAGAAAGCUUCAAACAACAGUUGAGGACAUGCUAGUUUAUAUCAAUUGAAAGGCUAGAUCAAUUUUACAAGACUUUAGUUUUGAUAUUUGUCUUUAUUUUUCCAAAUAUGAGAGGAAAUUAAUUUCGGUGGCUUGUUUUAAUAAACAGGAGUACAUUGUUAUUUUUGGAUCCUCUGUUUAUUACUUAUUUUGGUUAUUUAUAAAGACAAUUUAUAUCAUAUAAGUUCAUUAAUCUAUUCAAAGCAAGAUAUAAUGAUAAAGAGUAUAUGCAUUUAUCUAAGAAAAGAAAUGUUUCUUCAAACCAAAAUCACCUAUGAUAUUUAUGCUUAAAUCAUAUAAACUAUAAUAAGAUUUUAAGAAAAUGAUUAAUGAUAGACUUGUUGGCCUAUCGAGAUUGAUUAGUGUAAUUCUAUAAAUCUUAUUUAGAAAAGUAAUAUGAUGAGGAUGCUCUUUUUGAGCUAAAAGCAUAACAUUGUAUUGGAUGAUUUAGCGCAUACAUUUACAAAUGUAUACGGACUAAUCAGUUUACAUGUUAUAAGAGGUUAUGAGUAUUCUAUCAAUCUUGUUGAUGAAUAUUCAUUUUAUUUAUGUUUGUCUAAAUGCGUCAUGAUUCCAUUGCUUUUGAAAUUCAAAAGAGUACGUAGAUAAGACAAAUGCAAUUAGACAUGAACAUAAAAGAAUUUCGAUAUGAUCGAAAUAAAGAAUAUCUCUAUGGAGAAUUCAAGCUCUAUUUGGUUGUCAAAUGGGACAAACUCCCUCAUAUAAUGAACAUUAUGAUACAAUAGUGUAAUUAAAUGGAGAAACAAGAUUCUUUUGGAUAAGACAAGAUAUAUACUAAGUGGUUUAUCAUUUACCUUUUUGAUUCCAGAUACUAGUAGUUAAAAUUUCAAAGUUUAUUGAACUUAGUUUCAUCUAUUUCGGUGUCUACUACUCCAAGAAAUUAUGAAAAAUUCACAAACAUGGUUUGAGACACAUUCGUAUUUGGAGUUUACUAGUAUUUCUACUAGAAUCAGAGGUAGAGAAGAUGGAUUCGUGUUCAGAAGCUUGCAUGUUUAAGGUAUCUUAAUGGAAUAAGGGAAAGUCUUAAUUAUAGUCCUCAAGAUAGGAAUGUAUUUAUGGACAUAUUCUUUACCUUCUUUGAGGAAGACUAUAUAAUGACUUGUUACCUAAGAGUAAGGUAAAACUAGAGAAAUAAAAAGGAGAUCAGGUUGAUGCUCAGCUUUCAACACCUGUUAUUGAACAGGAAGAACAACAACAGCCAGCUGAUCAACACAUGAUUAUCCUUGAACAACCAUCACUUUUAGAACCUCGUCGUAGUGGGAGGGUAACUAGGUUACCUGCAAGAUACAUGUUAUUGAGAGAAACCUAUAUGGCGAUCUCAGUUGAACAUGUACAAGAUCCCACUGGCUACAACGAAGCUCUAAUAGACAGAGAUGCUGAAUUUUAGAAAAAGGUCAUGAAUCAAGAAAUGGAAUCUAUAUAUUCCAAAAAAAUCUAAGAACUUGUAGAGGCACCAAAUGGGAUAAAACUUAUAAGGUGCAAGUGAAUCUACAAGAGAAAAAAAAAGGAGUAAACGGAAGGGUGGAAACAUUUAAAGCAAGAUUAGUAGCCAAAGGGUUUUACUCAGAAAGAGAAAUCGAUUAUGAGGAAACCUUUUCUUCGGUUGCUAUGCUUAAAUCCAUCAGGAUUCUAUUCUCCAUUGCUACAGUUCUAGAUUAUGAAAUUUGGCAAAUGGAUGUCAAGGUAGCCUUUCUUAACGGGUAUCUUGAAGAAGACAUCUACAUGCAGCAACCAGAUGGAUUCGUACAAAAGGCCAAGAACACAUGGUAUGUAAGUUGUAGAGAUCCACAUAUGGAUUAAAGCAAGCAUCCCGGUCAUGGAACAUCAGAUUUGAUCAAACGAUUAAAUCGCUUGGAUUCAUUCAAAACAUUGAUGAACCAUAUGUGUACAAGAAGAUUUAGGAAAAAUUUAUAGCCUUCCUAGUUCUUUGUGUAGACGAUAUUCUUCUGAUUGGAAACGAUAAAUGAGUAUUGACUACAAUAAAGAUUUGGUUGGCAAAGUAAUUUGAUAUGAAAGACCUUGGAGAGGCAAGUUAUAUUUUUGGUAUUAAAUUACUACGAGACCAGAAGAAUAAAACUUUAGCCUUGUAUCAAGCGGUUUAUAUCGACAAGAUAUUGACUAGAUUUAGCAUGAAAAAUUCCAAGACUGGUUUAUUACCACUCAGACAUGGAAUUGUAUUUUCUAAGGAUCAAUCACCUAAAACAUUUGAAGAGAUCGAGAAAAUGAGACGAGUUCCCUAUGUAAAGCUGUGGGAAGUCUCAUGUAUGUCAUGCUUUGUACUAGGCCAGACGUCUGUUUUGCAGUUGGGAUGGUUAUCAGAUAUCAAUCUAAUCCUGAACCUAAACACUGGACUGCGGUCAAGUAUAUAAUGAAGUAUCUGAAAAGAACUAAAAAUUAUAUGCUUGUGUAUUCCGGUGAUGAACUUAUUCCAGUGGGUUAUAUUAAUUCUGACUUUAUGUCAGAUAAGGAUUCUAAAAAAUCAACUUCUGGCUAUGUGUUUACAUUAGGAAGUGGAGCUAUUAGUUGGAGGAGUGUGAAACAACCUUGUAUCACAGACUCCACAACUAAAACUGAAAAUGUGGCUGCAUCUGAAGCUGCAAAAGAAACUGUAUGGCUCCGCAAGUUCCUAUAAGAUCUUAAGGUGAUACUUGUUGUAACUGCACCAUUAAAUUAUUUUGUGAUUAUGGUAGUGCGGUAGCUCAAUCUAUGGAACCAAAAAACCACAAGAAACAAAACAUAUUGAGAGGAAGUAUCAUCUUAUAAGAGAAUAGUAUAGAAAUGCUAUAUGACAGUACCCCAAAUGGCAUUAGAUGCUAAAUGGUAGAUCUUAUUUAAAUGGCCAUAAGUGGGAAAUCUUUAUAAUAUGCACUUAGAGUCCUAGAGCAUGUGCAAUAUGCCAGAUAUGCUUUAAGAGCUAGUGGGAGAUUGCUGGGAUUAUAUGCUCUUCUAAAGCAUAUUAAUUUAUUUUCUGAUUAAUAAAAUAUUUGAGAUAUUUUCAAUUGCAUAAAUAUAUAUUGAAUAAGGUCCGUUUAAUCAUAUUAUAUGUAUUUAUGUGAUCAUCAUAUGGAUUCACAGAAGACAUAAAUACAAGUUAUCUUAUGAUUAAAUAAAUUUAGUUCGCAAUUGAUAAAUAGAGUUGGGCGCUCUAUUAUGCUUAGACUGUAGUAAAUUUAUUGAAUGAUUUGUCUUAAUCAUAUAUGAAUUUACUGAUGUAGUUUGACUACAUUCAGCUGGAUCACAUAUGAGAUUUAAUUAACCUUGAAAUGACUAUCAGACUUAUUAAAUCUUAUAGGCAUUGAUUUUACUGUAAUCUUAAUCUUGAGUUAAUUAUGAUUUCAUGAUUAUAAUUGUUAUUCCAUUUGAGUUACCAAUGGUCACAACACACAAUUGUGGUCAAGAUUACCCGGUAUUUUGGUGGGAGCAAUUAUGAGUAUUGGAGUUAUAGACUAACAAUAUAGAAUUUGUACGACGCAUCUCUUGUGGGUUUUCGGCACUUGAUCAUAGAAUUCUCUAGCCAGAGUGUGUCAACAUAUUUAGUAUGUUAAAAAUGAUCAUUAGAGAAAACCAGUAAGUAUCAAUGAACAAGAUGUAAUUAAAUUGAUUAGACAGUUGAGAUAUCGAUUUAAUUAACGAUGUGGUACAAAGGAUUGAGCAGUAAAGAAAUCAGUGUGGCUUGGGACGAAUUAUAAUUUGAACAUACAAUUAUGGAAGUCAGUUCCAAUCUUAUAGUAAAGUAGAGUUGGAAUUAAAUGAUUAGGUUUGUUUAAUUACAGGCUUAAUUGUUGCAGCCACUAUUGUAUGUUCCCAAAUGAUCCCCGGGUUAGCUCAUUUAAUUGACUGCGCCACUACUAGAUUAAUAAACAAGAUAACUAGUCAUUUGGGUUAAAAGCCUAAAUACAUUAUUUAGUGGGAGUCUCCAUAUAAUGUACUUGUGUCUAAGGGGCCUUGUGUUAUUUUACAAUGUGGGCCCCUAUACGACAAGAACAAGUAACGUGACUUUUGUUUUAAUUAUUUUUUUAAUUUAAAUCAAAAGGGAUUUAAUAGAAUUAAAAAAUAAAUAAAUAUGGAGCCUAGGGUUUCCACUAAAUAGAAAUAUAAAAGGGCUUAUUUUCUCCCAAAAGAAAGAGGCAGUCACUUUAUACAGAUCAGAGAAACAAAUUUUUCUCUCUGUUGUUGAGAGAAAAAAUUUCUUGUGCUAGUUGCUUUGGCAAUGAUAAAAGCGCCCACACGUUAAGUGCAAAUCAAACCUGAGUCAUAACCUAGAAGAUCAUUGGUGACAGUUCGUGAUCUAACAAGCGUGGUGGUGACGGAUCGUGAUCUGGGAGCCUAAAUCACUUCAGCGAAAAAAGCCAAAUCGAAUUUUCAAGAUACGAUUUCUAGAUUACGUAUUCCUAUAUAUUGUAUGAGAUUGGUCGUAAAAAGUUUUAAAAAAAUUUAAAAAACAGAUUUUUCUCCAACAGUAAAAAUGUCCUUGAUUUUAAUAAAGUCUGAGAUUUCUGGAUUAAAAGAUGACUCAUUGAUUACAUGUCUAAUUAAUAAUGUAGAAGAUAAAGAAGAAUGAGGAACAGAGCACAUGAUCACCUGGAGCAAGGUAUUCAUAGGUACCUGCUAGCAUAGUUAUAUUGGAGGAGUUUGGAGUUAGAAGUCUAGCCACGCCAAAGUCAGCAACAAAUGCCUCCAAUUCUAUACUUAAAAGCACGUUGUUGCUUGAUAUGUUGCGGUGAACAAUCGGCGGUGUGCGGUUAUGAUGCAAACAAGACAAAGCAUGUGCUGCAUUCUUUAUCACAUUCACCCUCUUAGCCUAAUCAAACUCAACAGCUUCAUCAUCAUUGCGUAGAACACACAACAAGCUGCCCCUCUCCAUGCACUCAUAUAUCAUAAACAUGCAUUUCUUGUGCAAACAAAAGCCAUAAAGCUUCACAAUAUUUUGAUGCCAUAUAUUAGAUAAUACACAAGCCUUAUUUUGAAAACUCUUGAUGAAAAAUAACUCCUCAGAACUGUGAAGCUUCUUCAAAGCAAUUAUUUUACCACUGGCUAGCUCUGCUUUAUAGACACUGCCGUAGCUUCCGGUUCCAAUGCAGUAUUUGAUGUCAAAGUCCUCGGUGGCUUCAACCAACUCUUCAAAUGCAGUUUUACCAUUAAAGUUCCACACGAAGAAGAUAUCCAAGCUCUUGGUUGCUUCUUUUGCCUGUUCAGAAUCAUUCUUAUUUCUUGUAAAGAGAUAAAUGAUGCCAAUGAGUAAGAUGACCAGAAGCACAACUAUAGGAAGAAACACUUUAAUUACUAGCCUAAUGGAAACGUUCCGGGUUUUCUUCUUAGAGUCAUAACUAGAAGGUGUAUCAAUUCUACAAGGAGGCAAACCACUAAGCUUGCUGCACAAAACUUUGUUGCCAAUAAAUGCCUCUGCUGAGUAUGUAGUUAGUAUAGAAUCCGAAUUUCUCCUUCGAAAUUAUUAUAUGAAAAGUUGAUGAAAUUCAUAAAUUUUAUACCAUUAAGAAAAUCAGAAAUGGUACCAGAGAGGUGAUUGUGGGAUACAUCCAGGUAUUAUAAGGUUUCUAUUGAAUUAAGUUGGGACGGUAUCGUCCCAUUGACGAGGUUAUACUUUAACUCAAGAAAAGACAAGCUUGAGAGUUUUCCCAUCUCUAAUGGAAUUCUUCCGCUUAAACUAUUGUUACUCAGUAUCAAUAUUUGCAACUCCGAGCAGUCCCCGAUUCCAGUUUGAAUGGGACCACCAAGUUUAUUAUUGGAGAGGUCUAAUCGUUGAAGGCGAAAGAGUCCUCCAAUUACAUGUGGUAUUUGCCUAUUUGGCCAAAGAGUAAAUUUGAGAAAAGAUUGAGAAAAGUAAGUUUAGUUAACUUUGUGAGCUCAAGUGGGAUGCAACUAUGCAUUUUGUUCCCUGGCAAUUGCACCAGAAGUAGAUGACACAUAUUCCAAUUUCUGGAGGGAGAGUUUCUACAUUCAAAGGGAAAGGGAUUAAUGUUAAUAAGUUAUGGCCCUGUUUGAUAUUGUGGCUGGCUGGUCGUUGUUUAAAAGAUAAAAUAUUAAAGUAUUUAAUAAACACUUAUUGUGGUUUGAAAACUAAGUUAAUUUUUUUUAUACUUAUAUGAUAAAAAAUCUACAGUAAUUUCACUCUUUUUGUUAAAACUAUUACUUAAAAUUAUAUAAAAACACAUUAUCAACUUUUAUUUUCGUUACAGUUUCUUUUUCAUAGCAAUUAUAUCUUAAAAGUCACAACCACAACCACAAUAGCUAUAGCUUAAGAGCAACUAGUAAUAUUGUUGGCAUACUUGUAAGAUUAUUUUAGGCUAGGCUAAGACAUCUGAGCUUGGAAAGGAUACAAAUUUGUGAUGGAAUGCUUCCAUUUUAAGCUAUUGAUCUCUAGACUCAGAAUUUCCAUGUUUGGCAUGUAAGAGAAUUUGAGUCUACCAAAUUUCCCCUUCAAUUGUUUAUUUCUCAAAAUUAUCUUAGUGAUGCGUACUGCAGUAUUGCAAGUUACACCAGCCCAACGGCAAUGAUCUGAAGUAGUAUUGUUGACAAUUCUUUGGCUCCACCAACCAGUUUUAAGUAAAGCUUUCCUUUCUAAUUGUAUGGAUGAUAAUUGCAGCAAAUAUACCAAUAUUAUUAGUAACAAGGCACAUUAAAAUGGCAGCCCAUAUGAUCGCUACCCUAGAAAGGGAGGACAAAGGCAUCAUGCUUGAAAUCUUUUGGUUGGUUCUGCUAUUAACAGCAAUAAGCUUUUAUAAACGGUUAAGCCAAAGCUCAUUUAAGCAUAUAUUAAUUUCUUUUCCCCCGUCUGCUCUUCUUAGUAUAGACUUUGACCUUCAUAAAAUUUCAAAGCAAUAUUUUCUUUGCCAUCUUCACCAACUUGAACUUGUCAGUCAAUACGACUGAAUUCAACCUAAGGUUUGAAGUUUCAACAUUCCAUUAUUAUUAAUUUAUUAUUAUUGUUUAAAGAAAGAGAUCAGAAAAAUCAAGUAAUGACAUCAAAACAUUUGGGUACUUUUUAUGACAUUAAUUUAAUUAAUAAAUUACACUCCUUGGUAUUGUUAAAAAAAGUUUGGGCCAGGUCACAUAUAUACUUGGUUUAAUAUACUGGAUCAAUCAAAUAGUUAAUAAAAGAGUAGAAAAAAAUGUUUGGUCCAAGUCAGAUAACUUGGAAGUCACUUAAGUUCGGAUGGUAUUGUGUACCUUUUAUCAUUCCUCAUAAAAGGUGAAAGUAACCAACAAAGUGUUGGCUCCACUGGCAAUAGAGUCCCCUUAAGUGGCUUGACUGGGUUUGCUCCCCAGUUUGAGUCGCAUGGAAGUCGCCUUUGUUGGGAGAAUCUGUGCCUCCCGGUUCGAGCGGGGACUUCUAGUCUGGGUUGUGGUACGGGCUUAAAGGUGCCUCCCACAGUUGGGGCCCUCCCCAGGAUACCUCGUGAUUAAUAUAAAAAAAAAAAAAAAAUAAAAGGUGAAAGUAGCGGUGGCCAAUGGGAUAGGCUGGCUAAGGGGCUAAGGUUUGUGAAAGUUCAACCCAAUCUACUAUUAAAUAAGUUGAGAUAAAAUCAAUCAAAUUUAAUUAAAUAAAUAUUUUUAACUUAAUUCAACAAAAUCCUUAACUCAUCGGAUUAGGUUGGGUUGGAUUAAUUUGGUUGAAGAUUAAAUUAAAAUUAAAUAAAGAAAAAUAUAUGAAACUUAAAAUGAAACUUAUUAAAACUAAAUAUAAAUAUAUUAUAACAAAAAAAUUUUGUGCACUGUCGUGUACAAUAAAAAAAGCUAAAAAACCAACUAUCUGAGAUUAAGAAAAUUUCGACAACGCACUUCUAGAUUUUAUUCCCGGCUUCCCCCAUCUCUUUUUCAAUUCUAAAUUCAAACCUUUUAGAUAAAUAACUAACAUCAUGUCCAGUAACAAAAUGAAAGUGAUAUAUAAUUACGUACUGUUAAGUAUUUACUAAAAAUAAAAAAGAAAUUGAAAUCAAUUUACUUUUAGAAUUAAACUUAUAAGAAAUAAAUUAACUAAUAUGAGACAGUAAUUUAGUUUUGGAUCUAGAGUCUAUAGCAGUAGAUACGAGAAUGAAAUAAUCUCUUCCAUAAAACAAUAAAAAGAAUUAAAAAUGAAGUUUGUUGUUUAAAUCUUUAGGAUUUUACAAUUGAGGAUAAACAUAUUAUUAUUAUUAUUAUUAUUAUUAUAGGUUGGGUUAGGCUAGAUGGAUUCAUCAUAAUUAACUCAACCUAAUCUAAUUAUUAAUUGGGUUUGAAAAAAUUGAUGCAAUUAAUCUACAACAAUCCAUUUAACCCAUCAAAAUUAGAUUGGGCUGGAUUAGACUGGACCACCCUAGCAAAGAAAGUCCUUAAAAAACUCCUAUAAACUCCACCAAAAAUUUUAACAAUUAAAUGAAUUUCUUAGGAGACCCUUUCUCAUUCCAAAAAUAACGCUUAAUGACUAUCUCAAUUGUUGCUGAAAAUCAAAUCCCCUACAAGGAUGUUCUUGUUGCUCAUAAAUUGAUUUUUACGUCUUGUUUUUCAACUUUUCGUUGAUAUUAGAAAUCGUAAUUCUUGUUGCUAGAAGAAUAUUUUUAUUUUUUAAAUUAAAAAAAAAAAGACAUCUAACAAGUUAGGCCUAAAGUGAAUUAAAACAAAAUUUGUAAAAAAGUCCGAAUUAUUGCGUUGCAAUUUAUGUUGGCCUCUGUUUUUUGAUGGCUAUGGAAUCCGUACACAAUUUUGUUAUCUUGGUUUUUCUACGUCGAAAUUCAAUCACCAUAAAUGCGUCUCUAUGAUUUAAGAAGCAAAGAAGAAAUUUUUUUUUUUCUUUUAGGUAAUUUAAAUUACGGUUAAAAUAAUAAGAGUAUAGAAGGGGUUUCAAGAAGACUUUAAGAUGGUGUUUGGUUGGGAGGAGAAUGGAGGAGAGGAAAGUAAUUUAAAUAUCUUUUUAUUUCUAUUGUUUGGUUUGAUAAAAUAUAUAAAAAUUUAAUUUCCAUUAAAAUUUAAUAUUCAUCAUAAUAUAGAAUUUUGAUUCCACACCAAGUAGUGAAGAAUUUAAAUUCCUCUUAUGUUGGAAACUAAAAUUUUCAAAAUUACCCUUCAACUUUUUAACUUGUUUAAUACCAUUAAUAAUUAUUAUCUAUAAUUUUAUUUUAUUGAUUUAAUAUUAUAAAUGAACUUUCGCCGGAAAGUCGCUGGACCGCCGUUGUACUUCACCGGAAAGUCGAUGGAUCUCCGUCAAACGUCGCCAGAAAGUCAUCGGACUUCACUGAAAAGUCGUCGGACCACCACCGGAACUUCGCCGAAAAGUCACUGGACUUCCACCGAACCAUCAAUUUAUUUUAUAUUAUAUAUAUAUAUAUUUCAUUAUUAAUAUAAAUAAUUUAAUAUCUAAGGUAAAAAAUAAAUUUGUCUAAAUAAAAAAAUUAUAAUUCAUUUCCUUAUUAAAUUUUAUAUCAAACCAAAUAAUAGAAUUUAAUUUCACUACUCUUCUUCAUUCGUUUCUUCUCCAUUUCUCUCCAUUCCACUCUUUUCCUCUCCUCAUUUUUCUUCAAACCAAACACUACCUAAAGGGUUGGCCAAAGCUUCACUAAUGAUGGUGAAAAUAUCUGCUGGACCCGAAUUGAACCUGUGGGGCCAGCGCAUUCAAGUUGGCUACAGACAAUUGAGAAGCUUCAAAAAAAUUUUCGGGCCUAAUUUGGGGGCUAGGCCCAAAGCCCAUAAUUAAUUCGGAUUAAAACUGCUUGAUAAGGUGGUUAUUAUUUAAUCCUCCUGCCAUGUGUACAUUUGAAUAUGUAGACAUGUCAUAUAUUUUGAAAACUGAUUGACAAGUAUUAUUACAACAGAAAUGGCACAAUUUUCUCUUUUAUUCCUCCUCACAAACCUUCUCUUGUUUUCCCCCCUACUGCACAAGAUACAAAGCCUCAGGAGCUUGCAACGAAAAGACUACAACACAAGAAAUUGUUGAUGACGAAAUCCACUGAGAGAACAGACAAACAAUUCUUAAUUAGCCAUAUAACAUAACUAAAAUCCCAUACCUUUUAUACUAUUUAUUGAUGAUCAGCCUAUGGUUUCUAAAUAUUUAAUCUGAAAAAUUAGUUUAUUGGAUGGAUGUGGAGGGACCUUUCCUACGAUGUAUUUAAAUAACUCCCCUCUACUAGUCAAUAUGAUACAUAACUCAACAAAAACAUCUGAACUUAAAUUAUAGAAUCAGUAGAAUAUAAAAGGAAAUUGGCGAUUACUCUUCUGCAUGAGGAUAUUUUGACCUCCAUUUUGAUGAUAAAUCUAAUAAUCAUGAUCUUCCUCAACAAGAUGCUAGCAAAAAGCUGCGUUGACUCACAUCCUAAACCACAUAUCACGGCAACCUUGGAGGACGAACCUCAAGUUAAUGAUAGGGUCAAUUUCCAGUUGUCCAAAUUCGAAAAACGUAACAAUGUUUCUAAGGACUCAACAACCCUAUGACACCUUUGUCUACCACGCGUGAGGAGGCCCCAGUUCUCUUGUCCCUUGAUUGUUAGGAAAUUGGUGCGUGAAGCAGACACGCAGCUAAAGUAAAAUUGGUAGAAAAAUAAACAACGAGCACAAUAGAGGACACCAAAAAAUUACGUGGUUCGGCUUUUAGCCUACGUCCACGGGCAAAGACAGAAUGAAAUAUUUUACUAGUGAAAAGGAGUUACAAGUAUUGUAGUAUUUUAGCUCACUUCCCAAAACCCCAAUACACCCAAACUCUCUCAAUCACUGUAACAAGAGCUUAUAAAUGCAAGCUCUCUAAAUUCUCUCUCAACUCCCUAAAUUGCUCUCUGAAAUGGAAUUAAAUGCACUCUUCAUCUGUACUUCUAUUUAUAGCAAACUAGUGGCCAAGAAAAUCAAAACCGUGUUCACCAAAUUCUUCAUCAAAACCGUGUGCAGCAAAUUCAAUCUUCAAACUUUGAACAACUUGUUGUUGACCAUCUAGAUGGCUGCUUCAAACCAUCUAGAUGGCUGGCUGCUUUUGACAUUGAUGGCCAACGAACUAGAAAAGAAGACAAUGUGCAAGAAAAAAUGGAGAUAAUAAGCAAAGAACUAGUGGGGAGCAGAUUAUUCUUCAUCCAUUUUCCGAGUUGCCAUGCACAUGAUGAAUUUCUUGCUUUUACUUCUUGUGUCCGUCAAAGUGUACUAAGGGUGUGUUUGGUAUUGAGGUUGGAUAGCUGUAAUUUUUAAGUUACAGUGUUAAAGUAUUUGGUAAACACUGCUGUACUUUGAAAACUAUAUUGAUAUGAUUUUUCACUUGUAUAAUAGAAAAUCUAUUAUAUAUUUAAUAAUUUUGAUAAAAUUAUAUUUACUAUAUAUUAUUAACUUUGUUUAAUAAGUAUAGUUUUUUUUUUCCUCAGCAGCUGUAACUUAAAAGGUACAGCACCUUAAUCCCAAAUAAGACCUACAUAGUAAUGACACUUUAGUAGUGGAUUUGACACAAAUUUCCAUGUCUUCACGCGACACUACUCACUUUACCCUGUAGACUAGUGAAUUGAUGCUAUUGAGUUUUAAAGACAACACAUUGUUUCCGUUCUUCCAACUUCUUCACUCUCGCGACUGCUAUGCCUAAAACUCAAAUUGGCUCUGUGAUCUCAUCUUGAAACUCUUAUUUAAAUCCACCAAUAUAUUUUGUGAGUAUUCUAAAUUCUGGCUCGAUCAUAUUAUUUCUCGCAUAUAGACGAUAAAAUUAUCUUGUGUAGUCAUUGACACUGUGAUUUGCUAGUUGGCAGUUAUGAUAUUUUAAAUACAACUAUUGCUUGUAAUAUGCUGACAACAAAUACUCUUCCAUCAUCCUCUGCAAUCUAGCCCACAGUCUGAUCAUUGGCUUUCCAAUAACUUCUUCGAUUCUGCAUGUUUGGCCACCAUGUGGAUGUCGCAACCUUCAACUUAAAUAGGGGCCGGCUUUAGAGUUUUUGGGGCCUUAGGCGAUUUUUUUUUUUUAUGAGGCCUCUUUUUAUUCUGUAACUUCAAUACUCUAAGAAACAUAAAAUAUCUCAAAGUUCGUUCUAUAUUUAGUUCUUGAAUUUCAACAAUAAUUAUGAAGAUCUUAAAAAAAAUUUAAAAAUAGAACUUAAAAAAUAGUGAAGAAGAUUUCUUUUACUUCCAUUAGAACCAUUACAAAAAUAAAAAAACAAAUAAAUAGAAAAAUACUAUUUUAAAAUAAAAUAUCUAGAAUUGCAGUACAUAGAAAGUUAAGAAGAUAAUUGAUAAUCAGAUAAUGGAUAUAGACUUUAUAUUUUAAGAAAUUAAGUUUUUCUUUUUUAAAUGAACUAAUGAAUGUAAUAAUUUUCUUUGUAGAUGAGACAUCAAGAAAUUGUUUCAUCUAUUGAUUUUUGAAAUUAUAAGAUUUUUAAUAGAAAUUAAAAGGAAUACAAAAAGUCAAAGAUUCUAAUGUUGAAUAUUUAAGUUUUCUUAGAAAACUGACAAGGUAAAAAAUUUAAUUUUUUUUCUUGGGAUUAAUAGUGAAUGAAUUAAUGGUUAGAUAAUAUUAUUAAGUUUAUCUCUUUAACACUAAGAUUAACAAAUAUAGAUAGCCUUUCGUACAAUACAUAAUUAAAAAAAAAACUCAUUAAUUAAAAAAUUAUUAAGGACAUACUCAAAAGAUGAGGCCUUCCCAAAAUAUGGGGUCUUAUACGACUGCCUUGUUUACCUAUACUUAAAGCCACCACUGACUUAAAUGCCGCUAGCUUAACCCAGUUCUCUUGAAAAAUCUCCAUAUGCUCCAAGAAAUUCUCUACUUCUGUUAUCUAGUUUAAAAAUUCUACAAUAUGCAUCCUACCAUAGAAUUUUGGAAGAUCUACAUUAAUCUUGUAAUCUGAAUUCCUUCCGCCUUUUCUUUCGUAAUCUACAUAUUCAUCCUCCUCCAAAUUGCUUACUAGGGCCUCAUCCAUGUGCGCAGGCAUUCGUCUCGCAGGCCUGGGUAUUAAGGCACUACCUAGCUGUUGGCACUUUGAGGAACUACCUCAUAAUUAUAUCCCUGAGGUAUCCCCUCAUGAUUAUAAUCUUAAGAUUGUUCUUCACAUAUGCUUGUUCCAUGGUGACAAGAAAACUUGCUCUAAUACCAAUCGACAAUGCAGAAACAUAAAAAAUUGGUAGAUAAGAGAAACUAAGUUUCUUAAUAAAAAAAAUUUUGUUAAAAAAGCCUCGAUGAUCAAAACUCGGAUUUUAGAUCCCUUUUAUAUUAACCCUAAAUAUUGCGAAUUGACGAAAAUAAACAAACCUAAAAUAUUAUUUUCUAAUCAAAUUCUCCUAAGCUAAAUAGGAAGAACAAAACAAACGACACCCAAAUCCGUCAUCUAGAAAAAUAGAUAAAAAUCAUGAAAAUAAUAGGAAAAAUAAAAAAUAACUUAAAAGUAAAAAACAUCUAGAAAAGAAGUAAAAUUUCUUGUUCGACCAUGGGCAGCCAUUUUGCGCUUGAUUCAUCUCGUCGCAAACUAAAAUGGUAUAUGAUAUGCCUAAAACAGCAUAUGUAGCUCAUGUUAUGACCUUUGAAAAGUACUUUGCUCAUCAUAUGCAACCAUCUUACAUCAAUAUGCUCCAAUGUAUUCCAAGUGGUUAAAUGGUCUAAUCAAAUUCAGGACUUUUUAUGUAUUCCAAGUGGUUAAAUGGUCUAAUCAAAUUCAGGACCAAAAAGUCUAGGAUUUAUUAGAUACCUUUAUUAUUCAGCCAUUCAAUUCAUGAUGCAUGCUUCCUCUUCAAAGUUCAGUCUUCAAAGUAAGUGAAUAAAAAGUUUGAUAUAUCAUCAAACUAUGUACUAAUCAUUCAUGAUAUUUGUACUUCCGUGAAUGACACACAAGAUCAGAAUUAAUUCAAUAUAUAGAGCGUAGGGCGUGGUUUUGUUAUCGGGAACUGCUAUAAAAUAUUACGGAAAAUUUUAAAAUACAUCAAAAAUAUUAUAUCCAAAUAAUACAUUUAUAGCAUUUGUAGUUAAAUCAAAUACAACUACAUGAUGCUUGUUUUUAAACAAUUACACAUGUUACAUACAAGCACUAAUUGAGUGUGGUAUUACUGAUGUGCUCUAAAAUCUCUCCUCUAUUAUUGUACUAGUAAGAGUAGUAAAACAAUAAAAGGCUUAAACAAGCUAUAUAUAUAUAUUCUUCAAACCUUAAUUUAAAACACUGCAAACGUUUCAGACCUUCUGUCAAAAUUUUGGAACAUUUCUUUUGCCAAAUAGCAUUGCUGAAAUUCAAACUAACGGAAGUUUAAAUUUAUUUCUCAGCCUCUGAGUUUAUCACUUCUCAAACUCCAAUGUUCUGAUUCUUAAAAAAGAAAAAGUCCGGCCAGUUAGAUCAUUAUUCUAAAAAAGAAAAAACUUGUAUAUCUCGAGUCCUUAAAAAUAAAAAACAAGUCAAACCAAGAAGAUGGAAUAAAGGACGUGUGGUUAACAAUUUAGAUUUGAAGAUAGAUUUUUUUCCCCCCCCAAAAUGAAGGUGCAGUGAUAUUUAAGACUUGAGAUAUUAGUUUCGUUGAGAUAUUCAAUUCAACAGUCAAUCUUAAACACUACAAUAAACCCAAUAGGUUAAGUGGCAUUUUCAAGCGUAUAAGAACUGAACUACGGGGACUACAACACCAGCAAAUAUUGAACUUUCGGAAACAUGCAACAACAUCGAGGAGGCAGGAAUCAGGAUGCUGAUCAGACACUCCGGGCAGGAAUCAGGAUCCGAGAAAAGAAUUUCGAGUUGAUGGAUUCUCUUUACAAGGCUGCAGUAGAAGGUCAUAUCGAUCAAUUCAGGGCACACGCAACGACCCUUGAUCAAAUAUUGACACCCAAGGAGAACACAAUCCUCCAUAUUCACAUCACAGCCCGACCUCCAACAAAGCUUAACAGCUUCUGGAAGAUCGGUCUUAACAGGAAAUCUGCAGAGAACGAAGGAAAUUUUGUGAGAAAGAUUCUAGACAUGUGUCCUGAUCUGCUGUGGAAAGCCAAUACCAAAGGGGAAACUCUGCUGCACAUCGCCGCCAGGCACGGGCAUGCUGAUAUAGCGAAGGAUCUAAUUGAUGAAUGCAAAAGGCCUUACCAGAACGACCCAGAGAAAUGUGUUGAAGCUGCGAGGAUGAUGCUGCUGGCGGUGACGAAUGAAUCCAAAGACACAGCCUUGCACGAGGCUGUCCGGCAUAAUCAAGUUGACGUGGUGAAGCUGUUGACCAAAGAGGAUCCCAGGGUACCGUAUGAUGCCAAUAAAGCCGGCGAGACUCCCUUGUACUUGGCUGCGGAGAGAGGAUACAAAGAUGUCAUGAAAGACAUUUUAUCGACUUGCAAAUCCCCAGCUGACCAUGGACCAAUGGGAAGAACGGCUUUACACGCAGCUGUAUUUUGCGAAGAUGAAGGUAAACCUACAAUUAUUAUUAUUAUUAUUAAUUUUUUUUAAUAAGAGUGGGACUAUUGGCACCCCUCCAAAUACCUUUUAAAAUUUCUUUAAUUAUUUUACGAUUUUAACUUUUAUUAAAAUUAUAUAAUAGGACAAUUUUUAAUUAAACUUCACUAAAAAAUUAAAUAAUUUUUCCCUUAAAAAUUCUUUAUACAGCAUAUUUUCGUAUAACAGUUUUAAAUUCUAGUGGCGGCCACAUCGAGUGUAGGAUUUUACAAAUACCCAGCCAUGAGUGUCACAAUCUCAUACCACCACCACUCUAAACAAAUUCCCAAGUAGCUGGGCAUAGCCAACUUCAUUAAUGACCCUAUCCCACCAUACACUCCUCUAAAUCCAAUCCCAGCCAUGGUCUAUGUCCAUCUCAUCAAAAUAAAUUAGCUCUAAUGAAUGCCAUUGAAAAGUAAUUUCCAAAUGCAACUAAUUCAUUUUGUGCAAAAACGGGUAUUACAACAUCUCACGUUUCAAGAUUUCCCUUCAUCUAAAAUUAAUUUUCAUGUUGCUUAAGAGUUUAGACAGUAAAAGUUGCUAAGGAAGGUGAAGACAAGCAGCAAAUGAAGAUUGAAACCUCUGAAAUUUCAGACUAUAAUGAAGAACAGCUCUUUGAAACUUGUUUAUUACUCAAGUUCUUAUGCCCAAAAUAAAAUAUAUAAAGAAAAUAAUUUAUUACUACUGCAACGGAGAGAAGAAACCGUUGUUUUUUUUUUUAAUUUAAGAAAUCCUUUUGUUGAAAUGGAGUUUCAUAAUAAAAGUAAAUAAAAAUUAAAGAAUGAGUUUACACUAAUAAGUUUUAAUUAAGGGUAUUUUUUUCAUUUAAGGAGGUGAUAAAAAAAUUGUAUAAUAUUUUUAAAUAUUUUAAUGGGGUUAAUAAAUAAAUGGAGUGUUACGAGGUAUUUAGAGGGGUGCCAAUAGCCCCACCUUUAAUAAACCUCGUCAUGUGGAGAAAUUUUAUUAUAAAAAAAAAGAGUAAUUGAAAUAUUUAUUUAGAGAUAUAAUGCGGCUUAUCCUAACAACAAAACCUACAAUUAAUUUUAUAUUACACACACACACAGACACACACAUAUAUAUAUAUAUAUAUAUUAUUGUUGAAAGUUAAUUGGUAAUAUAAGAAGAAUUAGGUUCCAGAAAUUUUUAAGUUAAAAUCUAAAGUUAGUUCUCUUGAAUUGUAAAAAUCAAGUGGGCAACUGUAGAAUAUGGUUAAAAAUAUAAUCCAAGCAAUACAUGUUGGUGGCUGUUUAAAAAUGUGUGGUAUAACCAACAAACGCGUACAUCAACUGGCAUGUGGUUGUUCUAUCUUAACCAAGGUCCUCAGUUUGAGAUUUGGGAAUGCAGCUGCGUUAAAUACUUGUUGGGAGAACUUUGCCGCCCUAGUGGUCCUACCCGGCUUGAAUCUGGAUUAGUCGGGACCCAAUAUGAUCUUUGAAUACCAGAUGAUUUAAUACACCGAAAAAAAAAAUGUAUGGUAUAAAUUAAAGUCAAGUAAAUCGUGUGGUCGAAAAAUAGGUUAGCAAAAUGAGUGAUCCUAGUGUGUUCGUCGGUUGGCACAGCCUAUAAAUACAUGGCCAUGUCGGCAAUUAUAGUAGUGAAGUGGUAAGCAUAACAAAAAGGACCCAAAUUAAAAUAAAUGCUCUCUCUUUAGUCAAAUAAUCUUAACUACAAGUGUUUCCACCUCACUCAUUCUAGCCCACUACCUUCCUCUGUUCCAGCAUUUAUAACAUGCAUGGUUGUUAUUAUAUAAAUCCGUAAGUAUUUGAGUGCCUCUAUUUUAAAGACCAUUUUAUGUCGUGACAAGUUUCCGUCAAUACAUUCAAUAAAUAUUUGUUUUACACUUUUAGAUACCAAGCACACUCUCACUCAACCCUCUAAUUAGAAUGUAUUCUCUUGGACUUCAACCAUGCGCCUUUCGCUUUCAGUGCAAGAAGCAAACUCACUAAGUAGACUACGCAUCCUGGAAUAGUUAUGGGCUAGACUUUCUAUGGACUACAACUUGACAAAUUUAGUCAGCAAUGUAAUAUUGUAUGCAAAAUUCACAUUUUUAUAAAAUGACAGUCGUAGGACUUACACAAUUUGAGAGCGUUUCUAAUAAUUCCUUCUUUGACAAUUUGUGUUUUGUUGUUAUUUUCUAUAGAAAUGACAAAAAUGUUACUGGACUUCAAAAAAACUCUGACCAGCAAACCGGAUCAGCGAGGAUGGCUCCCACUUCACUUGGCUGCACACCUGGGAUGCUAUAAGGUUUUGAAGGAAUUACUUAAUGCUGAUAAAUCUGCAGCCUACAAAGUUAAUAAUGAAGGAAAUAUAGCUCUUCAUCUUGCAGCUGGUAGAGGCAAAGUAUAUUCAAUGCUAGAGCUUAUACAGAGUUGUCCAAGUUGCUGUGAAAUUACUGAUAACGAAGGGUGGAAUGUUUUUCACUUUGCCGUGCAUAGCGAAAGUAGAAAGGCGGUCCAAUUUCUCUUAAACAAUCACUCUCUUGGAAACCUUGUAAACGAGAAAAAUCACCAAGGAAAAACACCUCUCCUAGAACAUGCUGCUUCUGAUUCUUAUAUGAAGUCUUUCAUAUGUCACCCUAAAGUGGAUAAGCUGGCGUUCGACAAUGAAAACCAUAAUGCUAUAGAUACGAUCUUGUUGGACAUGUUUUAUUUUUCUCCCAAUCAGGUAAGGCAAUUGAUUCAUAUACAAAUAAUUUCAUUAGGUGCUAAAAGCUAAUUUCUUUUGGCACGAUAAAUACAUUAUUAAAGGUGAUAGUAUAUAUAUAUAUAUUUUUUGGUGAGUUAAUAACUGUUGGAUAGGGAUAUUUCCACCCCACUAUUUUUAUAAAUCUACCCCACUUCUAGAAAAUAAUUACAAUGAGUUCACAAUAUUCUUAAAAAAUACAAAUCAAUAAAAAUUUUGUAUAGUUAAUCAAUUAAAUCUUUCUAUUAGUUUUUUUUUCUUAGGUUCGUUGACCAUCUUUAAUCAUAAAUUUUAAUAUAAGUUUUAUUUUACUAUUUUAUUAUUAUGAUUUAUUAUUCUGAUAUAAAAAGAUAAAAUUGCCCCAUAGAACAUGAGUUAUUAUAUCUAAUAAUUUAGGUAUUUAAUUUUGCAACUUAUAAUCUAAUAUUUUUAAAUGAAACCUAAUCAUUAUUUCACUACCCUUACAUAUAAAUAACAUAAAUUUGACAGCCUAAUAAUUUACAUGAGAAUUGUGCUGUCAAGAAACUAUGUUAAUUUAAUUAAAAAAUAAUAAUCACACUAAUAAAGUAGUAUUAGAAACAAUGAGUUUGGUAUAAAUUAGAAAAAUAUUGAAGUUAAAGCAAAUUCUUGAUAAUUUUACUUUAUAAGGGUAAAAUAAUCAAUUUAAACUUAUGUCAAAACAAUAUUUGUAAUCAAGCAUACUAAAUAAAUCUAAGUCACAAAAAAGUGAAUUAACCUAGAUUUAAUUAAUUAAUUUUCCAAAACUCUUCUUAAUUUGAAAAUUUUAAAAGUAAUGUGCAACUUCUAUAAUUAUUUUUUGAAAAUAGUGUGGAUUCACAAAAAUGUGGGGUGGAGAUAUCACAUUCAUAACUGUUUGUACAAUGAGUUCAUGAUUCUAUCUAAAAAAGCAUAUGCUUUAUGUAUAUUGUUCACACCAAAGGGGGAUGUUAUAUAUUUUUCUCAAGCUACAAGAUUAAAAAAAUGUCAUGAAUUCGAGUAGGUUAAAAAAAUACUGCAUUGAAAUUUAUAUUUUUCUUAUCUUUUACCUUAAUUUUCACUUUAUUAAAAAGAAUAUUUUUAAGAAUUAAUUUUUAUGUGGCUAAUUUUUUUUUCCUAAGUAACAUCUCAAUAUUUUUUCUUCACAAGUACUAGGUAGCACUCACUCAUUAUAGGGUAAAUUGUAAAAUUAGUAAAAUUAUUUAUUAUUUUAUUUUACCAUUUAAUAUAUGAAUGUCAUAUCACUUAAGAUAAUAGUAAUUUAAAUACUAUUUAAGAAAUAUAGCAUUACUCUUCUAUUUACGUGCAGGGUUGCAGUCAGGUAUGUGUUUAGCGUAAAUUUUUUUUUUCAAUUACCUAUGUAAAAAUUUUUAUAAUUUUUCUGUCUAAAUUUGAUUUUUUUAAUGAAUUGGCACUCUAUAACUUUUACAUUUUGACAGUUACCCAUUUUUUCAAAUCUUUUUACCCUUAAAUGUUUAUAUUAUCAUUUUUGGCCCCCUAAACUUUAAAUUCUGCUCCCCUGAGUGUAUGAUGAUCAUUUUACCAAUCGUUUCCUCUGCAUGCUCGUGACUUUUAAUGUGAACCUGUGGAUAUCGAUUAUAUAAAUUAUUUAGGAAACUAGUUGUACCGUCGUUAUAAAUAUUUCAACACAUUGUCGCAGCUAUCCUUCGUAUGGUGCUUGCUUAGACAAAACGGUUUUCGGGGUCGCCGACACAUAGAGGAUGGAGGCGGGGAAAUAAUGGAUAAUGAAGGUAACAUAGUGAGAAAUAAGAGUGAUUAUAGAAAAGAAAAGAAAAAAUUAAUAGACAAAGCCUUAGAGGAAUUUCUAAAGAAAGGAAAGGAAGGACAUCUAGUCGUGGCUGGACUUAUAGCCACUGUUACAUUCACCGCAGGUAUUACCAUGCCGGGUGGUUACAUUGAUGAGAAGGGCCCAGACCAGGGGACAGCAGUUCUAACAAGAAGUAGAGCUUUCCAAGGAUUUGUUAUAUCGAAUAGCGCGGCGAUGGUUUUCUCCAGCUGUGCGGUUUUUGCUCACCUUUUUGUGUCACUAUUACCAGACAAGAGCUUCGAAUUCUUGAUAUGGAAUCUGGGCCAAGUACUUAUAGUUGCUGCCAUGUUUGCGAUGGUGUUAGCAUUCCUUUUAGGCGCAUACGCAGUUCUAUAUUGCAGUGCCAAAGUACUUGCGGUUAUUGCUUGUGUCAUUGUUGGCUUCUUCUUUUCUGUCUAUGUGUAUUUCCUACCACUUGGGUUUUUGCUGAGACUGGUGAUAAGAUUGGUCUACACUACCUUAAAGAUGUUGAUGUCUGAGUCCAGACGAAUUUACCUUCGUGUUCUUCGAUGACUUGGGCACAUCUUUUUGUGGCGAAAAAUUACUCACUGUUAACGGUUCGACACUAGAUAGCCACAUGUCUUUUACGGCUCUAUUUGUGUUGUAUUGAACUGUUGUUCUACGCCUGUACGUGCGCUGCUGGAGAACUAUCAACAUGUUCUAGUAUUCAGAAAGAACUGUGUGUCGCGUUUUUCAUUCUGUCUUCAUUAAUUUGAUCAUUAUCAUCUCUACUUCGUUUCAUAUUGUUUUUGCCCUUUUUAUGUUAGGCUAAAACAUUAAAAGUAUUGUUUGGGGAAUGAAAUAGGGUGACCAAGAUAAGGUGUUUGCUCAUACAUUAUAUAUUAUCAUGCUCUCCUCAAAGUCAAAAGUGAGUAAAUAGUUGAUAGGCUACCAGGAGAUUAUUUGGUCACCUUGAGCAUAUCAUCUCGACCAGGAUGUUAUUUGGUGACCUCGAGCACAUCACCUCGACCAGGAUGUGAUUUGCUUACCUCGAGCACAUCAUCUCGACUAAGAGAUUAUUUGGUCACCUUGAGCAUAUUACCUCGACUAGGAGAUUAUUUGGUGACCGCGAAUAGAUUAUCUCGACAAAGAGGUUACCGGGAAGCACGACUCAGUUAAAACAAAUCUCACUUAUUUUUUCUGAAAUAUUAGGGACCAUAAUCUUAGUGGGUUGAAAAUUAGUAGUCUUCUUGGGAGUUUUAGGAGAGAGGAUAAAAACUGCUAUAAUUUCCUAUAAAUACUCUUGGAAAGGGAGGGAAAGGGGGAUUCUUUUUCUCUCUCUCUCUGGGCGAUUGAACCCAUGUGAUCUUUUUCUCUCACUACCACUGGGAAACUUCUCUUUCUCUCAUGAUUUAUUUUUCUUCAAGAUUGAUUAUUUUCUAUUAUUUUCCUAUAAAUUUACUUAAAAGCUUUUGUAUUCAUAAUUAAGCCAUGUGAAUUGUGGUACGAGUUUUUCCAAGUAGACCUAAAUCGCUGACUUGAGUGUCGGAGGAUUUUCGCCAAAAAAACUUCCCGCGCCUCCUAACUGUUCUUUGUGCUCACAAGCUCGCGGGUUAUCUGCUCAUGGCUCAUCUGGUCAUUGGUUAUCUGCUCAUAGAACAUCUGCUCAUGGUGCUCACUGAUCAGCAGCUCGUGAAUUAUCUGCUCAUGAAUUAUCUGCUCGCGGUGCUCACUGAUCAGCAGUUCAUAGAUUAUCGGCUCAUGAAUUAUCUGCUCAUGGUCAGAGAAUUUUCUUAGAGAUUAACAAGCCGCUUCUCCACCAAACAAAUUUAAUCUGACGCGGGGAUGUGGUUAUUGAGUCAACCGACUCAACUAGAUUUCUGCAUCAACAAGCACUAUUGUCUUUGUGGUGCUUAAGAAGGCCUAAGAAAUCGAUCUUUAGGCCACCAUGGGCGAGGAACGUGUUUUGGACAAUAACUGUGAGUGUUGAAAGAACCAGAGGGAAGGCUAGAAGGUGGCCUUUGAGCUUCUCAGGACGGACAGGAUCUUCUCAGGAAGAACAUUGAACCUGGAGAAAAGAGGAAAAGCCGAUAGGAUGCGGCACCACGGUUUCCGUCGACGGCACUCCGACGUCAAUGGGGUGGUGAUAAAUGGAGAAGGCCUCGUGUGGAAGCCAUGAAACUCAAAGAAGAUGAAAAUGGUUGAGAAAGUUGAAGAGUGAGAGAGAGCAUGUAAAUUUUACCGAAUGGAAGAUGAAAAUAAAUAAUGCUUAAGUUCUAAAUUUUAUGUAAGGAUGAUACUCUGGAGUUUGGGGCGGGUGUUACGCACAACCUUACCAAGUGGAAGUUAAAUUCGAAACUGACUGUCAGUAGGAUAAGUUUAAAAUUUAAUAACCAUAUCAUCUAGAAAUUCAUUACAAAAUUGUCGUCAUCUUAACUACCUUGAACAAAUAAUCAAAGAUAAACUGUCAACAAUUUACCAACUAAACAACCAAACCAAUCCCCAGUAGUUUCUGCUAGACAGGUUGGAUAUUUCUUGAAAGACUAAGUUUAAUUGACUAAGUUGACACUUAACUACAUCUUUUAAUCUUCCCAAGUUUGUAAGGAAAACCCUAGCUGUUGGUGCUUGACAAGUUAGUUAAUAAUUAAUAAAAGAAAAGAGCACAAUUUUCUCCUUUAUUUCGCCUCAUUGGAUCGAGACGUUUGUUAUAAUUUUUCUGCUGGUCACCCAUCAUUGAAUUGUUACCGCUUCAGUACGCUUAAUUUUUUGAGUUUUGAAGUAACGAUUUCCAUAACACUUUUAAAAGAGUUUUGAAGUAAAGGUUGUCGUAUUUUUUUAAAAAUCAAUUGGUGUUCAGAGAAUAACUGCCAUCCACGAUGCUACCACACUGCCGACUAUUGAUGCGGUGUCAUAAAACUUGACAUAACCAGCAUCCACGAUGCUAGUAUACCGCCGACUGUUGAUAUGAUGUCAUCCCGCCUAUCGAAUAUAUAAUUAGACCCUGCUACCACGUAUUGGAUCGAGGUGCUUGUUACAACUUCCCAACAAGUCACCCAUUAUUAAAUUGCUCUAGCUUCAACAUUACUUUAGUACAACUUGUUGGAUCGAGGUGCUGGUUGAAACUUCCCAACAAAUCACCUAUUAUUGAAUUACCCUAACUUGAACAAGCUUAACUGUAGAAUUUUGUAGUAAAAGUUGUAGAUUAGUUUAAAAACCAAUUAGUGGUCAGAGAACAUACAUUAAAUCGUUUAACUUCAUUCCCUUCGUAGUCUUAAGAAAGGGGGCAGUUGACCCCUGUAAUGCCAGCACUCCUCACAAGCCCUCUCUCGUUUUCGUCCUACGGUUCAAGAUACAUAGCAUUAUGAGCAUAGAAUGAAAAGAGUACAAUAUAACAAAUUGUAGGUGAUAUAUCAAAAGAAGUUAAAUGCUACAUCAGUCUCAUGCAAAAUCAAAAGUCAAAUUCAAAUAAAUUCUAGCUAGCAUUUAGAAAAAAGAAUUAAACAAUACUUAUUGGAUUGUCAUAUUUUUUAAUUACAGAAAUUUAGUGCAUGAAUGGUAUUGGUAAAAUAACUAUUGCGGAAGUUAUUUUUAACCAAUUAAUUAUCUUUUGAAUUUAUGGUUAAAUUUGAAGGUUUACACUUCAAUGCAACUGUUACGAUGAAUUAAAAUAAUGGAAAUGGAUUAGUUCAUCGACGCAAGGGAGGGAAGACGAUUAUUCUAAGGCAAUAAUCUAUGUAUUUUGGGCCCUCAAAGCAAGGCUGGGCACGGCCAUGUGGGCCCGGCGGACAUCUUUAGCAAGUAUAUUUUCAGAAUGUCUUUCAUUUUUAUUUUUAUUUUUAUCAUAUAUAGCAAAAUAUAUUUUUAGAACGUCUUUUAUUUUUAUUUUUAAUUUUACUCUUAAAAUAUUUUAUUACAUGUGAUCUCUUGAUAGAUAUAGUGCAUGGUAGUCGUAGCCUUGAGUUCAUAUAUCUUUUAUUAAUUAGCUUGGAGAAAGUUCAUUAUCAAGCUGUUGGUCCAAGAGUUUCAUUUAAUAAUAAGAAUAACUGGAGCAUCAUCUACUUUAGGGUUUAAUAUUGGCGACAGAGUUUUACGGUUUUACCUAAUGCUUUGGAUUCGGGUAACGUUGUUGGAGCCACUUACUUUACUUUUAGCUUUAGAUUUUUUUUUUAUAAAUAUUAUAUAUAAUACAACUAAAGCCGAAUAUUAAUAUAAAUAAAUGCACAAUUAAAGUUCAACAUAUCGAAACUCAAUACAACUAAAGUCCACUAAAGUUCAACAGAAAAAGUCAAAAAAAAGAAAUUUUUAUAUCUAUUAGGAAGAAUUAAAUUUUACAUUCAAAAUAAAAAAAGAGUACCAUCCAACUCAAUGGAGAAUUUCUUAACUUACCCAUCGUAAUACGUGGAUGCUUAGAAAUUAUUAAAACGACAUACUUUAUUUCAAAACACCAUUUGAAAAAUUACGAUGGAUUUCAAUUUAGUCAAGGGCUAUGUCGGGAGCUAGCUUUGGAUUAGCCAUUCAUUGAAUGUAAGCAGUGAUAUCAUAAUUUACGUGACAAGACUCUAUGACUUUGUUGAGUUUGUAAAUAUCAAUUAUCAAAUCAAUCACUAUGUCCUCCAUCACGACCAAAUAUUGGUCCAUAACGGAAUCCAUUUGAGAAAAUGCUUAACAAUUGUUAAUUAAGUACAUAACAUCACUAAAUUAAAAUUCACUUAAGAAUUCACGAAAAACGAAAAACGAAAAACGAUACACGAAAAACGAAACCUGUUUGAAGUCAUCUACAACCCAAAGCAAUGCAAAGCUUAAAAACAAUAUUUGUAGAACUGCAGAUGAAAGGUUUUUAGAACUGCUGAUCAUCAGUCAUCCCAAAGCUCCUCCAGCGUCUUGAAUGGCCCCUGAGGGGAGACCCAGAAAUCACUAGGUAUCAAUCUAUGCUGCGAGAUUUGAUUAAUCUUAUCAUAAUCGUCAUCAGUUAAUUUCCAGUCAAAGAUCCCCAGGUUCUGCUUCAUUCUCUCCAGGUUGAGGCUCUUAACAACAACAGUGGCCCCUUGCUCAACUAUCCAUCGUAGAGAAACCUGAGCCACAGUCUUGCCAUGGGCCUUUGCAAUCUCCUUCAAUGUUUCAUUCUCCAGGACUUGAUUGCUGCCGUAUAUUUUUCCUACCGCUCCCAAAGGAGAGUAAGCAGUGACAAUUAUGCCCUUGGCCUUGCAAAAUUCUAUGAGCUUCCUCUGUUGCCAGACAGGAUGCAUCUCCACUUGAUUAAUUGAAGGAGGGAUGGUAGCGAAGGUGAGUAUGGUCUCAAUCUUCUUGCAGGAGAAGUUGCUGAGACCAAUGGACUUGGUGAGGCCAAGCAUUUGAGAUUCUUCCAUGGCUUCCCACACACCUCUGUAGUCCAUAGGUAAAAGGUCCUCUUUAGGUACAGGGAAUCCAACCUCCCCUGGCUUAGAGCUAAUGGGCCAGUGAACGAGAUAGAGGUCUAAAUAUUCCAUUUGAAGAGCACUAAGAGACUUCUUUAGAGCUGGGAUAACGUGGUCACGAUGGGCGUUCUGGCACCAGAGCUUGGAAGUAAUGAAGAGUUGUUCACGAGAACUGACAAGACCAAGUCUGAGUGCUUCAGCUAUUGCUUCUCCCAGAGCCUUCUCUGUUCCAUACAUUGCGGCCGUAUCAAAAUGUCUGUAACCCAGCUUGAUAGCUUCCAGGACCGCCAGCUUCAAUGCGUCUGUGUCUGAUUUGUCAACUGCACAGCCCAGGCCGAUCACCGGCAUAUUCAGGUGGCCGGAGGAGGAGCUGAGUUUCAGUUUCGGGAUAUUGAACACCGUUGACUGUGUAGAGCUAUCCAUUCUGUUCAAACCUUUAUUACAAACGCACUCUUCAAAAUUAAUCGAUUAUUUUAAUUUUUAGCAACCCAAUGCAGCAUUCCCAAAAUCAUAUUGAGGAUAUAUAUAUACAUAGAGUCUCCAUAUAUUAUAUAAUAUCUUGUUCUGUAGCUGCUUAAGUUGUUUGACUGCCCAUGUUUGACUGCCACAACCUUAUCCAAUGAAAAUUGCGAAGAAAUCUGAUCAGAGGGAUAUGUUCAAAAUUUAAUAACCAUAUCAGGACCUGUCUAUGGUACAGAUUCUGUGACAAACAUCUCCCGUCAUCCCACCAUCCGAUUUUCUAUUGUUCAGUUUCUCACUCCACAUCCAACCACAUCCAACGGCUGAUGCUGCAGUCUGUAGCUUACAGAUUCUGUAAGCUAGUCGAGUCCACCAUAUCAUCUAGAAAUUCAAUACGAAUUGUCAUCAUCUUACCAACCUUUGACAAAAUAAUUAAGAUAAAUUGUCAAGCUUUUACCAACUAAACAACCAAACCAAUCACCGGUUGACAAAUUGGCUAUUACUUGAAAGAAACACUAGGUUUAAUUGACCGUUACUUGGAAGAAAGACUUAAGUUUAAUUGACCAAGUGAUACUUGAAUUACGAUCUUUGCGCUAUCUUCCUUCCCAAGUUUGUAAAGAAAUAGAGGUUACUGCUUGGCACGUCGGUUAUUAAAACAAAAAAGCACAAUUUUUCUUUUUUAUUUCUCCUCGCAAUCCCUCUCUAUUUUUACUCCUAAAAUUCAAGGUGCAUGGCCAGCCGCCAGCCUCAUGGAUGACCUUACGAUGAAAGAAUACAGUACGGUAAAUUGUUGUUGACAUGUUAAAAAAGUAAAAUGCUACCUCAGUUUCAUGCAAUUUCAAAGGCCGAGUUGAAAUAAAUUCAAGCGUUGAGAAGAAGAUUAAUCAUUGUUUAUCGAAUUGUCAGAUUUUCGAAUUACAUGCAAGAAUUUGGUGUAUGGAUAGUAUUGGGAAAACAAAUAUUGCUGAAGCUAUUUUAAAACCAAUUAUCUUGUGAAUUAAAGGUUAAAUUUGAUAGCUUCACUUCAAUGCAAUGCAAGUGUUACGAUGGACUAGAAGAAUAAAAUUGGAAUAGUUUAUCAACACAAGCGGGGAAAAGGCAGUAUUUUUACUACUGCAUAAUCUAUGUACAUUGGGCACUCAAAACAACAUGAAAGUUUCUGUGAAAUUUAUUGUGACUUGCAACUCUGGAAGUCUCGGCACCGGCCGUGUGGGUCCGGUGGACAUCUUUAGCAAACUACAUUUUUAAAUGUCCUUUAUUGAUUUAUAUUUACUUUUUUAAGUUUACCCCAACAACUAUAGAAAGACUUUAAUUAAAAUUCUUUUAUCCAUAAAUUUUGGAUGACAAACUCGAAAUUAUAGGGGAGUAUUUCUUAGUUAUACAUCGAGUAAAUAAUGUUAUAUCAUAUGUGAAUUACUUUAAAUAAUCAUUAUACAAGUUGUAAUUAAAUUAUUCUCAAUCAUACAUCAAUCAUUUGAUAAUUAAUUGUUUUACUUGAUGUACCAUAGAAUUCAGUAAUUAGUUUAUUACAUCGUAUUCAUACUUAGAUAAUACAAGUUUAAUAAUUAGAUAAUACGAGCAUCAUGUGUUGUAAUUUUAUUGUACCUAAUUUAUGAUUUAAUUAAUGAUGAUAGAGUUUACUUUUACUGUAUGACAUACUUAAAAAUAGGUAACGCUGGUUUUAAAGCAAUUAUUUUUGUCGCAAGACUUCAAUGGCUGCUAUCAUAAAACUAAAAUAUUGCUUUAAUCACGAACUAGCAAAUCUGUAAAAACUUUUCUUGUCUAUGAAUACAAAAAUUAUCUGGAGACUUGUCGGUGAACCAGGUCUUGCCCGGAAUUUUUUAUUUUUUAAUGCAGUAUUUAGUGGUCAUUUGUUGGGUGAGGCUAUUUACUACAAGAAAAAUAGUAUAUGACAACAGGCAAAGAGUGUUGUAGAAGGGAUAUCACAACAAGCAUCUGAGCGUUGCGGUUCUUGAUGUAGCGAAAAGUAGGUAACUUUCGACUACGCGCAAUUCACGUUGUUGAAAAGGAUAUGAACGUUGUUAAAUAUCAUAUGACAACUUACAAUGAUUGUGGUUAAAAAGAUCAUGUGCUUCCAAACUUUCGACUACAAGCCUAUGAAUGUGGCUAUAAAUUAUAUAGCAACAAGCAACUAAAUGUCGCCGUUAAUUCUAAUUUUUAUUUACAAUAAACCACACAUCCUGCAUGUUGUCAAAAAAACAACAAUAUAUUAUUAAUAAUUAUUAUUAUCAUUAUUAUGACUACUAAUAUUAUCAUUUUUAUUACACUAUUGCUGCCGCCAUAUGUAAAAUUCAUGCGAACUAAUUCUACAAUUUGACUUGUUAUAAUAAGUUUUCAUAAACUUAGUAAUAAGCACACAUCACAGCUAAGGGUCACACCAACAUUUUUGUAUUCAUACAAAUUCUAUUACAUAGCAAAUAUGAAAAACACCAUAUAACAAUUAAUCCAUAGAAAUUUACAACAUCAGUUUAAAUUUCAUCUAGCCAAACACCCGAAAAAUUAGUAAAAAAACACAUUAGUGGCUGUUGCAAUUCCAUAAAUAUCAACUUAAAAAAAACCAUCUCCAACGAAAGCUUCUUCAAUUUAGCAAUUCCAUCAAAAACUUGUUCAGGGCAUAUAUACACUCCAACAAAAACAUCUUCAAGGCACAAACUCCUACAAAAAGAUUAACUGAAUCAAUAUUCAUUUGUUGCAUUUGGAAUAUAAUUAUACACACACACACCCCCAAGAAGAAUAUUUUAUGCCUACAUACCUUUUUUAAAACAAUUUGAUACAACUUCCUGAUUAUUUCUCAUUUCUCUAAACUUCUUGCUUAUUGCCUGUCCAGCAAAUAUUAAAAUGUAUAAUUUUCAUAUACAUGAAACUUAACAUGGAUACUAUAAGUGCAAUGCAACGGACUAGCUUACUUUAAAUUCUGGAGACAAUCUUUACUUGACAAUAUUAGCCCAAUCUUCUUUGAAAAUUAUACUUUUUUGGCCUAAUAAGAGCAACCAGCUCUGUCAUGUACUUUUUUGGUUUCCUUUAUCUUAGUUGUUAGCUCUGAUUUGUAUUGUCUCCAACAGUCACCCAUCGUUCUUAAUGCCAAGCAUUCAAGAUAAAUAAUGCAUUUCUAAAUAAAGAUAAUUACUAUGUAAUUCCAUAAACAUGCACCAAUGGCCAAUAGUUCGCCGUCAACUAAAAGCUAAUUUUCAAUGCACACAAGCACAUGCUCUCAUGUUAUAACUCUAAUAAAAGUGCAUAUUUGUAAGAAUUUACACCUAUUGGCUGGCCAUAGUCGUUAAAUUCAAUGCUUAAUGAUGGAGAACAAUCUUGAAUCAUUCCAAGUUUGGUUGGACCUCUUUUGUCUUUUGGUGCAUCUAUCAUCAGAUUGAGGUUUGUGUGCAUUUUCCCUAUUGCUAGUUGCUAAUGAUCCAUUCUCCUCUUGAAUAGUUGCAUUUUCUCUAAAUUUAUCUCGACUUGCCUAGAAGACUUUGUAACACAUAGCAAAAUUAAUGUAGGAAUAAACAUACUAGAAAAAAGUAUAUGAACAUGAAAAAGUAUAAUUUAAAGUUGAACCAAAAAAAAAAAAUUUCUUACUUAUACUAAACAAAAUGUAAUCACUCUCACUAGCCAAUAAUAAAUCUUGGAACCCUCUUUGUGGUUUUUUCAAUACUAAAUACUAAUUUGAUUUUUCAUUAUCCUUAGAAUAAAUCCAAAUUGGCUUUGUCCCUCGUGAAGGUUAACCAAAGUGAAUCCUUCGUCAACUUUAACACCAUUAACUAUAUUAGUUCAGUCACAUUUGAAAAUAGGGAACUAAAAGUAUUGUAAUCAAGCACUAAUAUAUCUCUCAAAACUCCAUAGUAAGUAACUUUUCCAAAAGAGAAAUCCAUUUUGAAUUUUAAUUAUACAAGGGGGAAACAGUACCUCAAGUUUGCUCUAUAAUCAGAUCCUAAAAUGUCACAGCUGAUUCAGGAGAUUAAUGGCAUUAACAUAAGUAACUAGUCAACAACGCCAAUAAGAGAUUAAAAUUGUGCCUUUCAAUUGAAAAAAAAAAUCAUUAUCCAUCUCACUAGUAAUAUUUACUCAUUUAAAUUAUUUUUACCGAAAUCAAUUUAUCUUGAAAAUAAAAUUUAAUCUUCAAAAUUAUCUUUUCCAUGUAAAAUAUUUAGCUUCAGGCGUUUCAAAAGAAAAUAAUCUUUUGGUUUCAAUCACCCACCACAAAAAAAGUAACAUUUAUUUUAUUCAUGCAUAACAGAUAAACCCCACAAGCAAUAAAGAAUUGUGCCGCUUACCAAACAAUGAAUCUACAAUGGGACGAUGUCGAGCGAUUUUGAGUGAGAAGAAGUAUAGGGUGAAGACCCAAAUCUUCUAAAAACAAAAUAGGUGGAAAGAGUAAAUUAUUAAUUAAAUGGAAUUAGGGAAGUGAAAGUGAGCUUUAUCAAUAAAAUUGAAAAGAAGAGUACCUGAUACACUCAUUUCCUUGGGUGGGCAGCCGCCGUUACGAUGAAGAUUGAGAGGCUUGCUUUGCUUUAGUGGCAGAGAAAGAGUAAAGUGGUACUGCAAAGAGAACCGAGGGUUUCACUAAGUCAAUUUGUCUCUUUUUUUUCCCCCCUUUUUACCGCGCUUUAACCCGUGCGCGCAAAAUGAAAUUUUUUAUUUAUUGCACAUUAUUUUCUAUUACUUUACUUUUAAAAAAUAUUGUAGUUAAUGAUACCCUCAAAAAAUUUAUUUGUUAUAAUUUACUUCUAAAAAAUAUUGUAGUUAAUGAUACCCUCAAAAAAUUUAUUUGUUAUAAUACUUUUAUGCAUAAAUUCCAUGAGCACCUAUUUAUGUUUUAAUUUUCACCAAUUUCAUAUUAAAUUGAGUUAACAAAGAAUUUUACAAAAAAAAAUAUUUUCAACAACAUGCAACAUAUAAACGUUCUUAUUUAAAUAAUAAUUUUUGCAACAGGCAAUUCAUUGUUGCCUUAAAUAACUAAUUGCAACAUGCAAAUUAUGAAUGUUGUUAUUACAUACUCCUAUACCGCAACAAAUAGUCGCUCGUUGUCGUAAGGUUUUAGACCACAGUCACUUUUUGCGUGUUGCUAAAACUUUAUAUUUACCAACAUGCAGUUUAUGACUGUUGUUAAUUAUAAAUUUGACAACAUUCCAUAUGUGCAUGUUGUUAAAAUGAUGUUGCCUUAUCCCAAUUUUCUUGUAGUAUUAUAAUUAAGCUCAUAAAAUUUUUCAGUAAACCCAUUUACUUUAUACACCCAUUAUCAAAAUUUAAAAAUUAUAAUUUUACUUUAAUCAAACCUCUCGAAAUUUCCAAAUUAACCUCAAUAAAAGAUUCAUUCCCUUAUUUUUAUUUUCUUUCUAAACCCAUAAAAUUUGCUUAUGCAAUAAUCAAGCUCACACUUCUUUUUCUCUUUAUGUGUCUUCAUUUCAACAAUAUUUUUCUAAAGAAACCAGAUAACAAAUUUCGUUUCCUUUUUUUUUUAAUUCCUUUCUCAAAACUUUAAACCUAAAAGUAUAAAAGAGGACAAUGCAUUUCCAUAGAAAAAGUACCCCUAAUGAAUCAUUCAUUACAUUUUUUUCUAGAACAUGAAUUUUAUUCUUUUUUUUUUAGGGUUAAUUCGGCCUACCCCACUCAUGAAGUGACAAUAUUUAAAUUGUCCCCCUCAUUAUUGAAAACAUUAGGCUACCACUAAAAUUAUUAUCUCUCCAUUAAUUUAAAUGGCAAAAAAGGUAUGAUGGUACCUACGUAAAUCUAUAACGAUCGUUAAGCGUAGAGCCACAUGGAUGAGGACAACAUGAGUUAACAACAUCAAAUUACUCAGUAUUUUUAUGUAACCCACAUUUUCUUAUCCAAGUAAAUGUAUGGUGUAGAUGUAAAAGGAAAAAAAAAAAUCACAAUGUGGUAUAAAAAAUGGAUGAUUUGCUUUCGCACCAAAGCAAGCAAAGCGUCUGCACCUACAGUUAUAAGACUUCACUAAAACAAAAACAGACACCAUCGAAAGACAUUGUAAAGACAAAAUUAGAAGGAGCAUGAUGAACUUCAGCAGCAGCAAUGGAGAUUUUGAGUUUGAAGAGUCUCCUUCGACUACGAAGGUAAGAAAAAUAGAGAUUUGGUAACAUUUUACUAUCAUUUUUUGUUUUGAUUGUAUGUUGGUAUUUAUGUAAUUUCUAGGCUCAAUAAUGUUAGGUUAAUAACAUUGCAUUAGGGUGUUAAUAAUUAAUUUUGAAAUGUUGUUCGGAACAUUAGGUUUUUAUGAAUUUGGGGAUUUUUUGUUUGUAGUAAAAGAAACAUAAGAAAUUGUUGCUUGUUUUUGUUUCACUUGGAAGAUUGAAAACAUCAUAAGCAAACUAGGGAUUUCAUUUUUUAUGUAGGUUUUAAUGAGCAUUAAAAGUUAUUACCAUUGGUUAUGGCUGUAAGGCUCAGUAUAGGUGAUGAUUAUAAAAUUUGAGUGGGUGGAUUGUUGCUGAACAUUGUUUUUGUUUCAUUGUGCUAACCAUUUAAUUACCUUAACACUUGUAAUGAAUGAUUUUUGCCUAAUGAAGUUGUACAUGCUUGUUAUGGGCAUAAUUUUACAUAUACAUGUAUAACUAGUUCCCAAAAUUUAUUGUUUGCUUCUCUUGUGUGUUACAAUUUUUAUUUUGUUGCAAAUUAUUUGAAUAGUACUAGUAUAUGUGUGGAAUAUAGAUUUUGAAGCUUGUUUGUGUGUUGUGAUAUAUAGAAAACAAAAUUUAAAGUGUCAGCUUUUGUUAACUUUAUGGAUGUAACGUGAAAUGCUGGCCUAAUAAACCCAAAUUUUUUAAGUCGAGUAAUCUUUAUCAAUUGUGUAUUGAGACAAGCUUUUCAUAGAAACAACUAGCCUAUUGAGAGGUUUGUCAUUGAGGUUACAAAGUUCUGAAAUUGAAAAAAUAGGGCAAUAGAAAAUGAAAUGAAGCAAAUUAGGUGCGGCAAUUAUUUAAUGAGAAGAAGUACAUAGAGAUCGACUUUCAUAUGGAAUUGCUACCACUGAAUUUGAUGAAUGUGAAUAGGAAGAGAUUAUUCGAUGAUGACAUUCAGACUAUUGUCACAUAAGCACCAAAACCUUUUGAACAAGCACCUGUUAAGAAGAGUGGUAGAAAUAUUAAGAGUAGGAAAAGAAAUGGCAAGACACCUACCCUUGCCCCUGAACUUGAACCUAUCAUUCCAUCACCCCCUUGCACUUGAGCCUGUUGUUCUAUCACCCCCUAAAUAUAAGCUUAUACAUGAAACUGAAAUUGAACUUCAACAUGAAGCUCAACAAGUCGACUGUUAAUCCCACAUGAUCCCACAUGAUCCUAAGCACUCACAACAACAAUAGUUAAUGCAGUCACCACAGAAGAGCUUCUUGGAAAAUUAGGCCACUAAAAGAAGCUAAUAUAUAAAAAAAAUCAACCUUUGACACCUGUAAAAGAUUUUACAACAACUGUAAUGCAUACACUAGGCCGAUGAACAAAUUUCGAUUUUACAACAACUGUAAUGACAUACACCAGGCUAAUGAACAAAUUUCAUUGGUUAUUCUAACAAUUAAUCCAAAAAUUGGCAAAACACCAGAUCAUACAACUACCUAUAUAGAUCAACCUUUCAAAUUGUAAUGACAAUUUCAGUGACUUUGAUGUUAUUGAUGAUUUCUAUAAUUUUGUGAUAGUAGAUGAAAACAAUAAUGAUGACAUUGGGCUAGAUGCUGAUUAUGUAAAUCCACCAUUGUCUCAACUUUAUAAAGACAAUACUUUAUGGAAUGAUCAAUCCAUCUCGCAUUCUGCCACAGUACUAGUGCCUCCUGCAAUAUAACACCUUUUUAACUAAUCUUUGAACCUAUACAACUAACAACAACUCUACAAUAAUUACCAAGUCUUGAUUGUGAGCCUGCAUUGCCUCUUGAAUUUCUGUCUCAAGUUGACCAAGCUAAACCUCGACAACUAUAAGAAAGUUAAACAAUGGUAAAGAGAGAAGUAGUAAAGCAGAGCUGAUACGUGCAUAUUUUCACUAUAUUUUACUAAUAAUUUCUCUAUCUUUUACUUGUUUUGGUCUUAAAUAUUCUAAUUAUUUAAGUUAAUUUUUAAUUUAGUAAAUCCUAUUUUAUUAUGUUAAUUUUUAUCUCAGUUUUUAUAUUUCGUUAUUUUAGGUAUAUUAUGAGAUUAAAGAAAAAUUAAAUCAUGACAUUCAAGAAACAAAUCUGCUUGAAAGAAUCAAAAAGGGAAAUAAAUGAAGAUUUUUAAAAACCAAGAAAACCAAAGCCAAUAAAAUUAAUUUAUGCACAUUUAGAAGAUUUACUCAAACUUUUAUGUUAUUAUUUUACUUUUACAAUUAAUUUGAUAAAUUAAUUUUUAUAAAAUAACUAUUAGUAAGAUUGUUGUAAAGGUACAAAAAUACUAGUUAUUUCACACAGAUAUUUAUCAGUUAAUUUGCUAAUUAAUUUUUUUACAAAUAAAUUAAUUAAAUUUGGACUUCAAAUAUAAGUGAAAAAUGCACUUUGACAAAACAAACACAAUAACUAAAGUCCAUGUCACCGAUUUGGACUUUUGUGGGGUUGAGCUUGCCUCCUGGAAAUGGUGGGAUUCUUUUAUGGCUUGAAUGUCAAUUAUUUAUUUUGGUGCUUCAUCUUUUCAAUAACCGUCGUUACAAAAAUAAUGAAUUAUGAUGUUUGAUAAAUUUCUACAAGUCAUGAGAAGUCCAGAAGCUAAAAUUCUCCAACCACCAAGAAAUUUUUCUACAGCCACAAAACUAUAAAGAAGAUUAAGGAAAGUGACUUUGUAAGGAAGGCCCACCACUAAUAAAUAAAAACCAAAUUUAACUCAAAAAUUCAAGCCAACAAGUUUGACAAUAAUUUGUAGCAAACCAAUUUAAUUCAACUGUCCAGUAGCUUCACUUUUCCUCAGUUCAUCAACUCUUCGAACAAUCCAAUUAAUAAAUGUAGAAGCUGCAAAAUAAUAGUUAAUAGACACAAACACAGAAAGUGAUGAAAUUAGAAAGACAAGGCAUGCCAAUGAAGCACUGUCCUUAAAGAACAGAUUCUGCUAUUUCUCGGAUAAUUUUUCGGGUGCGUAAAGAGUCUAAGACAGUCUGAUCUUCCAGGAUUCAAUGGCGUUCCAACUGUAAUGGUACACUCCAAACUAUAGUUGAUUAUAACAGCUGAUUUAAUUUGAUUUUCCAGGUAAAGUGUGUAUCAUUAAUGAAGAUGAGGAUGAUAAGAUUUUUUUUUUUUUGCCCCACUCAAAUCAGUCACAGCAACUGGCUUUUUAUAGCCUUGAAUUACAAUAGUCAUCUCCUUGAUUUUUUCCACGAAUCAGUGCAUGAACUGAUUUAAAAACCGGAUAUCAAUCAUCUAAGGUGCUAAAACAAAGGCACGUCCUCUGACAUGUAGAUAUGCUCAGCUUGAACAAUUCAAAUCAGUUGAAAACUGAUUUACCAAUCCAAAGUAAUGAAUAUAUAAGUUUUCAUCAAGUGGCUAGUAAAUGGGCUAAGCCCGUGAAAGCUAUAUGUGCAUUAUUAAUUUUUGUAUUUUGAAAUACCUCACAAUUUCCAAAAAUCCCCCACAUAUUUCAAAAUACACAUAUGACGCUUGUAAACACUUUACUGGAAUAUUAGAAUUUAAUGCUCAUGAGUUGGUGCCUUUUGGGCUAUGAACCAAUCAUUGAACAACUAAUCGUAUCUCACAGGAAUUUGGUGAAACAUACAGUCUCUAUGAACCAAAAUUCCUAUUUUGUGAGUCAUAGGAUUAGAAGCUCACAUUAAAUUCUUUCAACACAUUGCUGCAGUGAUUUGGCACUUUAAUAGCCCUGUGCCUUCCUGGUUUUCAUGAGUGCUCUAGAGAUACUUGUCUAACUCUCAUAGGAAUCGACCCAAUUCCACACUCAUAUAGGUGAACCUCCAUCAAGUGUGUCCUGCAGUUUAAACACACCAACAUAUAAAAGGUAGGCUAUAGAGUUCAUUAAGAAUAUAACAGCUCAACUUAAAUCACUACAAUUACCAACUAUCUCGCCACAGGGAGGACUCAAAUAUAUAAAUCGAUAGUGCCACCAGACAACAAGUGAUUUGUUAUUACCCUUAUGAACCUACUUCAUGAGAUCUCCAAUCACUUAGGUAGGGUUACUAUCACUCGUGUCUUCUCUUUUAGACAGAAGUCUCAUCCCCCUCCAAGUAUUUACCACUAACCUCUUAUUUAGUGGGUUUGUUAGAGGAUCGGCCAAAUUUGACUCUGACCUCACAAAAUCUAGGCUCACUACCUUAGAUUCUAACAAUUGUUUUAUAAUAUUGUGUCUCAGAAGUAUGUAUCUGCUUUUCCCAUUAUAGAUUUUACUCUUUGCCUUACCAAUAGCGGCCUGACAAUCACAGAGUAUAGACACUGAAGUAGGAGGGUGAGUACAAAUGGGAAUAUCUACUAAAAGGUUUCUUAACCACUCAGCCUCAGUACAUGCCUUUUCUAAGGCAAUUAGCUCGGACUUCAUAGUAGAACGAGCUAUACAUGUUUUCUUAAAGUAUUUCCAAGACACAACACCUCCACCAAGAGUAAAUAUAUAACCACUAGUGGAUUUGAUUUCAUCAGAUCCUGAAAUCCAAUUUGCAUCACUAUACCCUUCUAGCACUGGUGGAGCGCUACUAUAGUUAAGUCCAUAAUCAAUGGUGCCUCUCAAAUACCUUUCAAGUCUAUCUAUGGCAGUCCAAUGAUCCUUAUUUGGAUUUUGAGUAUAUCUACUUAAUUUGCUAACUGCAUAUGCAAUAUCAGGCAUUGUACUAUUCAUUAAGUAAAUUAGGCUACCAAUGAUUUGAGCAUAUCUCAAUUGAUCAACACUAUACUUUAAAUUUUUCUUAAGGCGGGUAUUUGCAUCAUAAGGUGUAGAGACAUGUUUUCUUUCAUAAUACCUAAAUCUUCUCAACAUUUUCUCAACAUAGUGUUCUUGUGAUAACCGGAGACCAUCACUAGUUUUAGUGAUUUUGAUGCCUAAUAUAACAUUUGCUUCUCCCAUAUCCUUCAUAUCGAAGUUAGAAGUAAGCAUCCACUUGGUCUCAUUUAUCGUUCCAAGAUUAGGACUUAGGAUGAGCAUGUCAUUAGCAUAGAGACAAAUGAUCACAUAUGUAGUAGGAUCAAUGGAUUUAAAGUAAAUAAAUUUGUCUGAAUCAUUGAUCACAUAUCCAUUUGACAGUAGUACUUAAUCAAAUUUCUCAUGCCAUUGUUUUGAUACUUGUUUUGAGCCAUAUAAUGACUUAACCAAUUUACAUACCUUAUGCUCAGUGACUGGUACUACACAGCCCUCAGGUUGGCUCAUGUAAAUUUCUCCAUCCAGGUCUCCAUUUAGAAAAGCAGUUUUGACAUCCAUUUGAUGAACAUGUAAAUUAUGAAUUACAGCAAGUGCAAUCAAAACUCUAAUGGAUGUAAUCCGCGUCAUAUGAGCAUAUAUAUCAAUACCUUAUGUCUUUCUUUUGUGAGACCCCUUUGGCAACUAAUCUUGCCUUGUACUUAUCAAUUGAUCCAUCAGCUUUCAAUUUUCUUUUAAAAAUCCAUUUGCACCCUAUAGCUUUCGUACCUGGAGGCAAAUCAACCAACUCCCAUACAUGAUUGCUCAUGAUAGAAUCCAACUCGUUAUUAAUUGCCUCUCUCCAUUGAGGUGCAUCGCGAGAAGCCAUUACUUCUUUAAAAGUCUGAGGAUCAUUUUUAGCCAAAAAAAACAUAGUAGUCUUCACCAAAACCUGUGAUCGUUCUCAUCCUUUUACAUUUCCUUGGUUUAACGAACUCUCAAGAGGAUCACCAAUUGAUUCAUUUUGGGGUAAAUAAGUAAUAUUAGUUUUCUUAGGAAAAAUAUAUUCAAAGAACUCAGUAUUCUUAGACUCAAUGAUGGUAUCCGCCUCAAACGAAUAUCCCUCAUCUCUUAGUACUAAGAAUCUAUAAGUAGCACUGUUCUGAGCAUACCCUAUAAAUAAACAGUCUAUAGUUUUAGGUCCCAACCUAGUUCUUUUAGGAACUAGCUUAAGAACCUUCGCUAGGCACCCCCACACUUUGAGGUAUGAUAAGUUUGGCUUAUAACCCCUCCAUAACUCAUAGGGUGUCUUUCUUGUUUUCUUAUAGGGUACUGUAUUUUGAAUGUGGCAAGCUGAUAACAUAACUUCCCCUUACAAAUUCAACAGUGCUCUAGAACUUAUUAACAUGGCAUUUACCAUUUCUUUUAAUGUUUUAUUUUUCCUUUCAAUCACACCAUUCGAUUCAAGUGAAUAAGGAGGUGUCACUUCAUGGAUGAUAUCAUGAUUCUCACAAUAAGUAUUUAACAUGCUUGAAUCAUAUUCACCUCCUCUAUCAGUUCUUAAUUUUUUGAUUUUUUUAUUAAGUUGAUUUUCAACUUUACUUUCAUAAAUUAAGUACUUUUCACUUGGUUCAUCUUUAUUUCUCAAUAGAUAUAUUUUUGUAUAUCUUGAGAAAUCAUCAAUAAAGGUAAUAUAAUACCUUUUACCCCCUCUGGUCAUGGUCUUUUUUAAGUCACCAAGAUCACUGUGAAUUAAACUGAAAAUUUCAGUUUCUCUAUUUUGAAUUGGUUUAUGUCUUCUUUGUGGAUUUAGAUUCCACACACACAUCAUAUUUGUCAUUUGACAAGUUCAAUUUAGACAGUAAACCAAGUUCUUUCAUUUUCUUAAUGUAAGAAAAAUUCACAUGACCAAGCCUUCCAUGCCAUAAAUUAAUGGAGUCAACAAUAUUAGCAGAACAAUAAAUAUAAGCAGAAGAAGAAACAUUUUCAUUAAUGAUAACAUUCAGUACAUUGAGCUUGAAUAGUUCCCCAGAACAGUAACCUUUCCCAACAAAAACUCCAUUCUUAGUCAUUGCAAUUUUGUCACCCUCAAAAGACACUUUAACCCCAGCCUUGCCCAGUACAAAAAUAGAUAUCAAGUUGUAUCGAAUUUCUGAAACAUGUAGAACAUUACUCAGUGAGAGGGUUUUCCUAGAAGUAAGUUUGAGAAGAACUUUUCCCUUGCCUAAGACCGGUGUUGACCGGGAAUCAUCAAGGAAAAUAAAUUAUUCUCAUUCCCUCACUAGAGUAUACUUAAAAAAUGAAUUUCUGUUACCACAAAUAUGUUUAGUGGCUCCAGAAUCAAUCACUCAAUCAUUAUAUUCAGCAACCAUGUUCACUUCAGAGACAACCACAGCAAUAAUUUCAUCUCCUUCAGUUAGGUUAGCUUUAAGAGGAUUUUUGUUGUCUCCUUUUCUCUGAGCUUUAUUUCUACAUUGAUAGACAUAGUGUUCAAUUUUUGCACAAACAUAAUAGUUACCUUUCUUUUUAGCUAUGGGAUUUUUACCUUUAUUCAAAAAUUUCUUGUUGGGGUUUUUCUGUCUCUAAUCAGAUUGAGGCUUAGUCUCAAUUACAUUUACAUUAGAAUGAAAGUUUCGGGCCAUGUCUCUAAGCCUAUUCUGAUCUUUAAUCUUAAUAUGCACAAUCACAUCUUGAAGGCUCAUAGGUUUCUUCUUAUGCUUCGCAGUUUUAAUGUAGUCAUUCCAUGAUUCUGGAAGUUUUUCAAUCAAGUAACCAUCCAAAAAUCUUGUAGGAAGUAUAAUACCGUCAUUUUUAAGAUUAUCAACUAAUCAAUGGUAGUCAUGGAUUUGAUCUGUAACAGACUUAUUAUCUACCAUCCUAAAAUGUAGAAAGUCACCAAUAAAGUAUUGUUGGGAUCCAGCCUCCUAUCUAAUAUAUUUUUUACUAAGCAGGUUCCAUAUUUCAUCGGUAUUCUUAUAAGUGUAGUAUGUCAUAAAGGUUGCUGGAAAGAGCACUUAAAAUCGUGUACCUGCAGAUCUUGUUAUUUGCAGUCCAAGUCUUCAUUUUGUUGUUAAAGUCUUCACAGCCUUCUUCUGGGGGAGAUAAGGUUAGAUAUUCAGCCAAGUUGUGCACAUCCAGAAUGUCAUGAAUUUUAUCUUGCCAACGCUUGAAAUGUUCUCCAUUAAAGGGUUCUAUUUUUGACACAUCUGGCAAAUUCUUGGCAGUGGUAAGUGCAGCAGCAAUGGAAGCGGAUGAGGAAGCCAUGGCUGGAGUUGUUGUAGGAGCUGGAACAUUUUCAAAACUCAUUUUGAUGUUAGCUCUGUUCUUUAAGCUAUUACAAAAAUAAUGAAUUCUGAUAUUUGAUAAAUUUCUGCAAGUCACGAGAAGUCCAGAAGCUAAAAUUCUCCAGCCAUCAAGAAAUCUUUCUACAUCCACAAAACUAUAAAGAAAAUUAAGGAAAGUGACUUUGUAAGGAAGGCCCACCACUAAUAAAUAAAAGCCAAAUUUAACUCAAAAAUUCAAGCCACCAAGUUUGACAAUAAUCUGCAGCAAACCAAUUUAAUUCAAUUGUCCAGUAGCUUCACUUUUCCUCAGUUCAUCAACUCUUCGAACAAUCCAAUUAAUAAAUGUAGAAGCUGCAAAACAAUAGUUAAUAGACACAAACACAGAAAGCGAUGAUAUUAGAAAGCCAAGGCGUGCCAAUGAAGUAGUGUUCUUAAAGAAUAGAUUAUGCCCCUUCUCGGAUUAUUUUCCAGGUGCGUAAAGGAGUCCAAGACAGUAUGAUCUUCCAGGAUUCAAUGGCGUUCCAACUGUAACGGCACACUUCAAACUAUAGUUGAUUAUAACAGUUGAUUUAAUUUGAUUUUCCAGGUAAAGUGUGUAUCUUUAAUGAAGAUGAGGAUGAUAAGAUUUUUUUUUUUUGCCCCACUCAAAUCAGUCACAGCAGCUGGCUUUUUAUAGCCUUGAAUUACAAUAGUCAUCUCCUUGAUUUUUUCCACGAAUCAGUGCAUGAACUGAUUUAAAAACCGAAUAUCAAUCAUCUAAGGUGCUAAAACAAAGCCACGUCCUCUGACAUGUAGAUAUGCUCAGCUUGAACAAUUCAAAUCAGUUGAAAACUGAUUUUCCAAUCCAAAGUAAUGAAUUUAUAAGCUUUCAUCAAGUGGCUAGGAAAUGGGCCAAGCCCGUGAAGGCUAUAUGUGCAUUAUUAAUUUUUGUAUUUUGAAAUACCUCACAAUUUCCAACAACCGUGUAUUUGGAUGAUCCUGAAUUUUGAAAAGGGUAGGGCUAUUUGCACCACCAAAAGGGAGGCCCUACUCAUUAUAAGCUCUAUUUUGUCAUAUAUAUAUUUAAGGGAAAUUAUCCACCAUUCACUUGUUUUUUUACCGUUUUUAAAAAAUACACAAAUCUUUUUUUUUUUGCAGUACUCCACCUGAAAUUAAUAAUUUUUUCAUUGGUCCACUCUAGUUAUAAUACCAUUAUAACUUUGCUGACAUCAUAAGGGUAAAAUUGUGAUUUCACAAUGACACAUUGGUGGAUAGGUGCAAAACAAUAUAAUUUCAAAUGGAGUUCAGUAAAAAAAAUUAAGAAUUUUGCAUUUUUGAAAAAAUGCGAAAAAAAAGUGGUCGGUGGAUGAUUUAUCUUUUACAUUUAAGGGUAAAAAAGUCAUUUAAAUAAUAUUCCGUUAGUUUUCUUAACGGUCUCCAAACAAAAGUGAAAAGGUAAAAAGAAAUGUAACUUCAGGUGGAUUCCAGCAAAAAAAAAAAGAAUUGUGUAUUUUUAAAAAAGUUAGAAAAAACAGAUGGAUGGUGGAUAAUUUCCCUAGAUUUAAUCACUAUAAAAUUUUAACAUGUUUUUUGCAUUACCUUUGUUUUACUUUGUCACGAGCAAAUGACUAUUUUACCCCUAAAUAUAUUUAAAAACUCACUUUAUUUUACAAAAUUUUAAAAAAUAAAAAUGUUAUAAUACAAGAAUAUUCAUAAAUUUAAUUAAACAAAUAAAUCCAAAAUCGAAAUGUUAAUUUUUUACAAUUAUAAUUUUAUUUGAAAAUUAUAAUGCUAAUUUUUUGUAAUUAUAAUCUCAUUUAAUUUUUGUAAUUAAAUUAAAUAUAGGAUGUUUACAAAAAUAAACAUGGAGAGAAAAGCUCCAUAUAAUUAUUGCAAACUUCCCUAUAAUUAAAGUUAAGAAACUUUCCUAUACUUAAUUUAAUUGUAAAAAUUAAAUGAAAUUAUAAUUACAGAAAAUUAACAUGAUAAUUUUUAAAUGAACUUAGAAUUAUAAAAAAAAAUACAUUAGAUUUUGGGAUUUAUUUGUUUCAUUAAAUUCAUGGGUAUUCUUGUAAUUAUAAUAUUUUUAUUUUUCAAAAUUUUGUAGAAUAAAAUGGUCUUUUAAUUCAUGUUGAGGUAAAAUGGUCAUUUGCUAGUGCCAAAGUUGUUGAUUGAUAUAAGUUUAAAAGUAAAAGUGAUGUAAAGAACAUGUCAAAAUUUUAUAAUGAUUAUAUAUAUAUAUAUAUAUAUAUAUAAACAGAGGUAGUGUAGAGAUAAUUUUCCUAUAAUUUAAUUAAUGUUAUUUUUGAAAUAUAGAUUAUAUGGGAUAAAAGUUAAAAUUUCAAAUUUUAAUGAUGUGUGUAUUAAGAAUGUGCGUUUAAGAGGAAAAUUAUAAGUUCAAAAAGUUAGACGCCCAAUUUUUUUAUGAAACUUUAUAUUACUAAUUUACCAAUGAGUUAAUUUACCAUUAAUGAUUUUUUUUGUGCGUUUAAAGUACUAUUUAAUUUUAAACUUUUCUUAUAUAAUGUCCGAUAUAAAAAAAUGUCCAAAUAACUUUUUAGAGUUAAAAUAAUUCCAUCUUUCUAAAAAUCGUUGGAUUAAUUAAUUGUCUUUUGCUGGAAUCAAGUGCCACCACAUAGUGCUGUGUCUUCAUUGUAGUCGUGAACUUUUUUUGAGUCAAUAUAGCACUGCAAUAGAUAACUAAUAAAAAUACUUUAAUAUAUGGCUAGUGGCAUGAUAGUAUUACAUAUUGUUUUCUAAUAUGCUCUUACUAUCAUAUUCAGGGUAACAGACAGAUAUCUGGAUUGAAAUCUGCUAAAAGUGUCUUAAAAAUCAACAUUUAAUUUAAUUUGAAUUUUAAAGGUUGCUUACAAAUCAAUAACAUUUAAUUUAUUUUUAAAAGGUUGCCUUUUGUUGACAGGAUGAUACUAUUAACUUUUUUUUAGUUAGGCUAUUGAGUGCUGCCUUUUUAUCUUUUUCUUUUCUAUUCUUUUCUCUGUGGUAAGUGGAGUAUUGUUGCCUUCACGUAGUUUAAAUACUGAAAUACACACACUUGGGAGCUUGUAAUUUUAUCUUCCAUAAAUUGUUAGCCUUAAAGAAUUUUUGAAGCUGAAGUGCUCAUCAUAGAUAAAAAGAAAAUGGCUGAUCAUUCAAUAGUAAAUGGAUCAGAAAUCCCAGUGUACAACCUUAAAUGCAUCGAUCUCGCCAACCCAGAUAUUCAUCAAACAGGUGAACUCCCAACUAUAUAUCUAUAGGGCCAUUUUGAUGUUGUUAAUACACUUCAUUAAAAUUUUAGCGUUAUUUAACAUGAAAAAUACUUUUUUCGAGAUAGCCCCUCCAAUUUUAAAAUUUCAUCGUUUUGUUCCCAAAUGUGCUCGGUUAUGCUUUGUUUGGUUCAGGCGUGCAUGGAGAGUGGAAUUUUUUACGUAAUAAAUCACGGACUAAGCGAGGAACUCACGAAUGAGUUUUUCGGCCAAAUGAAAAAAUUCUUUGCGCUGCCAAGGAUGAAAAAAAGAAACUUUUCUGGAACCAAAGUCUCCGAGGCUACAGACCACCUGCUCAAGCAGUAAUUGAUAAUAAGACUCAACAAAAAGGUUAGCAUUAAUUUCCUUUGGUCAUAUUUAUUUGGCAUUCUUGUCCAAGUUUAUAAGUAUCAAUUUUUUUCUUUUUUUAAAUAAAGGAGACAUGUUAAAGUGUGGCAAAACUCAUAGAAAUUAGAAAAAAAAUAUUAUAACGAACUGUCUGCACAAAGUGAUUAAUAUCAACUUAGUUAUUAAGUCCGGAUUAUUAUAUUUAUUCUUUUAAUUUUCUUUCCCAAAGAUUUUGGGGAGGCGUAUCAUAUUGGUGUUGAUGUAGCUAAAGAUGAUCCAAAUUGUGAAAAGUUUUUCUAUGGCCCGAAUAUUUGGCCUCCAGCAGGUAAUUCAAGAUAAUAACUUUUCCUCCAACCGUUCAAAUUAAUGCAUUUGUUAAAUAUAUAUAUUUCUAUCUCCCCAACUUUUUAACAUUUUGUGAGUUGCGUUGUAUAAUUAUUAGAUAUUUUGCCUGGAUGGAAAGAAACCAUGAUGAGAUAUCAAGAAGAGACGAUGUAAGUUUUGAUGAGCCAUUGCUUUCACACUAAUGUCGUCUAAAAUUCAUGUUUGUUUCGAAUAGGACUGACCAGAAAAAAGAAAAAAAAAAAAAAGGGUCCGGACGCAGUUGGGCCCUACCAGCCCAUCCCACUAGGACUUGAGCCCGGCCCUAUGCCAAAGGGCGGGCCAGGGUCUACCUAGGCCUUGAUUUUUCAGUUCCUUCUCGGGACGGCUCCGUCCUGCAAUCUUUAAAAGUGAUUUUUAAAAUUAAACUUAAUUUUAAAAUCACAAAUUCUUAAAUUUAUUAGACUCACUAUAAAAUUAAGUUGGCCUCAGUUUUCUGGUUUUAGAGCUUUUAAAAGAAAUUAAAAAAUCCAAUUAUUAAAAAUACCGAAAAUAUGCGUCUGGCCCGGCCCGGUUCCCAAUAAGGAUUGGGCUUUCAAGGGCAAGGGUUUCUUGAAAAGCUUUACAUCGGGUCUUGCUCAUUUGCCCCAUCACUAAUUUUGAACCUAUAAUACCCUCACACAACAAGGUUUACGCAUAUAUUGAUGCCACAAGAUAUUUUUUAAUUAAAAAAGGAGAAAGAUUACAAAUUAUUUGGAGGAAAAGGUAAUAAGUUUUAAAGAAAUAUUGCAUCAAAGCUUAAAAUAAAGACGUAUACAGUAAAAUUUCUAUAAAUUAAUAAUGUUGGGACCAUGCAAAAUCUAUUAAUUGAAAGAGUUAUUAAUUAGUAGAUAAAUUAAUAAUUUAUUACUUUACAGAGUGUGUGUAUAUAUAAAAUUCAAUGAAAACACAUUUUAACCAACUAGAAAUUUAUUGUUUACCAAUCUAAUCAAUUAAAAAUGAAUAAAUCCAUUAAAUAUAAAUUAAAUUAACAAAAAAGUCUCAAAAUUCCCGCAGUUUUAGAAUUCACCCUGGAUCUUCUAGAAGAAAUAAGCCAAAAAAAAAAGAAGAUUAGAUCAAAUUUUAUUUAAAUUUCAAUAAAAAAAAAGUAAAAAUAGAGUAAAAUAAGUAACAAUAGAGUAGUAAAAUAGAGUAAAAUAAGUAACAAUUGAGUGACAUUUUAUUUAAUGAAAUAUUACAAUGGUUAUAUUUGUAAUUUUGGUAAAUUAUUAAUUUAUAUACGAAUACGAUCACAAAGUUGUUAAUAUAUAUCGAAAUUAUUAAUUUAAUCUUUUGCCCUAAGUUGGGGCUGCAGAAAAGUAUUAUAUAAUAGAAGUUAUUAAUUUAUUGAGUAUUAAUUUAUAGAGGUUAUACUGUUGACGACAACUUAAGUUAUUUAUUAAAUUAAAAAAAAAUAUUACAAAUUAAUUGAAGGGUAAUGUAACGACCUUACAUCUUAGAAACGAGCAAAACAAUCUAAUUGGAUCGAUAUUCGGGCAAGGGAUUAGAUGAAUUUAUAUUUAUUUAUUACUAGAAAAAUGUUACAACUUAAAGACUUUAAUAACUAUUUCUGUUAUUUUUAAUAUUAUCAGAAAUGUUGGAAGAGCAAUUGGGAGAAUAAUAGCCCUUGCUCUUGAUCUCAAUGUUGAUUUCUUCGAUCAACCAGAAAUACUUGGCAACAAAACUGCAAGCUACUCCAAUAUGUUUCAUUACGGAGGUAAUUAUUAACAAUACUAAAUAUUACAAAAGAUUCAUUUCAAAUUUCUCUUACUGUUGUGUAUAUAUGUGUAUAUGUGUAUAUGUGUAUCUGAUCACAUUCCAUAUAUAUUCUUUAUAUGUGCAUGUGUUUUUGCUUUUGAAUAUUUAGUUCCCGGUACCGAUUUUUCCAAGGAAAUUGUUGGAGCUCCACCACAUUGUGACUUGAAUUUUAUUACACUCUUGGCAACAGAUGAAAUAUGGGGGCUUCAAGUAAGAAAACAUCGAUUAAUCAAUCAUUCUACUAAAAUAUAUAUUACUUACAUUUAUCAUUAGCUAUUAUCAUCUUAUUUGUUUUACUAAAAUUUUUAUUAUAUAAUAAUAUUGCAGAUUUGCAGGGAGAAAAAUGCUCAACCUCAACUAUGGGAAGCCAUACCACCUGUCAAAGGGUGAGUUAAUUAAGUUUCAAGUUUCAUUUUGUUCUGAUAUCCUAUAUAUUCAAAACAAACAAAUCAUGUAUAAACUGGAUUCUUGACGUUGCCUUUCUUAUUAAAUUGAUUUUGUAGAGCAUUUAUAGUGAAUGUUGGUGACAUGUUGGAAAUGCUCAGCAAUGGUGCUUUCAGGUUAUGCCUCAAUUACUGGGAUGAAUUCUAGAUUUCUUAAGAGCUUGAUCAGAUAUUUCUAUUUCAAUUCAUUGACCCAGGUCAAAUUCUUAUAUCAUUUCUUUUACAAGCCCUUAUUUUAUAAUCCAUAUUUCACAUAAGAGGAUCGGUUGAGAUUUAUUUUUAAAUACUAUUUGUUUAUUUGAAAAGUAUUUGUUGUUACAACAAUACAAUUUUUCAUCAUCGGAUUUAAUUUAAUUUAAUGUAAUUUCUAUCUUUUCUUUCUUUUCUUUUUUUCAGAUACCCUACAAUCAAAACCGGAGAUUAUAUUCUUUCUCGCUUUAGGCAACUUGCUGCUGAUACAGUGAAAGACAACAAAGCUGUUUAAGUAAAUAAAAAAAAAGUUAAAAAACUUUGGAUGAAUCAAUUGUAUCAGAAUAGCUGAAAAAUCAUAUGUCCUACUUAAAUUUGUGUCUUGUAAUUUCAUUUUUAUUGAAAUGCAGACAUAUAAGGUGAUGUAAUAAAACUAUCUUUACAGAAAUUUGGAAUCGCCUUAUGAGUGAUGCUUUUAACAUUCUUGUUAUUUAAUAUUUUAUCGUUCAUCUUUGCUCAUCAGUAUUAUUAGUUUUUGGUUUCUUCGUAGCUCGUAGCCUUUUGGUGAAAAAUAAGAGUACACAGAAAUACUACGACCACGAUCCAAAUUAUUUUUUUUAAACAUGAUAUAUAAAAAGUGAUUAAUUUUUAUGAACUUGCCUUUAAUUUUAAUGAUAAUGAUCAUCUCACCAUCAUUCUUUUACUCAGAUUAGUCAUUCCGAAGAUAACGGACUACUGCAAUUAGAAUUAAAUUUUCUCAUCCUCUUUUUUAAUGUAGAAUUUUACAGGGUGUUUAUGCUGAGUUUUAGUCCUGAUAAAAAGGAAAAAAAAAUUACCAGAUUUUAUUACGGAAAAUUGGAAAGUGGCAUAUUAGAGAAAUCUGGAACAAUAAAUUUUCAUAGUCUACAAAUAUUCAAACAGAAAAAAUUGCUGAAAUCAAGAGAUUUUUUUGUAGCCAUUCGUGAUCAGAAAUAGGGGUCUUGUUAAGCACGUACCAUAACAAGAAUUACUAUGCUGCUUGUAACAAAUUAUUUGUUAACAGUCACUUUAUUAUCGUUAUAUGAAACAACUUCACAUAACUUAUAUGGUUAAAAAAAAAAGGAAGAUUGUACAUACAACGAAACGUUGCACCAAUAAUAAAAAAAUAAAUGUACGUAUGGUGCAACUGAUGUCAUACCCUCAAAAUUGGUGACGAUCUCUUGCUGAUCCUGGGCUGUCAUGGCUUGAUGGAUGCGCCUUUGUGGGAUAGUCCUUACUCUGUCAUGUCGUGGGACCAACAGUUUAGGAUCCACUAAACUUAAUAGGACUCAACUAUCUUGCAACAGUUGUAAGGUACCACUUGAUUUUGUUUUAUUAUAGUUUCAAUUAUUGGUCGUUGGAUUCAAUGAAAAUGAAGAUUUAAAGGUAGAGAUUCAUUUAUUUGAAUAUUAAUAUUAUGGUCCCUACUAUUUAUCAAAAACGCAAAAGAGCUGAAAAAUUAAAAAUGUUAGCACAUACGUCCAAAUUAUUUAAAAUUUUAUGUUGUUUAAUUAGUAGCGAGUCUUAAAAAUAAAUUUUAUUUUAAUAUUAUAUAUUAUAUUUAAAAUUUUAUUUAUUAAAAAUAUUAUUUAAUAUUAUUUAUUCUCAUUUCAUUUAAUAUUAUUUAUUUACAGGCUUAUUGUUGUAUUUAAUCUUUUAAAAAACUAAAAAUUUUAAAUAAAAUAAAAUAAUCAGUAGCGAGCAUUAAAAAAUAAAUAUAAUUUUUAAUAUUAAUUAUUUUUAUUUUAUUUAAUAUUAUUUAUAGUAUUUUUUUGUUUUAUUUAAUGUUAUUUAGUUAUAGACUUAUUAUUAUAUUUAUUCUUUAAAAAACUAAAUAAUAUUAAAUAAAAUAAAUAAUCAGUUCUGAGUCUUAAAAAAAUAUAAUUUUUAAUUAAUAUUAAUUAUUUUAUUCAAAAGGAUAAAAUUUUUAAUAUUAUUUAUUUUAUUAAAAAUAAAUAUUUUUUAAUAUUAUUUAUUUAAUUUUAUUUAACGUUAUAUAGUCAUAGACUUAUUAUUAUAUUUAUUCUUUCAUGAAACUAAAUAAUUUUAAAUAAAAUGAAAUAAUCAGUAGUGAGUCUCAAAAAAUUAAUAAUAUUUAUUUUAUUUUAUUAAAUAUUAUUUAGUCAUAGCUUAUUAUUAUAUUUAUUUUCAAAAUUAAAUAAUAUUUAAUAAAAUAGAAUAAGCAAUUGUGAGUCCUAAAAAAUAAAUAUUAUUUUUUAAUAUUAUUUAUUUUAUUUAAAAGAAUAAAUUUUUAAUAUUUUUAUUGUAUUAAAAAUAUUAUUUAAUAUUAUCUAGUCAUAGGCUUAUUGUUAUAUUUAUUCUUUUAGAAAGUUAAAUAAUAUUAAAUAAAAUAAAAUUACAUUUUAGCAUAUCACCAGCCAAAGCACAUAAAGUUAUAAAUAAAAAUUAAAUAAUAUUAAAUAAAAUAAAAUUACAUUUUAAAAAGUCACUUACCAAAACAUAUAAUGUUAUAAAUAAACGGUAAAUAAAAAGAAAGGGAAGGGGUUAAAUGAAAUUUGACAUCACAAAAGACAAAAAUGGAUGGUACCUUGCAACCGUUGCAAGGUAGCUGGACCCAACUUAAUAUUAAAAUAUUAGUAGAUUCCGUCGUAGAUUUUGUCAAUGGGUAACUUUGUUUGAAGAGUGUGUUGUCAUCAGCCACAAGUGACUGUUUGAUUGAUGAUUGUUAAUAGAAUACAACGAAAUUUUUUUUUUUUUUUAAAUGAGAACUAUUGUUCGUGAUGAUAUUUAUAAUUAUAUAUUUACUAAGACCCAUUUACAUUAAUUUUGAUAUGGCACCACUCAGAUUUAUAAUCCUCUCAAAUAUUCGAGGGACGUCAACUCCCAUCCCGGGCCCUCUCAAAUAUUCGAGGGACGUCAACUCCCAUCCUGGGAGAAAGACUGCCUUCACUCAAGCUCUGCGGCUCCAAGGAAGGAAAUUUAAAUAAAACUCCUGCAAUGCGUCUGCGGAGGCUCGAACCCCUUCCCUCACAUUUGUGUUGGAAUGGUUCUAGCCACUUGGGCUAAGCCGAAGUGGUUAGAAUACAACGACUUUGUAUCCAUAAAUUAAGACCACUGUUAAGUAUCCAACAUUUUUAAGUUUUAAUUUCAGUAUGAAUGAUAUAGCAUCCAUUCAUUAGGUGAUGGUUAAAUAAUUUUAUAAAUUAUAAAAUCAAUCAUUUAAUAGAUAAGUAAUCCAUAAUAUUAAAACUCAAAUUAAAACUCAAAUAUUGAGAUCGCUAAUAUUAUUGAUAAAUGGAAAAAGGACAAACACACCCUCAACGUUUAGGCAAAGGGACAAAAAUCCCCUAACGUUUCAAAAAAAAUAUUUACACCCCAAUUUAUUAUAAUUUUACCAUUAUACCCUUCUACCAUAUAAAAAAAUUAUUAGAUUAUCCAAUUCGUCUACAUAUUAUUAAUAAAAUUAUAAAUAUACCCUCAUUGCAUCAUUUCUCUAUUUAAAUUUUUAUCAAUAGCCAAUUUUAAAAAAAAAUCUAUACACCUAAAGAAAUUGUAAAUAAAUUAUAAUUUUAAAAAUAAAAUUGGUUAUUAAUACCAUAAUAAAUAACAUAGAAAAUUAGUUAUAAAUAUACAAGUUUAAAUAAUUGACAUGUGGAGAAUUAUUAAAUAUACAAGUUUAAAUAAAAUUGGUUAUUAAUAACCAAUUUUAUUUUUAAAAUUAUAAUUUCUGUACAAUUUUUUUAAGUGUGUAGAUGUCUUUUUUGAAAAUUGGUUAUUGAUAAAAAUUUAAAUAGAAGAAUGAUGCAAUGAGGGUAUAUUUAUAAUUUUAUUAACAAUAUAUAGACAAAUUGGAUAAUUUAAUAAUUUUUUUUUAUAUGCUAGAAGCGUAUAAUGAUAAAAUUAUAAUAAAUUGAUGUGCAAAUGUCUUUUUUAAAACGUCAGGGGGGUUUUUUGUCCCUUUGCCUAAACUUGGAGGUGUGUUUGUUCUUUUCCCUAAAACUUAUUCAUGGCAAUAUAAAUUAAAUAAUUAAAAAUAUCCUACAUAAAUAUUUUUCUUUAAAAAACUUAUAUAUUUAAUUUGAUAACUAUAAAUUUUAAUCUUUGAUAUUUUAUGGAAGUUUCAGUCUUUAUUUUACUUGCUGAGUUUACUGUUAAAUAAAGAUGAAAUUUAUCUUUUUGGUCUUAUAAUAUAUAAAUUUACUUUUAUUAUCUCAUUAAUUAUAUUAUCAAAAUUAAUUAUGUUGUUAAAAUUUAUAAUCAAUGAAUUUAUUAAAAUUUUAAAUGAAAGAGUUUAUGAUUAAUCUAGGACGGGUCUGGUUCUCUUUGUUUAUUUUGAAUCUAGCAGGUAAGGGCGAAAAGCAUAGACACCAUGGAUUUGGAGCAUAUUUGAGUCUACAUUUUUGUCAAAUGGAUCUAAAUGUAAAAUUGGAAAGAUUACACAAUACCUCUAUUGUACUACAUCCAUUUAAUACGUGUAUGAUAUGUGUGCAUUUAUUUUGAAAAAUCAUCAUAAAAUUAGUAAUUAUAUUUAAUUCAUUAAAAAUCAUCAUAUAAUUGAUAAUUAUAUUUAAUUCAUGCAUUCAUAUCAUACAUAUAUUAAGUAAAUAUAAUAAAAUAGAAGUAUUGUAAAAUCUCUCGUAAAAUAAAGCAGUGAGGAUCCGAUCUAGGCCCACUCCAUUGUCAUUCUACAAAUAUAUUUUGGAAAAAGAGUUUAGUGUUUGCUAGUAGGCUGCCGUUCAACUCAGAUCUUUUUGCCCUUUUUUUUUCAGUUGUUAUGUUCAUUUUCUUAGUUUUAUUUUUAAUUAAAAUGGUUUGAAUUUUGCUGUGAAACCAACAAAAACUGCUUUAAUGAAGAAGAAAUAAUAUAAUUAUAGGGUCCAGCCAGCUUUCAAUCAUGAUCUCGUACCCCAUUUUUUGUCAUUUGUGAUCUAACCAUCAAAUAUAACCAAAGAGUUACAAAAGCUAUUUAAACAGCAAGGAUGUAAUUAUAUGGUUAUUAACGUUGCAGACCCUUUUGUUUCUUAAAAAAUAAGAACAAGUUAGGUUUCCUAAAAAAUCUUUAUAUGGGUUAAUAGUAAUUCAAUAAAUGAACAUAUUUAAAUAUUAAAAAUAUAGAUGGAUUAUCUGUAUUUACUAAAAUACUCUUCAUACUCAUUUAUGUAAAAUACCUUUUUAAAAAAUCAUUUUUAAUAUAAUUUUUUAUCAAUAAAAUACUCAUUUAAUGUUUUACCAUUUAAGACGAUAUUACCUAUAAGGUAAAAAAUUAUUUUAAUUAAAUAAAUCAAAGUUAACUUUUACUUCUAUACACUUGCUCAACAUCAAAUAAUCUUACAAUUCUCAUCUCUUUCAUACUUUUUAUUGAAGAUUUUUCUUUUUUAAAUCACCAUAAAAUGUUUAAGACCUUAAUCCUCGACAAAAUUAAGAUAGUAUGGCGCUAGCUAAUAAUUUCAAUAGAAUACAAUAGUUUAUUUGAAUAAAUUUAGCUUUCAUCCUUCAUGAUGUAUUUGAUCAAUAGUAAUUUUUAUCAUUUAUGGUGUCUCCAUUUCUACAUUUAUGUGAUUAAUCUAUGCAAUAUUCACAUGCGAAAUGAAAUAUUUUGGUAGUGAUUGAUGAAUUUGUGAAUCAAAUUUUUUUUAUGGCAAUUUUUUUCCUUCUAGAGAGAUGAAUUUUGAGACAAACAUUGAACUUCCAUGAAUGUUAUGAUCUUAAUUUUUUUUUGUAUUAUGCUAGAAAGAUCCGUUGAUGGAGAACAAGAAGAUGGAGAGAAAAAAAAAGGAGACAUUUAUCGAUCUAACCACUUCGACAAAAUAAUAAUAAUAAUAAUAAUUGGUAGGUGUGUAGAAAAAACUAAGGUCUAAUAAAAUUCUUAAUUAAGGUUACUUUUUUGUAUUUUUAGAGAUGAAUAGGAAAAAAAUUAGGAUUUCAAAAUUUUAUUUGUUGGGUAUAUUUAGCAAAUGGGAAUAUAGAAAAUUUUUGCGGGUUCCAAUAGAAAAUUUACACUCUACGCAUGUUCAAAUACUAAAUAUGCGUUUAUAGAUAAAAAAUUUUAUGUUAACAUUUUUAAUUAGAAAAUCCCUUUAAUUUGGAAUUCUUAGCAUAAAUCUAAAAAUUGGUACAGAAAGCUUCCCUUCUCUCUCAAUUGCCUCACUCAAGUAAGCCAUACACUAUGACUGGAAUGCAAAUUUUUGUGAUUGGAUUAUGCAGUAUCUUGCCAAUAAAUUUCUUGAUCAUGUUUAGAAUACAGAAAGUAGACCGUAAAUAUUAACAGUUUUUUAAAAGACUAACUAGAUUAGUGAAAUAACAAUUCUUUUGCAUGUUGGCAAAAGUACUCUUAAGGGCUUGUUUAGUACACAUGAUGGAAUAUGAUAGAAUGGGGUGUGAUAAGAUAAGAUUAUAUUUCUUGCUAUCAAAUGUUUGGUGACUGAACUAGAUCAGAUUAAAAUAACGUUGUCUUGUGCUUGGUGUAACAUAGGAUUGGAAAAAGUAUUAUAUAAAAGGAAGAUUGUACAUACAACGAAACGUUGCACCAAUAAUAAAAAAAUAAAUGUACGUAUGGUGCAACUGAUGUCAUACCCUCAAAAUUGGUGACGAUCUCUUGCUGAUCCUGGGCUGUCAUGGCUUGAUGGAUGCGCCUUUGGCUAAUGCUCUAGGAGGACUUUUGUGGGAUAGUCCUUGCUGUGUCAUGUCGUGGGACCAACAGUUUAGGAUCCACUAAACUUAAUAUUAAAAUAUUAGUAGAUUCCGUCGUAGAUUUUGUCAAUGGGUAACUUUGUUUGAAGAGUGUGUGUUGUCAUCAGCCACAGGUGAUUGUUUGAUUGAUGAUUGUUAAUAGAAUACAACGACUUUGUAUCCAUAAAUUAAGACCACUGUUAAGUAUCCAACAUUUUUAAGUUUUAAUUUCAGUCUGAAUGAUAUAGCAUCCAUUCAUUAGGUGAUGGUUAAAUAAUUUUAUAAAUUAUAAAAUCAAUCAUUUAAUAGAUAAGUAAUCCAUAAUAUUAAAACUCAAAUUAAAAAACUCAAAUUAAAACUCAAAUAUUGAGAUCGCUAAUAUUAUUGAUAAAUGAAAAAAGGACAAACACACCCUCAACGUUUAGGCAAAGGGACAAAAAUCCCCUAACGUUUCAAAAAAAAAAUUUACACCCCAAUUUAUUAUAAUUUUAUCAUUAUACCCUUCUACCAUAUAAAAAAAUUAUUAAAUUAUCUAAUUUAUCUACAUAUUAUUAAUAAAAUUAUAAAUAUACCCUCAUGAGUGCGGUUGGUUUCUUCACAGUCAUUACAUCCGAUUUACUCAGGAGCUUGAAUGACUGGUUGAAGUUGGUGCCUUUGCCUUCAGGAUUGAGGGACAAGCUAUUGAUAUGGGCUGGUCUCAUGUUCUUGGGCUGCUAUUCGUGGGAGAGAUUUUUGAGGUGGGCAUUCCCUGGUAAAGUUCCAGCUUGGAGAAAACGACAACGGUUGGCUGCAGCUAAUUUGGAGAAGAAGCACGUCUGAGCAAACAGAAACUUAUAUGAAAAAUGAUAAUAGAAUUUUGUCCGGCACUCUGGCAAUGGCUAUCGAAAGUAGCACUGAUGGUGCAUCAAAAGUGUUGCUGGAUAAUUGUGGAGGAUAUAGCUGAGUAGAUUGGGUUACAUAACAGGUCUGAUAGUUUCUGCCCCCCGGAUAGUUUCUACCCCCUGUGUAGGGGGAAUUAGAUUUUUUUUUUUUCCUCCCAUCUGAUAUUCAAUAUACGCUUAAAGGAAAAACGAGAUGAAUUUUGACCUGAAUAUUCGUAUUUUGAUGCUUAAAGUAACCCAGGAAGAUAAAUGUUUGUCAUAAUCGAAAGAAUUGUAUUUGAACUCGAAUCCCUUAAUUGAUGAAGAGAAUUAGUUUGGUUCCUUUUUAUGUGCAAUGUGGUUGUUAUUUCUA
This 122594-nucleotide long non-coding RNA is filed under the name Citrus maxima (pomelo). Its description in RNAcentral is "long non-coding RNA (CMAX_LNC001944)". Lineage: Eukaryota; Viridiplantae; Streptophyta; Magnoliopsida; Sapindales; Rutaceae. The record is from RNAcentral.